AGAGCUUGCUCAUCUUAAACCUGUCACAAAAUGCAUUGCAAGCUCCAAAUUGGUCCCAUUUCUCUCCCAUGCCUUUUUUGCGCAUCCUCAACCUCAGUCACAAUCCUCUUUCGUCGAAAUUCCCAAAUUUUAUAUCCAAUUCUCAUAGCCUGACUCACCUUAGCCUUAAUUAUAACGAGUUUACUGGUGAUUUAGUAAGUGAAUCAAUAUUUGCCAAUCUGCAUAAUCUUCAAGUCCUCAGUCUUGUUGGCAAUUCUUUUGAGGGGUCAUUUCCGCCAGAUAUAUUCAAGCUUUCCAAAUUAAAACAUCUUAGCCUGUCACGUAACAAAUUCUCAGGUUCAAUUCCCAAUGACAUAAGGUUGCUUUGUGAUCUUGAAUACCUAUAUUUAGGCAACAAUUCCUUUGAAGGACCGCUUCCACCAAAUAUAUUCAAGCUUUCAAAAUUAAAACAUCUUUUUCUUUGGGGUAAUAAGUUUUCAGGUUCUGUUUCCAAUGAUAUAGGUUUGCUUUCUGAGCUUGAAACCCUCGAUCUUCGCUCUAAUUUUUUUGAGGGGACACUUCCGCCAAAUUUAUUCAAGCUCUCCAAACUAAAGAUUCUUUCCCUUUAUGAGAACAACUUUUCAGGUUUUAUUUCUAAGGAUAUAGGUUUGCUUUCUGAGCUUGAAAGCCUCGAUCUUGGCUCUAAUUUUUUUGAGGGGCCGCUUCCCCCACAUAUAUUUAGGCUCUCCAAAUUAAGAGAUCUGGGUCUCUCAGACAAUAGAAAUUUAUUUGAAGGAAGUAUUCCUAUUGGACUGGGACUCUUGACUAACCUCAUGUUCUUAGAUCUAUAUUCCAGUAAUCUCAGUGGCUAUAUUCCAUCUGAAAUUGGAAACCUGAAGCUACUAGUACUUCUUGAUCUCCGUUCUAAUCAAUUUACUGGACCGCUUUCAAAGAUCAUUUCUAAUCUCACAAAUCUUAUAUUUCUUGAUGUAAGUUAUAAUAGUCUUAGUGGAAAUAUUCAGAGUGACUUGUGGAUAUAUAACGAUCAUCCAACUUUGGAAUUCAUCAAUUUAGGUGGGAACCAUUUUACAGGUAUGUUUUCUCUAUAUAUCUUUUCCUUUGGUCAUAUUAACUAAGCUUGUAACCAAAGUUUCAACAAUCUUGACAGGUGAGCUUCCAACAACAAUUUGCAAUGUCACUUCCCUUUCGGUUCUUGAUUUGUCAAAUAAUGAAUUAAGUGGUGCACUUCCAAACUGUUUGGGGAAUCUUGCUGAUGGAUUGCUUUUCAUUAAUCUUGCUAAUAAUCAGUUUCGAGGAACAGUACCAACUACUUUCUCCAGGAGUUGUCAGCUGACAUAUCUAAACAUGGAUAAUAAUGAGUUUGAAGGAUUGUUGCCCCCGUCUUUGGAAAACUGUAAGCACUUGAGAAUUCUUGAUAUGGGCAACAAUAAAAUAGGUGGUACAUUUCCGUCAUGGCUUUAUGUACUUGGAGAGCUAGAAGUCCUUGUCUUGCGAUCAAAUAAACUCUAUGGUACAAUAAGUGCAAGGAGCAUAGAAGAUCCCUUCCCCAAGUUGCGGAUUGUGGAUCUAUCCAAUAAUCAAUUCACGGGCCAUUUGCCAAUUCAAUACUUUAAGAAUAUGAAAUCAACUGAUAAUUUGUAUAGUUAUGAGAAUGACAGAGGAAUAUAUUAUGCAUAUGAUGAAGCAGCAGUCCCAUUAACUGUGAAGGGAACAGAGUAUGAAGUAAGAAAUAAUCUUCAUAUUUACACAAUCAUUGAUCUGUCCUGCAACAAAUUUCUGGGAGAAAUUCCAAAGGUUACUGGAGAGCUUAUAUGGCUUGCAUUGCUCAACUUAUCUCAUAAUAGUCUAACAGGACCUAUCCCAUCAUUGCUGAGAAAUAUGAAAGAACUCCAAUCUUUAGAUUUGUCUUCAAAUCAACUGACAGGGGCUAUUCCACCUCAGUUAACUGCAUUGACAUAUCUAGAGGUCUUGAACCUCUCGGGAAACCAUCUUAGUGGAGAGAUUCCUCAGAAAGGACAGUUCAGCACAUUCAACAAUGAUUCUUAUCUAGGAAACUCCGCGUUAUGUGGAUCACCAUUGACGAAGAAAUGUGCAAACACAGCAUCACCUCCACAAGAAGUCGGAAAUGUUGAUGAAGAUGAUGCGGGUGAUGAAUUGACAUGGGAAGCAAUCUUGAUGGGAUAUGGAUGUGGACUAAUAUGUGGAUUGUCAUCCGCGUACAUUGUUCUCAAACUAGGAAAGCCUUGGUGGUUUGUGAGAUAUAUCGAAGUGCUGCAACUGAAGUUGAUGAAAAGAUAUGCAUGAAGAAUGGUACUGGCCAAUCAAGACCAACUUGAAAGUUGUUGGACAUUUCUGAACCAGUAGUGUACUAUUCUCUUUGUGGCUGCAUAAGUUUUUGGUAUUGUGUAAUAUUCUGUUUGGUCUUGAAUUUCAGGGGUAUUAAUAUAAACCUUGGUAUUGUGUAAUAUUCUGUUUGAUCAAUGUUUAUAUCAAUAAUUUUAUGCUACUCACGUACUGCAUCAUGCAGCUCUCAUAUUAUCUUCAUAUGUGUAUUAUUUGGAUAUCAAAGUUGCAGGGACAUAUGGAUAUGUGUUAACAGGGACCGCUCCCAAGUAGGGGUGAGCAAAAUCGAACCGGAACCGAAAAAUCGAACCGAACUGCGUAAAUUCAGUUCGGUUCGGUCCUAAUUUUCUGAAAAUUCGAUCCAUUCGGUCAGGACCGAAUACACCGAAAUAAAGUUCGGUCCGGUUCGAUCCGUAAAAAAAUAUUUCGGUCCGGACCGAAUAGACCGAACAGUCCAAAAUAUAUAUAAUUUAUAUUUAUAUUUAUAUUAUAUAUAUCUUAAAUGUUAUAAUUAUAAUAUCUAAUUUGUAAAUUUAAUUAUGAAAAAUGAUAUAAAAUUAUGUGUUAUAUCUUAUAUAUAUAUAUAGAGGGUUACUCCAGUGAGAACUUCUUAAAAUGAGAACCGUGAGAACUUCUUUAAUUUAUCAUAUUUUGAUUAAUCUAAACAUCAAACUAGUGGGUAUCCAAUAUAAAAAGUGUAUAUAAAACUAGUCUCUCCCUAACUAGUCAAAAAAAAAAUUCAAAAAAAAAUUUUAAAAAAAGAAAGUCCACUGCCACGUCAUCAGUGAUUUUUUUUAUUUUUUUUUUAAUUUUUUUUUUCGGCUAGCUAGGUGGAGAUCUUAAUUAUAUACAUUUUUUGUGAAGGUGCCCCUGGCGGGGCCCUUCAUAUAUGUACUUUUCAUAAAUUAUAAAUUAUUGUUUUAAAUAUAUCGAAAUGAUUUCUAUAGAAAUUUAAAUUGUAUGUUUAAAUAAUUUUUUUGAGUGACUUAUGAGUUAUAAAAAGGAUGAUAAUAAAAAUAAAUUUGAUAUGUUAUUUAUACGAGUAAUGAAAUUGAUUUUUGUUAAAAUUUAUAAUGAUGGAAUAAGUUAUUCAGAAAAAUAAAUCUUAUUUAUUUAGAGAUGACAUAUUUUAAUUUUAGAUCAAUUUUUUUCUCACUAAAAAAUUAUUUUAAAAUCAAAAAUAAAUUAAAUGUCUUCGCAUUUAUGCAAACAUGCUCUAAAUUAUGCGCAAUAUUAGCAAUCAGUGACUGAUACACGUGCUGAACCUUCCGAAGAUUUCUGGUCAAAAAUAUCCGUGACCCUUUGAGGAAUACAGGAAUAAUCACACAGCUGGCUUACCAUCUGCACCCAAUUAAUACGGACAACAGUACAUUUAUUAGACUAGAUUUUCAAAAUUUUCAAUAAUAGUAUUAUAUUAUUAUCGGUUUUUCUAGUGAAUGCUCAUGGGCACACACUAAACACCAAAUUUUAUAAAUUUGGUGGUUUUUGAUUGACUCAUGCUUGUUUAUAAUGGUAGAGCCUCCUCAAAUUCACCGACCACACCAAUUAAAAUCCACCAAAAUUAUAGAAUUUGGUACUUAGCAUGUGCUCAUGGCACACACUACAUAAACCCUAUUAUUAUACCUAUUUGAAUUUUUAAAUGAGGGCAUAUAGAAUUUAGAUAUUUAUUUAAAAUUUGUAGUUCGAUUUAGGACCUUAAAUGAAUAUAUUUGAAAUCUCCAAACUUGUAUUAAUAUUUACUUGUGUUUGACUAUAAUAAAAGUUUAUAUUAUAUAUAUAUUAGAUACCUAACACUCCAUGGCAUACGCUCUUAUAUGAAGUUUCAUAGUAUAUCACUGUGCAUAAUAUAUCUAUUAUAUUUUUUAUGAAAUAGAAUUACAAAUUUUUAUUAUUAAAUCGAAAACGAAGUUAUAUAAUUUUUUUAUUCCAAAAGUCAUAUAAAAUUAUCUCAACAUGAUUUUAUAACAGAAUAAUAAUCAUCCAGAAUUAUUUUAAUGUGGAAUCAAUACGUAAAUAAACUUUUUUCUUCAAAUUUUAAGUGUUAAAUUACUUAUAAUAGAUAUAUGUUAUAGUAUUAUAUAUUAGAAUCAUGUUUUAUAUGUAUUCUAUAAUAGAAUUUGUACUAAAUUUGAUGAUUUAUAAUGGUGUACUAUGUAAAUCCAUAUAAUAACUACCUCCGUCCAAUGUUAACCUAUAUACAUAUAUAGGAAUAGGAUCAAAUAAUAUUUUUAAGUUACAAAGUUACAAACUUUUUUUUUGAAUUUUUUUAUUCUCCUAUCGUGUUUAAUCCUUAGUUAUAGAAGUAUCCAUGUUGAAAAUUAUUGAAAAAAUCACAAUUUUUAAAAAUAACGCAUAAAUAAAUCGUGCAUUUAACACAUCUAUAACUGUGGUUCAACAUCGGGUGUAGAACACUAAUUAUCAUUGUAUUGAAUAUAACCAUAAAUAUAUUUAAACUAUGUCUUUGGAGUUUGGGUAGGGUCUAGAAAUAUAAAUAUUAGUUAUAUAAUACGUUUAACUUAGUUCUUAUACUGAAAAAUUAGUUUUUGUAUUUCUCCAACACAAUCGAUGUUUAACAAAAUAUGUUAAAAAAUGUUGAACUCAAAUUAUAUAUAUGAUGAACGCAUAAAAUUUGUAAGUUUGUAAGACUCUUCAAUUAUUUAGGUUUUGGUUGCAUAGGAAGAUAGAAUGAGAAAAGGUUUCACAUUCAAUAUUUUAAAUAACGGUUUUUCUCGUGAGUGCCCAUGAGCACAUGUUAAGCACUGAGAUUCAUAAGUUUGGGUGAUUUUGAUUGGCUACUACUUCUUUAUAAUGGUGGAUCCCCCUACAAAUUCACCAACCACACCAAUCAAAAUCUACCAAACUUAUAAAAUUUGGUGUUUAAGAUGACGUUUGAAUGAGUUUAAAAUUAUGACUUUAUUUAAGAUGAUUUAGGAAACGUUUGAGUGAGGUUAAAAUAAGUGUUUCUUGAUUAAGGUAAAAAAAUGAAAUAGAAGUUAAAAACAAGUUAAGACUUAUAAGUGAUUAAAGUGUUUAGAAAAGAGGUAAAAGCUAGAAUUUGUAACUUUUAAAAAGUGUUUUUGUAUUUUUACACAAACAGGUCAAGAAAAACAGAAGCAAGACUUCUUAGAACGAAAGCACUUCUUUUGCUUGGCCAAACAAGCACUUAAUAUAAUAAUAUGUAAGUUAAAACUAAUUUGUGAUUAAAAAAAAAUAAAACAAUCUGCGAGUUAAAACUGACUGAUUGAAAAUUUUUGACUUAUUAAUAAUUUAUGAGUUGUUAAAAAUAUAAUAAUGAAAAUAAAAGUGAUUUAUGGAUAAUUUAUAACUUAUGAGUAACUGCUAUUAAAAAAAUUAAUUUUCAAAAUUUGUUGACAUAUUUGAUAAUUUUCUAUCAGUUAUGUUUUGUACUUAAUUCUGUUUUUAGAAAUAACAAUUUCAUGAAAACGACCAAUCAGACAGGCACUUGCCAAACUUCUGGUGACCAUAAUUCUUAUCUUAUCAUAUAGUAGUAUUUUAAAAUUAUUCGGAAAUAGAUAAAUUUAAUUGUUUGUAGUUGACAGGAAUAACACAGUUCAAGUCGCAUCAAAGAAAGAAAAGAAUUAAAUGCAUUUCAUUUCGAAUCACUUGUCGGCAUUCUUUUCUUCUGGUAUGCAAAUAAUUUAAUUUACUUUUCACAAAUAAAUAUAAAAACAAAUGCGCACCUACUUAUUAGCGGCCUGCACUGUAGAGUUCAACCGUACUGCAAAGUGGUCCAAGUUUGUUUGUUUAAAUCGUAAAUAUGUUAAAAUUAUGGGGCCAAACUGGUCUAGUCACUUAAUAAAUUAAAAUUAAAAUUUUAAAAAUAAAUAAAAUUUAUGAAUUUCGAUACUAUAAGUACUAAUUCAGUUUUAAUAUAAAAUAAAUUGUAAAAUUAACGUAUCAAGAUUUAAUUAUUUUCUUUCUCAAGAUAUUUGGUAAAAUCUUGGAUUCAUGUUUUCACCGAAAAAGCUCCGCUGAAAAGUACGGUUACAAUAUGAAUAUAUCUCGAUAUUUUAAACUUCAUUUCACUUAAUCUAAAAAUAAUAAUUAUAAGAAAAUUUAAUUAUUGAAUCCUUAACACAAAGUUUAACUACCGAAAAAAAGGCUUAUUAUAAAGGCGUUCUAUUUGGGAGGAAUCUUGUCAUUUUAAAGGCCCAACGCAAUAACCGUAACCAGGCCUUAACUAAGCCCAGUUGUAAUACCUUUAUAUUCUUAGUAGCAAGCAGUGUUGUAAAAAGCGGGAAUCGGACAUCGGUGAAGUUACGGAACAAGGAUUAAUCGAGGAUUAAUUGAAUUGAUCAGGGAUUAAUCGGAUUGAUCGGUGAUUAAUCGGAGAUUUAAUCAGUUCGGCGAGCUACGAAACAAGGAUUAAUCAGUGAUUAAUCGUGAUUAAUCACCGAAUUUUGGAACAGAGGUAGCAAGUAGCAAAUACUUGGCGGGUUUUGAAAUAUUAGUUUUAUUAAAAAAUUAUACUAAAAAAACCCUAUAAACAAUUGAGAUACCACCACGGAAACAACCCAUUGGUCAAAGGCCACCGGUCCACCAGUCCGGAGAUCUUCUUCCAACUGUGUUUAACCAAACAAACCAAUGCUUAAUUAAAUGCCGUUCACACGUUAAUAAAUUAUUAUGAUGCUGAGUCUAUGAUAUUACUGGCAUGAAAACACAGUUUCGUUUUAGAUAAUAUGAGUAUGAUAAUAUUUAUAUAUUGUGUGUGAUCAUAUUCUUUAAAGUAUGAAUUCUAUUUUUUUAAUUCUUUAAUAAAAUAUGUGGAUAUGAAAUGUAAUAUUUGUAACCUAAUUAACAUUAAAUAAUAAUAAAAUAUUGAUAAAUAAAAUAACAAUAAAUUUAAUACUAAUAUCAAAAUCAAUCCAGUUAUUGUACAUAUUACAAGAAUAAAACUUUUUAACUCCAUCAUCAAAAUACAUAAUAAUAAUGUGUAUUUAAAUAUUUAUUGUUAAAUAUAAUCAGUAUUGAACAGAUUAUCUAUAAACAAAUAAAAAAAAUUAAGGUUACAUUAGUUUUAAAUUUUAGAUUUUGAAUAUAAUAGUAAGUCAAUUGUCACAUUUCUAAAUUACACAUAUAAUAGAGCAUAACAGUUAAACAAACUUAUUAUUCUACUAUUUGAUCAAUGGUCAAUUGACCAACUAACUGGAAUAACUAUAGUAAUAAUAAUUGAAUUAUUAGAUUUCAGUCAAUGUACUUAUAAUCUUAUGUUAAGUUGUUUCAUACAGUCGGUUGUUUUAAUAACUAGAUUUGCUAAGAAAACAGAUCAAAGGGGAGCUGUAUGAUUAAGGUCAACUAAUCCAAAUGAUUAAACAUCAUUUCCGGUCUAUAACUUGUCUAAUCCUUAAGACCAAAUCUGGCUUUGAGUUUGUGUAGAUAGACUCUGAAGUUCCUGCAAGAAAUCUGAGAAAUCUGGUCAUGCUGACCCAAGAUUUUCAUUUACGUCAUAUUAAAAACUUUUUAAUAUUCUUAAAUUAUUCUCCUAUAAACAGUGUUGUAAAAAGCGGGAAUCGGACUUAAUCGGUAAAGUCACGGAACAAGGAUUAAUCGGGGAUUAAUUGAAUUGAUCGGUGAUUAAUCGGAGAUUUAAUCAGUUCGGCGAACUACGCAACAGAGAUUAAUCGGUGAUUAAUCGUGAUUAAUCAGCGAUUUUUAGAACAGAGCCUAUAAACAGAAGUGUGCAUUGUAGUUUAAACGCAGUAUCUAGCAUCAAUUUUCAUGUUAAGUGCAAGCAUGACAUACUUUAAAAACCCCUGUUAUCACCUUCUAUCUGUUGUAUUUUUUCUCCUGCUAUUUCCAUCGAUCCCCGCGACAAGAGAAGAAGGAGAAGCUCUAGUGAACUGGAAGAACAGCCUAUCCCCGUCCUCGUUCUUCGAAUCUUGGUCCUCAGCCAAUCUCAACAAUCUUUGUAACUGGACUGGCAUUACCUGCAACUCCGAGGCCUCAGUAUCUGAAAUCAACCUUUCGGAAAAACAACUCCAAGGAACGCUUGCUGAGUUCCGCUUCAAUUUGUUACCAAGUCUAAAAACUUUUACCAUCAGCCGUAACAACUUCACUGGUCCAAUUCCAUCAGAUAUUGGAAAUUCAACUGAGCUUCAAUACGUCGAUUUUAGCUUUAAUUUUCUCAAUGGUUCUAUACCAUAUCAGGUUAGUCAUCUUCAGAGGUUGCGCGCCUUAGACCUGUCAUAUAAUCUCCUGGAAUCUCCAAAUUGGUCCGAGUUUUCGCCCAUUCCUUCCUUGACUAAACUUUAUCUCAGAUCAAAUAAUCUUGCCUCCAAAUUUCCAGGAUUUAUAUCCAGUUGUCAGAGCCUGACAUAUCUUGAUCUUUCACAUAACUUCAUAACAGGCGAUCUCGCGCAAGAAUCAUUAUUUGACAAACUGAUACAUCUUGAAUCCUUCUCUAUUCGUAAUAAUUCUAUUGAGGGGCCGUUUCCACCAAGUAUAUUUCCUCUUUCCAAAUUACGAUUUCUUGACCUAUCAAGAAAUAACUUUUCAGGUUCUAUUCCCCGGAAUAUAGGAUUGCUUCGUGAUCUUGAAUAUCUCAGCUUAUUUUUUAAUUCAUUCGAAGGAAGCAUACCUUCAUCUAUUGGUCUACUUAGGAAGCUUCAAUUACUAGAUAUCGGAUAUAAUUAUUUAAAUUCCUGUAUUCCUCGUGAAAUCGGGCUUUUGACUAAUCUCAGCGAAUUAUAUCUCAAUGUCAAUAGUCUUACUGGCAAAAUUCCUUCUGAGCUCGGCCUCUUGACUAAGCUCAACUAUAUAAUUCUUUUUUCCAAUAAUCUGACCGGAGAUAUUCCAUCUGAAAUCGGAAACCUGAAGCUACUGACUCGGCUUCUCCUCGGGUCUAAUCAUUUGACUGGAUCGGUUGCAAACUCCAUUUCUAAUCUCAGUAAUCUAGAGUUUCUUGGUCUACCUAAUAACAGAUUUUCUGGAAAUAUUCCUAGUGACUUCUGGAAAAAAUAUAAAUCGUUAUUAUACAUCGACUCCAGGAACAACAAUUUGUCAGGAAGCAUUCAGGGAUUUGAUGCUAAUCUGAAUCUUACUUUCAUUAAUCUGAGCGGAAACCAUCUUACAGGUAUACUUUUUCACCUUAUUUUACUCCCUCCACUUUGAAAUAUACUUCGUUUGACUUUUUGGCACACGUUUCCAAGUCCUUUGACCUUAUUAUUAAGAUAAUUAUUUUUAAAGUAUUAUAUUUUUGAAUUAUUAUAUGGUCGUGUCAAAAAAUCAAACUACAUGUAUUUCAAAACAGAGGGAGUACUUUAUUUGAACGCUAAUGAAUCGGUUAGAAAUUGACUAAAGUUUCUACAUUUUAACAGGUGAGAUUCCUGCAACUAUUUGCAAUGUCACAUCCCUUGAGAUUCUUGAUCUCUCGGACAAUGGAUUAAGCGGUGCACUUCCACGUUGUCUGGGAAAGCUUGCUGAUAAUCUGCAUACCAUGGUUCUUGGUAAUAAUCAGCUUCAAGGGACAAUACCAGCAACCUUCACCAAGAGCUGUCACCUAGCAGUUUUAAACACGGAAAGCAAUCACUUUGAAGGAACGCUGCCCCAAGCUUUAUCAAACUGCAAGGACUUAAAAAUUCUUAAUAUGGGAAACAACCACAUUGGAGGUAUAUUUCCGUCAUGGCUAAGUACUCUUGCACAGCUAGAAGUCCUUGUCUUUCGAUCAAAUAGACUUCACGGUGAAGUAAGUAUAGGUAAUACAACACGUCCCUUCCUUAAGUUGCGAAUUGUGGAUCUCUCUAACAAUGAAUUCACUGGCCAUUUGCCUAUUCAGUAUUUUUAUAAUAUGAGGCCGAGUAAUAAGGGAUAUGAUUAUGUCAUUACAAAAGAGAAUUUCGAGUACUUUUACCAAGCAUCAGUCUCACUAAGUGUAAAAGGGACAGAGUAUGAAGUGAAACAAAUCCUUUAUAUUUACACAGCCAUUGAUCUGUCGCGCAACAAAUUUCAAGGGGAAAUUCCAGAGGUCACUGGAGAGCUUAGAUCGCUUGCGUUGCUAAAUCUAUCUCAUAAUAGUCUUACAGGGCCUAUCCCGUCAUUGUUGGGGAAUAUGGAAGCACUCCAGUCUUUAGAUUUGUCAUCAAACCAAUUGACAGGUGCUAUACCUGAGCAGUUAACUACUUUGACAUUUAUUGGGGCCUUGAACCUUUCAGAAAACCAUCUUACUGGAGAAAUCCCUCAAAAAGGACAGUUCAGUACUUUUGGCAACGAUUCAUACUUGGGUAACCCGGCCUUAUGCGGACUUCCUUUAACAAAGAAAUGUAGGCACACGUUGCCACCAACACAAGAAAUCCUAAAUGGUGAUGAAGAUGAUGCUAAUGAUGAACUCAGUUGGGAGGUGAUCCUGAUAGGGUAUGCAUGUGGAUUGAUAUGCGGAUUAUCUUUUGGGUACAUUGUUUUCACCAUGGGAAAGCCUUGGUGGUUUGUGAGAUACGUCGAAGAACUGCAACAGAAGUUGAUGAGGACACACAUGAAGAAAAUUAUUCGAUCAAGAAGCACAACUUGAUAAAAUGUUGUCUUGGGAUAACCUGAUUUCUGAAUUAGUAGACUAUUAUGCACAUAUAUGUAGUUCAUUAUUAUAUUAUUUUAUGCCAAUUGCAGAGUAGUCUGGUUCUCAUAACAAAUUUAGUCUUGUUUCACUGUUUAUUAAAACUACAUGCCAUGUUUCUGUAGGAGUGAAUACAAUUAUGUUAACUUAAGCAUGACAGGCAGGAACCGAUCUGCAGAAAUGACGUUAAUUGAUACAAUUGGAACCUGCAAGUUAUAUGCAGAAAGCACGCGGUGCCUCCCAAAUUCCAGAGACCUACAACUUCACAUAAAUGUCGUUCACAGCACUUAAUGAUCACUUGUUUGUAGUAACUAACACGUCUUCCGUCUACAAUGUAAAUGAUAGUGGAAGGUACUGAUUUCCACUUUCUUAGCAACACACUAACAACAGUGACGGAUCUAGAACUUUGAAAUUUCAUUGUUUUUUUUGGUUGAACAAGUAACUUACUAGAAUUUAAUUUAAUCAUAGCUACCAUAUGAAAAUCAAUAAUAUUGUUGACUCCUCUGCUUAACUAUGACUCCUGUGCAUGCCAAUCUCCAAAUACACAAAAAUGUUAUUUACUAAGAGAAGUUUGUUGAUAGCUAAAGGAUAUAGUCUCCGGGAAAAAAAUCCACUGACCAACUUAAUACACAGCUCAGCAGUUUAUGAGCAAGGGUCUGAGUCUUGGCUACCUGGAAAUGAAUUGAAAAAAUAGAAGUUAAUGCAUAGUUUUCUUGAAGUGUGAAGACUUGUUUUGUGAGUUGGUCCUCCAUAUUAGAAAUUAAAGUUUUUUUCAACAAAAAUCCGGUGGAACAUAUCAUUUUCCACUAUACCUUUUAUUUUCAGUUUCUUGCCAUCGAAGAGCACUAAUUCCAUCGGCAGUGAUUUGGAAGAACAGGUCUCUUGCCACUCCAAUUCCUAAGAAAAUUUAGCACAUAAAUAGAAGUGUGCCUUGCACUAUGAGAUGUACAAUGUGACAGGAAACAUGUUGCACUUCCCAAAGCCUAAUUAUCACCUCAUUGUGCUUGUUUUCUUUCUACUAUUGCUUCCAUCUACCCUCACAACAGUAUCUACGACAAGAGAAGGAGAAGCUCUGUUAAAAUGGAAGAACAGUCUACCACCAUCCUCUUCCCUAAAUUCUUGGUCACCCGUCAAUCUCAAUAAUUUGUGUAACUGGACUGGCAUUAUCUGUAACUCUGCAGGUUCAGUCUCAGAAAUAAACCUUUCACUAAAACAACUUAGUGGAACGCUUGCCAAUUUCAGUUUCACUUCAUUUCCAAAUCUUAAUAGUCUUGACAUUAGUGGCAACAACUUCACAGGUCCAAUACUACCUGCCAUUGAAAAGUUCACGCAGCUUCAGCAUCUUGAUUUUAGCUUUAACAAGCUCAAUGGUAUCAUUCCAAACCAAAUUUGGCAUCUUCAGAGAUUGCGCACCUUAGACCUGUCAGUUAAUCACUUGGAAGCUUCAGACUGGUCUAGUUCUUUCUCCAUGCCUUUUCUGACCAACCUCGACCUUAGUUUCAAUAAACUUGGGGCAAAAUUCCCAGGCGUUACAUCCAAUUUUUGUAACCUAACAUAUCAAUUAUUUCCUGAGUCAUUAGUUAACAAUCUGCAUAAUCUGGAAGUCCUUUCUCUUCAUCACAAUUCUCUCGAUGGGCCAUUUCCACCAAGCAUAUUCAAGCUUUCCAAAUUAAGAUAUCUCUCCCUAUCAAGUAAUCAUUUUUCAGGUUCUAUUCCGGAUGAUAUAGGGAUGCUUGGUGAUCUUGAAUCCCUUUAUCUGGGUCACAAUUCUUUUGAGGGGCCCUUCCCACCAAUUUUUUUCAAAUUUUCCAAACUAAUAAAUCUGUCCUUAUCAGGGAAUAUUUUUUCAGGUUCUGUUCCAGGUGAUAUAAGGAUGCUUAGUGAUCUGGAAUACCUUGAUCUUAGUCGGAAUUUUUUUGAGGGGCCUUUUCCACCAAAUAUAUUCAAGCUUUCCAAAUUAAAAGUUCUUGACCUAUCAAGAAACAAUUUUUCAGGUUCUAUUUCAGAUGAUAUACGGAUGCUUCAUAGACUUGAGUUGCUCCAUCUCGAGUACAACUCUUUUCAGGGACCCUUUCCACCAAAUAUAUUGAAGCUUCCGAAUUUAAGAGUACUUGACCUAGCAGACAAUGACUUUUCAGGUUUUAUUCCCAGUGAUGUAAACAUGCUUCAUGAUCUGAAAAUACUUUCAUUGUUUUCUAAUUCAUUUGAAGGAAGUAUUCCUUCUUCUAUAAGUCUACUCAGGGAGCUACGAUACCUUCACCUCGGGUCUAAUUAUCUCAAUUCCACUAUUCCUUUUGAGCUGGGGCUCUUGACAAACCUUGACCGAUUAUAUCUUGAUUCCAAUAAUCUUACUGGCAAUAUCCCACCUGACAUAGGAAACUUGAAACUACUGAGAGUACCAAGUCUUGAUUCUAAUCAACUCACUGGACCGCUUCCAAAGACCAUUUCUAAUCUCACUAAACUAGGGUUUCUUAACCUGAAAGAUAAUAAGUUUUCCGGCAAUAUCCCAAGUGACUUCUGGAAAACUUCUACAUCCUUAUAUUCCAUUGAUUUUUCCGACAACAACUUGUCUGGAAACAUUCCCAAGGAAUUUGAUGUUCACCCAAUUUUGGAAUGCAUCAAUUUAAGUGGAAACCAUUUUACAGGUCUGUUCUUUUCCUUAUUUUUCCUUUUUGUCUACAACUAUGCAGGUAAUCAGAUUAGUGAAUAUUGACUGAAGCUCCUCUGUUUAUACCAGGUAUGAUUCCCACAACAAUUUGCAACGCCACAUCCCUUCGGGUUCUUGUUCUGUCAAAUAAUGGAUUAAGUGGCACACUUCCAAAUUGUUUGCGAAAUCUUGCUGAUAAACUGCUUUCUAUUGAUCUUGGUAAUAAUCAAUUUCAAGGAAGAAUGCCAACCUUCUCCGAGGGAUGUCAGCUGACAUAUCUGAACAUGUACAACAAUUACUUUGACGGAGUGUUGCCUCAAUCUUUUGCUAACUGCAAGCAGUUAAAAGUUCUUGAUAUAGAAAACAACAAAAUAAGUGGUACAUUUCCCUCAUGGCUAUUUACUCUUGCAGAGCUAGAACUCCUUGUCUUGCGGUCGAAUAGACUUUAUGGUACAGUAAGUUUAAGAAGCACAACAGAUCCCUUUCCCAAGUUGCGCAUCAUGGAUCUCUCAAACAAUGACUUCACAGGCUAUUUGCCAAUUCAAUAUUUCAAAAAUAUGAAGCCGGUUGAUAAGGGGUAUGAUUAUCAUAAUUUCACAGCACCAUUUUAUUACUACUAUCAAGCAUCUAUCUCGUUAACUGUGAAAGGGACUGAGUACCAAGUGAGCAAGAUUCUUCAUAUUUACACAGCCAUUGAUCUGUCAUGCAACAAAUUUCAAGGAGAAGUCCCAAAGGUUAUCGGAGAACUUAAAUGGCUUGCAUUGCUCAACUUAUCUCAUAAUAGUCUUACCGGACCUAUCCCAUCACAGCUCGGAAAUAUGAAAGCACUCCAAUCUCUGGAUUUGUCUUCAAAUCAAUUCACAGGGGCUAUCCCAUACCCGUUAAUUGGUUUGACAUUUCUAGAGGUCCUGAACCUCUCAUAUAACCAUCUCACCGGAGAAAUUCCCCAAAAAGGACAACUGAGCACGUUCACUAAUGAUUCUUACCUAGGUAAUCUUGCCUUGUGUGGAUCUCCUUUAACAGAGAAAUGUGCACACGAAGAGUCACCACCACAAGAAGUCGGAUAUGAUGAAGAUGGUGCAGAUAAUAAAUUCCAAUGGAAAGUAGUCCUAAUGGGAUAUGUUAUCGGAUUAGUAUGUGGAUUGUCUUCAGGUUACAUUUUUCUCACAACUGGAAAGCCUUGGUGGUUUUUGAGAUACAUCGAACAACUGCAGCAAAAGUUGAUCAGAAGAAUCACGUAGAGUACUGUUUGAUUAAGAUGAGCAACUUGAAAAGAAUGUUUACUAGACCAGUGGUAUGUCGGGAACAUUAAUGUGUGGUGUCAUAUAAUAUUUGAAAUGCUAAUGUCAGCACUAGUUCUAGUUCGGGCCUGAUACCAGGGGCGGAUCUAGGAAGAGGCACGCGGGGACACGUGUCCCCCCUAAAUUUUCUUUUUACAUUUUUUCACCAUUAUAAAGUUUACAAAAUUAUAAAAGUGCCCCCAAAGAAUUUAAAAAUAUAUAGGUAUUUUCCGAAAAUUUGCUUCGUGCCCCCUAACAUUUGUGGGCUAGAUCCGCCCCUGCCUGAUACUGAUUUACUCGUCUCAGAGCUACAUAUUUCGUUCAAUGUUAAUGCAAAAGGAAAAAAACAUACUACACACUAAAUCAACUUUGUAUCAAGUCGAGUUUUGGAGAUGCCAUUAUCAAAAGAAAAACACGGUGAAUGAUAUUUAUUAAGAACACGACUUGAACCAUAAGUGCAUGAAAAUCGUCUUUCAAAGUAUGGCAGGGGGGUGAAUCGUGCACACCAUGGAUAGUCACCUGAAAGCUAACCAUUCUGAGGUUCGUGGAAGCUGAUUUCAUACUCUUNCUGAAAGCUAACCAUUCUGAGGUUCGUGGAAGCUGAUUUCAUACUCUUGAAAGCUAUCUUUAGGAGGUCGAAACUUUAAUUUGUGUUACAUAACAUUUCAUUAUGCAAGACGGAUGGUUUCAGGGAAACUGUACUAGAGAGCAAGUACCAAAUAGUAAGGUAAACUUUCGAUGAUGAAAUUCCUCCCUGAUUUUUACAUCAUUCCAUGUUUUAGACUUGACAGAACAAUCGGGCGAAUGUUCUGGUCAAUUUUUUCAUGGUUGGGCCAAAAGAAUUAUAGUACAAAUGGGUGAGAAAGUGAGAAAGUUAAUUUUAGCGAUCGCUUUUCAUUAUUUAUAAUGACGAUCAAUUUUAUCUGAUUACUUUUAAUUUUAUCUUUUAUGCUUAUUUUUUUUUUUUUGUAUGGUCUACAUAAUCGUAGAUGAAUUGUAUCGAAAUACAAUAAACCGCAACCGAGAUUUCUUUCUUUCAAGAAAGUUUAUUAUCUAACCGAAAGCCAUGCAAUCAUAACUCCGGACGUUUAGACAAUAAAAUUUAAAUGAAUGAGAAAAGAAUACCCAUACAGCUCGCUUCCACAGUAUCCUGAGAAAAAACAAUCAAACAAAAUAUAAAUUAAUAUACAAGAAAAUCUAAUAAAAACAAAAACAAAAGAGUUUAUAUAUAAAAAAAAUAGAGAGGAAAUAUAUAUAUAUAUAUAUAUAGGGUCAAGUUCGAGAUAGAACCACAUUAUACUUAGAACUUAGACCCUAUAAAUUACCAUUAGAUAUAAAUAGGAUGUGUGGUUAAGAUUAUCAUUGGUAUUAAUCACAUGUUAUAUAUUUAGGUGACAUUUAUAUGUAUGCACAUUUAAUAAAUGAGAGUUAAUAACCAGAUUUAUUACUUUCCAUGAUUAAUACAAAUCUCAAUUAAAUUUUAUGUAUAUAAAUCAGUAUAACAAAAUUAAAUAUAUCAAAUAUUUUGUUUUCAUACAUAACAAAUUUGUGUGAUUUAAUUCUAUAUGUGUAAAUGUAUAACAAAUUUACGUGAUACUGUUGCAGCACUUGUACUAAUAUAAAAGAUGGUGUUAUAAUGCAAUAUUUUUCUAAAAAGAUGGAAAUACUGCUAUAGUACAUCAAAUAUCAUACUUAUAUUAUUUAAUAAUUAUACCGAUACUAUUGCAAUACAUAGUUUUUUUUAAAAAAAAAUAAAUAUAAAAGUACUGCUAUAGUACAUCAAAUACUAAUAUAAAAGAUGGUGUUAUAAUGCAAUAUUUUUCUAAAAAAUAGAAAAUACUGCUAUAGUAUGUCAAAUANNNNNNNNNNNNNNNNNNNNNNNNNNNNNNNNNNNNNNNNNNNNNNNNNNNNNNNNNNNNNNNNNNNNNNNNNNNNNNNNNNNNNNNNNNNNNNNNNNNNNNNNNNNNNNNNNNNNNNNNNNNNNNNNNNNNNNNNNNNNNNNNNNNNNNNNNNNNNNNNNNNNNNNNNNNNNNNNNNNNNNNNNNNNNNNACUAAAUAUUCAUAAAUAAUAUUUAUUCAAUCACAAUUUAAAACGUAACCAAUACAAUUAAAAUUAAUAAAGAUAAAUAAUGAACAGCCAAUAAGAGAGAUCCCGUAAUUAAAGUCAGUCCAAAUUAAAAUUCAAUUAUUGCCUAAAAAUCAAACAAUCAUGAUAAAUUAUGAAUUCAUAAAAUUUAAAAUUUAAACCUUAAGAAGAUAAAUAAAGACCAUCAUAAAUGUUAUUAAAUAUUCAUAAAGAAUAUUUAUCAAGAUAUAUUCCUUUCCAAAAUUAACCGAAAAAAUUGAAUACUUGCAUUUUAAAAAAUUUGCACAUAAAUAUACAAACAAAUAUAAUAUAUAAAAGCAACGCCAUAAUUCAAAAUAAAUUGAUAUCGAAACACUCAACAAUAUUACAUGCACCUAAAAACAUGUUAAAAAACUAAAAAGAUUAAUCUAGAAGAUCAAAUCACACACUUAACAAACACAUACAAUCAAGAAUACCUAUCGAAAAUCUAUAUCGAGAAUCUAUAACAGACCUAAUUUCAAAUCGAUAUUCCGGUCAACCAUCACAAAUCCGGCUAAGAUAAAACAUGUCAGAAAAAGGGGGAAAAAUGGAUACAUAACUCGACUUGAUCUACAAAACUAAUCAAACAAAAUUCUAAAACAGAUACGAAUCCAUGAUUUCAAUCAACUCAAAAUUCUAUACACCUUAAAAUUAGAAGAGGAAAAGCAUAAAAUGAUUUCUAUGAUAUAGAUAUGUUAUCGUAAUUCAUAAGUUAUACAAAACAUAAAGAACAAGCAAAGAACACAUAACAAGCAUUUAUUUUGGAUCAUAACAAUAUAAUCAAAAGAAGAUGAAAGAAGCGUACCUUUUCAAAGAGACGGAGAUAUUUUGAAAAACUAUAAAAUUGAGAGAAUAAACAUACCGAAUCCGAAAAUAAAAUCCAUAAAUUGUCACGAGCAAAAUCAUCUUUUGAUCCAUCAAAAUCUUUUAAAUAUUACAUCACCUUGUUUUCUUUGGUCGCUCGGUACCUUCUUUCUUAUCUUUUAUGCUUAUUAAAAACACAGAAGAUCGUGUAAACAAAAUUAAUACAAAACGUACUUAUUCAUAGAAUAUGAUUUACUUCACUUAACUGCGCUUAAUUAUUUGAAAGGAAAGAAUACAACACAAAAUUAAAUAUAUAAGAUCUGUUAAUUUUGGAAAUGAGAAUUUUUUUAACAUAAUCAUUGAUAACAUAUUUUUCCAACUUAUUUAUAUCUGCCAGAAUUAAAUAAAAUAUGCCUCAAUAGGUUAUCAUUCUUAAUGUGAAACUGCAAAAUUAUAUAUAUUUUCAUUUAUGCCAUAUUCUUAGACAAAAAUUAAAAACAAAAUAAUGAUCCUGAUCAGCUUUAAAGGGUGUAAAACAAGUGUAAAAUAAGUAAAGUAAUUUAACUUUCACUUAUAUUAUUAAGACAAAAGUAAGCGGAAAUAAACAUAAUUUCAAUAGAUUUAACUUACUCUCCAGAAUCGAUAAGUUUGGAACACGUUGAUUGAGCACAAGACGAAGGCCACACAUGCGCAUCGUCUGAUGCAGCUAUGGUGCCUUUACAGUUGCUCAUACAUAUAGUGAAACAAUAAGGAUCAACUCCUCCAUUGUGCGUACACAUUUUCUAUCCUUAUUUUCAUACAAUAAGGAUAGAGUCUUUGCAAUCUCGUCAUGACCAGCUAUACAUCCGAUCAUGAUAAACUCUAGCAGGAUCAUCCAAGUAAUAAUUUUCAUAAUGAUAUUAAUUAUCAUUGUGAAUAGUUGCAUUGAGUUAUGUAUGUGUGUGUAUAUAUAUGCAAUGGAUUUUGUGGUUGAGAAUAUCUAUUAGAUUUUGUAUAUCCAUAACAAUUAUUAAAAUUUGAACAAUAAUAUCCAUUAUUGGUUGUGGUUGACUAUUGUAGUAGUCCAAGAAGUCUAUGCAAGUGAAAUCUAUAUUAUAUUUAAAAAGAUUAUACAUGAAAUACAAAAGGUUUUUUUAGGACUGCUGUUAAAAAUUGUUAUGUUGUACGAAAAAAUGCUGAUAAAAAAAGUGUUAUACGAAAAUUUAAAUGCUGAUAAAAAAAAUGUUGUAGAAAUCAGACAUGACAGCUUCCCACAAAAGCUGAAAAAACAAUUUUCCGUAAUAAUAUGGGAGGAGAAAAACUGUUUAUAGAUUUAUAGAACAAUUUUUCACAUAUUUUUUGAUAAAAAGCUGUUGUUGUCUUCAAGCUGAGUAAUGCCAAACAGUUCCGAAAUCAUUUUGCAGGUAGUUAAUCUCACUUCCAUAUAAUAUACUCCUAUAUAUUACCGAAAAAACAUGAAAUGAUGCAAAUCUCAUACUAUUGACAACAGGUAAACUCCUUGCAAUACUUUGAGCUGCAAAAUCCAUCAAAUUUGUUGAUAUAUCAAUGUAACUGUUUGACAGAGUACUUCCAAGCUAAGUAUCAAAAAUCACUACCUUACGAAAUAUAUCUCACCCUACCUUCUCUGCUUAACUGUUUCGAGUACUUUUACCAAGCAUAUUUUCCAUUAAGGUGAAAGGCACAGAAUAAUUAAGGAUCACCUAUCCCAUCAGUGCCGGGGAAUAUGGAACCAUCUUAUCAGUUAACUAGUUUAACAUUUCUCGCGGUCUUGAACCUCUCAGAAAACCAUCUUAUACUCAUGUGCGGACUUCCUUUGACGAAGAAAUGGUGAUGCUGAUGCUAAUGAUAAUGAACUCAACUGGGGAGUGAUCCUUAUGGGAUACGGAUGUGGAUUGAUAUGCGGAUUUUCUUUGGGGUUUAUAUUUUGUGGUUUGUGAGAUACAUUGAAGUACUGCAGCUGGAGUUGAUCAUUAUAAAGAACAUAGGCAAGUUAAUCGCUUAUUGAAAUUAGUAAUUGUCAAAAGUAAAAUGUUGAAAUUACUUUUUCCGAAUGAAAUCAUCGGCAAAAAGUCUCUGUCGAAUUUGAUCUGCCAAAAUUAUGUUUAAUAUCUACGGCCAAGAUUAUCUGUCGAAAAUAUUUCCCGACAAUUUUAAAAGACAAAUUUGUCGCGUCUCAGUUGUGAGCAGGAAUAGAUAUUUUCGACAGAAUUCCACUGAAAUUAGCUAAUUUCAACAUAAAUUUUCUAUCGAAAUUACUCGGGUUUUUUGUAGCGUAUCUGAUAGCCUUUGGGGACUGGGGUAUAUUGUUUUCACAAAGCCCUGGUGAUUUGUGAGAUGCAUCGAAGGACCGCAACUGAAGUCGAUAAGAACAUGCAGAAAGAAAACUGAUCCAUCUUGAUAAACUUGAAAAAUGUUGUCAUAUGGUGAUAUAUACUCCCUGGCCCCAGUCUCUUGGAAAGAACUUAGUUGAUUUUUUUUUUUCAGUAUCCAUCCCUAAUAGUUGCAGCAAAUUAAAAAAUAUAGUUAUAUCUUUUUAGCAAUGGUGCAAUUUGGAAAGCUUUCUCAUCAUCUUCUUCUUUUCUUUAUCUCAUUACUCUCAUUUAAUUCCACUGUCCUGCAACAAUUCGCCAAGGAGAAGCUCUAGUUGAAUGGAAGAACAGCCUAUCCCUGAAUUCGUUUCUUGGUUCUUGGUCACUAAUUAAUCUCACUUAUCUUUGUAAUUAAGUGGACUGGCAUUGUAUGCAACUCUCUGCAGGUUCAGUCAGUCAGAUUAAUCUUCAAGAACUCACAGGAACACUUGCUAACCUCGGUUUCUUUUCGUUUUCAAAUCUCACCAAUAUCAACAUUACACAUAACAACUUCACUGGUCCAAUACCACCCGAGAUUGGAAAUUUACGACGGAACAAUGUGUCAUAAGUUUCAGUUUUCCUCCAAAACUUACGACGGAUGUUCAUACAUAACUUCUGUCGCAAGUUCAACUUUUUUCAAAAGGAAAACCAGGACCCACAACAGACAUGCGAUAGAAACUUCCGUCGUAAGGUAGUUAACAUACGACGGACCGAGCAUCGUAAGAUAAAAUUUAUCCAGACAAGGAUCUGGGCCCCACAACAUACUUGCGACGGAAAGUUCCGUCGUAAAUUCUGUAACUUACGACGGUUUUAAUACUUACGACGCAUGUUUGGAAUUGUGAUGUAUUUUGCAACUUUCGACUUGACAAAAAAUGACGGAAAAAGUCCGUCGUAAAGUAAGAACUACUUCCAUCGUAAAAACCCAGUUUUGUUGUAGUGUCUGCAGGUUCAGUCAGUCAGAUUAAUCUUCAAGAACUCACAGGAACACUGGCUAACCUCGGUUUCUUUUCGUUUUUCUAAUCUCACCAAUCUCAACAUUACACAUAACAACUUCACUGGUCCAAUACCACCCGAGAUUGGAAAUUUAACAGACGUUCAGUACCUCGACUUUAGCUAUAAUAAUCUCAAUGGUAAUGGUACCCUUUCAUACCAGGUUAGCCACCUUCAGAGGUUGGUCGUCUUACGGCUGUCAUUUAAUCACCGAAAGCUCCGAGUUUGUCCAAUUUUUCCCCCAUACCUAAACUGGUUGGUCUCGGUCUUAGUGGUAAUAAGCUGGCGUCAAAUUUUCCAGAAUUCAUAUCUAAUUGCUAUAACAUAAUUAAUCUUGAUCUUUUAUUUAACGUGUUAACUGGCCUGGUGAUCCAAUGCCUGAAUCAGCAGAUGACAAUUUACGUAAUCUUGAAGAACUGUAUCUUGGUGCCAAUUCUUUCGAGGGGCCAUUUCCAACGAAUAUAUUCAAGCUUUCCAAAUUAAGGGUUCUUGACCUAUCUAUGAAUAAUUUUUCAGGUUCAAUUCCUGAUGGUAUAGGGAUGCUUCCUGAUCUUUGAAUAAUUCGUUUAUAUAAUUCAUUUGAAGGAAUUAUUCCUUCUUCAAUUAGUCUACUUAAGGAUCUUCAACACCUAGACUUCAGUGACAACCUUCUAGUUUCAAGUAUAAUGUCUUACGGGUCCAAUUUAACCGAUCAUUAUAGGCAACCCCAUUAGAGAUGCUCUUAAUAACAUUUUAACUAGAGAAUAUCUUACUUUCAGUUGCAUUUGUAUUAAAUCUGAUUUAGAUGAAGAGAAACAGAAUACAUAUGAUCCUGAGACAACAUUUUGUCAAUGUUUUCGUCUUGAUUAAACAGUCUUCUUCAUGCGUGUCCUUGUCAACUUCAGUUGCGGUAAUUCAAUGUAUCUCACGAACCACCUUGGCUUUCCCAUUUUGAAAACAAGUAUCCUGAAGAUAAUCCGCAUAUCAAUCCACAUCCGUAGCUCAGUUGAUUUAUUAAUUUAUUCAUGAAGUGGCGAACGACAUUCCUGCAAAAGUAAAAGUCAGUGGAAUUUGUAUGAUAGCAUGAUCCAUGAUGAAUAUUUAAAGUUUCAGCUAGAAUUUCACCAAGUAAUUUAUUUCUUGCUUAAGUCCCGGAUUGACGAAUUUUGCUGAUCACAUUUCUAAUCGACCAAUUCUGGUCGAAUAAAUUAAAUGGCACACUUCCUGAGUUGGUGGUGGGGGCGUUCUUCUUGUGUUUCUUUCUUUUCAUUAUUGACAUUGUUAUCCAGGUCCUUGCUUCUGGGCUUUUGUAAAGCACCCAUUUACUCCAUUGUCAUGAUCAUAGCUAGUCUUCCAUAUCCAAGAUACGCGCAUUAUAGUGGAUUUAUCUUUAUUAGUGAUUUCUGUGGAAAUGCAUAAUCUUUAUAAGCUCCAAUAUUAUAAAAUAAACCUAACUUAUUAGAGUUAACAGGGCAUUUGUGUUGAUAAUUUGCGCAAUGUUAUGGGGAUCGCUCCCAAGUCUUGGACGGACUCUUUCCAAGUCUUCUGAGGACCCAUCUGCACACUAAUUUGUCCGCCAACUAAAAAUUUAUAUAUAUUUUUCCAUAGAAUAUAAAUAGUUGGGGGUACUAACAGAACCUCUAGUAAAAUUAAUUAAUACCGUUAUGAUUUCGCAAACACAGCAGACAGCAGGCAUAAGGCUUAUAAAUAGAAGUGUCGUAUUUGGUUGAUGGUCAAGUUGAGUGGAAAUAUGGCACACUUUGUAAUGCCUUGUUAUCCUCUUCUCUUUGUUUUCUUUCUCUCAUUACUUCAAUCCAUUCUAACAACACAAGAGGGAGAAGCUCUUGUGAAAUGGAAGAAUAGCCUAGCCCCUUCUUCUUUUCUCGACUCUUGGUCACUCACCAAUCUCGAUAAUCUUUGCAACUGGACUGGCAUUACUUGUAACUCUGCAGGUUCAGUCUCUCUGAUUAACCUCUGUGAGAAACAACUUGAUGGAAUGCUGUCUGAGUUUGGUUUCACUUCAUUUCCAAAUCUCAACAAUCUCACCCUCGCAGUUAACAACUUCUCCGGUCCAAUACCAGCAGCCAUUGAGAAUUUAACAGAGCUUCGGUAUCUUGAUUUGAGCAAUAAUUAUCUAGAUGGUCCCAUUCCUUUCCAGGUUAGCCAUCUUCAGAGGUUGCUCAUCUUAAAUCUGUCACGGAAUGCAUUGCAAGCUCUAAAUUGGUCCAAUUUCUCUCCCAUGCCUUUUUUGCGCAUCCUCAAGCUCAGUAGAAAUCAUCUUGCGUCGAAAUUCCCAAAUUUUAUAUCCAAUUCUCAUAGCCUGACUCACCUUGACCUUUCAUAUAACAUGUUUACCGGUGAUCUAGCAUGUGAACCAAUAUUUGCCAACCUGCAUAAGCUUGAAGUGCUUAGUCUCGUUGACAAUUCUUUUGAGGGGCCAUUUCCGCCAAAUAUAUUCAAGCUUUCCAAAUUAAAACGUCUUGCCCUGUCAGGUAACAAAUUUUCAGGUCCAAUUCCCAAUGACAUAAGGUUGCUUUGUGAUCUUGAAUCCCUAUAUUUAGGUAACAAUUCCUUUGAAGGACCGCUUCCACCAAAUAUAUUCAAGCUUUCAAAAUUAAAAGAUCUUGUUCUUUGGCGUAAUAAGUUUUCAGGUUAUAUUCCCAAUAGUAUAAAUUUGCUUUCGGCGCUUGAAGCCCUCGAUCUUUAUUCUAAUUUUUUUGAGGGGCCGCUUCCACCAAAUAUAUUCAAGCUCUCAAAACUAAGGAUUCUUUCCCUUGGGAACAAUAACUUUUCAGGUUCUGUCUCUAAUAAUAUAGGUUUGCUUCCUGAGCUUGAAACCCUAUAUCUUGACUCUAAUUUGUUUGAGGGGCCGCUUCCCCCACAUAUAUUCAAGCUCUCUAAAUUAAGAUAUCUAGACCUCUCAAACAAUAGAAAUUUAUUUGAAAUUAGAAGUAUUCCUAUUGGAUUGGGACUCUUGACUAACCUCAACUAUUUAGAUCUACAUUGCAGUAAUCUCAGUGGCGAUAUUUCAUCUGCCAUUGGAAACCUGAAGCUACUAGUAUUUCUUGAUCUCAGUUUUAAUCAAUUGACCGGACCGCUUUCAAAGAUCGUUUCUAAUCUCACAAAUCUUAUAUAUCUUGAUGUAAGUCAUAAUAGUCUUAGUGGAAAUAUUAGUGACUUGUGGAAAUAUUAUCUGUCUGGGAACAUUCCUAAGGAAUAUAACGAUCAUCCAACUUUGGAAUACAUCAAUUUAAGUGGGAACCAUUUUACAGGUAUGUUUUCUCUAUAUAUCUUUUCCUUUUGUCAUAUUAACUAAGCUUGUAAUCUUUUUGUAGUUAUACCAAAGUUUUAACAAUCUUGACAGGUGAGCUUCCAACAACAAUUUGCAAUGUCACUUCCCUUUCAGUUCUUGAUUUGUCAAAUAAUGGAUUAAGUGGUGCACUUCCAAACUGUUUCGCGAAUCUUGCUGAUAGAUUGCUUUACAUGAAUCUUGCUAAUAAUCUGUUUCGCGGAACAAUACUAAUUACUUUAUCCAAAAGUUGUCAGCUGACAUAUCUAAACAUGGAUAAUAAUGAGUUUGAAGGAUUGGUGCCCCCAUCUUUGGCGAACUGUAAGCACUUGAAAAUUCUUGAUAUUGGCAAUAAUAAAAUAGGUGGUUCAUUCCCGUCAUGGCUUUAUGUACUUGGAGAGCUAGAAGUCCUUGUCUUGCGAUCAAAUAAACUCUAUGGUACAAUAACUGGAAGGAGCAUAGAAGAUCCCUUCCCCAAGUUGCGGAUUGUGGAUCUGUCCGAUAAUCAAUUCACAGGCCAUUUGCCAAUUCAAUACUUUAAGAAUAUGAAAUCAACUGAUAAUAUGUAUAAUUAUCUGAAUUCCACAGGAGGAAUAUAUUUCACUUAUGAAGCAGCAGUCUCACUAACUGUGAAGGGAACAGAGUAUGAAGUAGCAAAUAACCUUCAUAUUUACACAGCUAUUGAUCUGUCGUGCAACAAAUUUCAGGGUGAAAUUCCAAAAGUUAUUGGAGAGCUUAGAUGGCUUGCAUUGCUCAAUUUAUCGCAUAAUAGUCUGACAGGACAUAUCCCAUCAUUGCUGAGAAAUAUGAAAGAACUCCAAUAUUUAGAUCUGUCCUCAAAUCAACUGACAGGGGCUAUUCCACCUCAGUUAACUGCAUUGACAUUUCUAGAGGUCUUGAACCUCUCAGGAAACCAUCUUAGUGGAGGGAUUCCUCAGAAAGGACAGUUCAGCACAUUCAACAAUGAUUCUUAUCUAGGAAACUCCGCUUUAUGUGGAUCACCUUUGACGAAGAAAUGUGCAAACACAGCAUCACCUCCAAAAGAAGUCGGAAAUGGUGAUGAAGAAGAUGGUGGUGAUGAAUUGACAUGGGAAGCAAUCGUGAUGGGAUAUGGAUGUGGACUGAUAUGUGGCAUCAUCGGCAUACAUUGUUCUCAAACUAGGAAAGCCGUGGUGGUUUGUGAGAUGUAUCGAAGUACUGCAACUGAAGUUGAUGAAAAGAUAUGCAUGAAGAAUGGUACUCUGGUCGAUCAACACGAACUUGAAAGUUGUUGUCCUUGUGGACUAGCUGCCUAAGUAUUUGGUAUUAUGUAAUAAUCCGUUUGGUCGGGACUCAUAAUCAUGCAUUUUUCUUGCUUCAGGAGUAUUAAUAUAUAUUAACCUUGCUAUCUAAAAGAAUAAAAUUGCAAAUUAACCUUCUCAGAGAAAUCUUGCUGAUAAAAUGCAUUGCAUUGAUCUCGCUAAUAAUCAGUUCCGAGGACCAAUACCAACAACCUUCUCAGACAGUUGCCAGUUAAGAUAUCUAAACAUGUAUGACAAUCACUUAAAAGGACUAUUGCCCCGAUCUCUGUCAAACUGUAAGCACUUGAAAAUUCUUGACAUCGGGAACAACAAAAUGGGCGGUACAUUUCCUUCAUGGCUAUUUACUCUCGGAGAGCUGGAAGUCCUAGUCUUGCGAUCAAAUAGACUUUACGGUCCAGUAAGUGGAAGGAGCACAUCACAUCCAUUCCCCAAGUUGCGGAUUUUAGAUCUCUCCAACAACCAAUUCGCGGGCCAUUUUCCAAUUCAAUACAUUAAGAAUAUGAAACCAACUGCUGACAACGGGUAUAGUUAUCAAAAUAGAUCACAAGGACUAAUUAAUUACAUCUAUGAAGCAUCUAUCUCCUUAAAUGUGAAAGGAACAGAGUAUGAAGUGAAAAACAUUCUUCAUAUCUACACAACCAUUGAUCUGUCGUGCAACAAAUUUCAAGGAGAAGUUCCAAAGGUUACUGGAGAGCUUAAAUGGCUUGCAUUGCUCAAUCUAUCUCAUAAUAGUCCUACCGGACAUAUGUUCUGCAUUAUUAUUAUGCUUUCAUCAAUAUUUUUAAACACUUCUCAAUAUGUAUUUUCAAAGAAUUCUCAAGCACUUGAACAUUUGGACCGGUUCUUUCGAAGCCAAGAUGCCCAGGUUAUCAUGGCCAUGCACAAAAAUGCCCAAAAAUAAAUAAAUUAAGAGAGAUUGCUCAGGGUCUCCCCAAGCCUUCCAGGACACAUUCCAAGUCUUCGGAGGACCACUGCCUCGCCCUUUCAAAGAUGUGAUAGUAGCUCGAGAGUGAUAUAAAUUAUUUUCCCGACACUAAAAUAAAUAGGGUUUUGUUCCAGGACAAUCGAUUGUCAUGGAGGUCUUCCAUCAUAUCCGCAGAUAGGAACUUUCCCUAUCCGCGGAAAAUUAUAGCGGAUACUUAAAAAAAUGAAGUUUAAUCUGGACCCUUGAAAUAGAGAUCCGACGGCCAUGAAAGUGUGUGUUAACUUACUUGGCACUAAGAUUGAUAAAGACAGUAUAAUAAUUUAAUUGAUGAAAAGUCAAAGUUUUCUAAUAAAUCCAUAAAGAAUAUGAUAAUCAAAAUAACGAAAAUUAUAAUUGAAAAAUCAAAAUCAUUAGUCAUGUAUUAGAAUAGUGUUCACACACUUAUAUAUCAAAAUUUGUGGUCCCAAAAACUAUAGCACAAUAUCCUAAAUACACCACAUUAAAUACUAGUUCAAAAAUAUUCAAUAAAUAAUUGAUUUCAUUCAUAAUUUUGUUAUUUUAAAAACGAAUAAUUUGGUUGAUGUUGACCUAUAUUUUAAUAUAUAAUUAUAUUAUUUUUGUCUUAUUUUAUUUAACUAGAAACAAUAUUUUUAUAAUAUUUAUUACAUUAAUUAUAUUAAUAGAUAUAAUUUUAUUAAAAAAAUUGAAUAAAAUUAAGAGGAAAACUCUAUGCCACUCCAAGUCUACAAGACUCAUUUCAAGUCCACCGAGGACCACUACCUCAACCAUUGAGAGAUGUGAAAGUAGCUUGAGAGUGAUAUAAAUUAUUUUCCUGACAAUAAAAUUUAAUAUCUAAUAUAAAUUAAUUAAAUUAGUUAAUAAUAAAUCAAAAUUAAUCAUAAAUUAUGAUUAUAAUUAAAUUAUAUAAAUCAACUCCAAAUGAUACAAAUAACACUAAACCUUGGUUACUUUGUUGGUAAAUAAAUAUAAUAUAAUAAUCAAAUUGAUGAGAAAUCAAAAUCAUCUAAUAAAUUCACAAAAAAUAUAUGAUCAUUAGUAUAUUAUAUUAGUAUCCACACACUUAUAUUUCAAAAUCUAUCCUCCAAACUUAUCAUCUCUGUAAACUAGCCACAUAAAAUAAAAAAUUUCCACACUAAAUAACAAAAUAUCUUUAUCAAAUUAUUAUUUAUGAAUUAAAUAUUCAAGUUAUAAUUCCAGCAUGCAGCGUAUAAAUAGAAGUGUGCAGUAUGAUAUCAGAUUCAUAACCCAGUUGAGGAGAAACAUGGCACACUCUGUAAAGCCUUCUCACCUUCUUCUCUUUGUUUUCUUUCUCUCAUCACUUGAAUCCAUUCUUGCAACAACACGAGAAGGAGAAGCUCUUGUGAAGUGGAAGAAUAGCCUAGCCCCUUCUUCUUUUCUCGAUUCUUGGUCCCUCACCAAUCUCGAAAAUCUUUGUAACUGGACUGGCAUUACUUGUAACUCUGCAGGUUCAGUCUCUGAGAUUAACCUCUGUGAGAAACAACUUGAUGGAAUGAUGUCCGAGUUUGGUUUCACUUCAUUUCCAUAUCUCAACAAUCUCACCCUCGCAUACAACUUCUUCUCAGGUCCAAUACCAUCAGCCAUUGAGAAUUUAACACAGCUUCAAUUUCUUGAUUUGAGCAAUAAUAAUCUCGAUGGUCCCAUUCCGUUGCAGGUUAGCCAUCUUCAGAGGUUGCUCGUCGUAAACCUGUCACAGAAUGCAUUGCAAGCUUCAAAUUGGUCCAAUUUCUCUCCCAUGCCUUUUUUGCGCAUUCUCAACCUCAGUAGCAAUCAUCUUGUAUCGAAAUUCCCAGAAUUUAUAUCCAAUUCUCAUAGCUUGGCUAUCCUUGACCUUGGAUAUAACAACUUUACAGGUGAUCUUGUGCGUGAAUUUACCAAUCUACAAAAUCUUGAAACCCUCUACCUUGAUGAUAAUUCUUUUGAGGGGCCAUUUCCGCCAGAUAUAGUCCAGCUUUCCAAAUUAAAAGAUCUCACCCUGUCGACUAACAAAUUUUCAGGUUCAAUUCCCGAUGACAUAAGGUUGCUUUGUGAUCUUGAAUUCCUAUAUUUAGGCAACAAUUCUUUUGAAGGACCCCUUCCACCAAAUAUAUUCAAACUUUCAAAAUUAAAACAUCUUGUUCUUUGGAGUAAUAACUUUUCAGGUUCUGUUUCCAAUGAUAUAGGUUUGCUUUCUGAGCUUGAAAUUCUCAAUCUUCAUUCUAAUUUUUUUGAGGGGCCACUUCCGCCAAAUGUAUUCAAGCUCUCCAAACUAAAGUUACUUUCCCUUCACGAUAAUAACUUUUCAGGUUUUGUUUCCAAUGAUAUAGGUUUCCUUUCUGAGCUUGAACACCUACAUCUUGGCCAUAAUUUUUUUGAGGGGCCACUUCCGUCAAAUAUAUUCAAGCUCUCCAAAUUAAGAUAUCUAGGCCUAUCAAACAAUAGAAAUUUAUUUGAAGGAAGUAUUCCUAUUGGACUGGGACUCUUGACUAACCUCAGGUUCUUAGAUCUAUAUUCCAAUAAUCUCGGUGGCUAUAUUCCAUCUGACAUUGGAAACCUGAAGCUACUAGUUAAUCUUGAUCUCAGUUCUAAUCAAUUGACUGGACCGCUUCCGAAGAUCGUUUCUAAUCUCACAAAUCUUAUAUCUCUUGAUGUAAGUGAUAAUAGUCUUAUAGGAAAUAUUCAGAGUGACUUGUGGAAAUAUAACGAUCAUCGAAAUUUGGAAAACAUCAAUUUAAGUGGGAACCAUUUUACAGGUAUAUCUUUUCCUUUAGUCAUAUGUAACUAAGCUAGUAAUCUGAUUAUUGCAGUUUUACCAAAGUUUCAAAAAUCUUGACAGGUGAGCUUCCAACAACCAUUUGCAAUGCCACUUCCCUUUCGGUUCUUGAUUUGUCAAAUAAUGGAUUAAGUGGUGCACUUCCAAACUGUUUCGGGAAUCUUGCUGAUGGAUUGCAUUACAUUAAUCUUGCUAAUAAUCAGUUUCGAGGAAAAAUACCAACUACUUUCUCCAGGAGUUGUCAGCUGACAUAUCUAAACAUGGAUAAUAAUGAGUUUGAAGGAUUGUUGCCCCCAUCUUUGGCGAACUGUGAGCACUUGAAAAUUCUUGAUAUUGGCAAUAAUAAAAUAGGUGGUACAUUUCCGUCAUGGCUUUAUGCACUUGGAGAGCUAGAAGUCCUUGUCUUGCAAUCAAAUAAACUCUAUGGUACAAUAAGUGGAAGAAGCAUAAAAGAUCCCUUCCCCAAGUUGCGGAUUAUGGAUCUGUCCAACAAUCAAUUCACAGGCCAUUUGCCAAUUCAAUACUUUAAGAAUAUGAAAUCAACUGAUAAUUUGUAUAGUUAUCAGUAUUCCUCGGUAGUAUUAUACUUCUCUUAUGAAGCAGCAGUCUCAUUAACUGUGAAGGGAACAGAGUAUGAAGUAAGAAAUAAUCUUCAUAUUUACACAGCCAUUGAUCUGUCCUGCAACAAAUUUCAGGGAGAAAUUCCAAAGGUUACUGGAGAGCUUAUAUGGCUUGCAUUGCUCAACUUAUCUCAUAAUAGUCUAACAGGACAUAUCCCAUCAUUGCUGAGAAAUAUGAAAGAACUCCAAUCUUUAGAUUUGUCUUCAAAUCAACUGACAGGGGCUAUUCCACCUCAGCUAACUGCAUUGACAUUUCUAGAGGUCUUGAACCUCUCGAAAAACCAUCUUAGUGGAGAGAUUCCUCAGAAAGGACAGUUCAGCACAUUCAACAAUGAUUCUUAUCUAGGAAACUCCGCGUUAUGUGGAUCACCUUUGACGAAGAAAUGUGUAAACACCGGAUCACCUCCACAGGAAGUCGGAAAUGCUGAUGAAGAUGAUGCGGGUGAUAAAUUGAUAUGGGAAGCAAUCGUGAUGGGAUAUGGAUGUGGACUGAUAUGUGGAUGGUCAUCUGCGUACAUUGUUCUCAACCUAGGAAAGCCUUGGUGGUUUGUGAGAUAUAUCGAAGUACUGCAACUGAAGUUGAUGAAAAGAUAUGCAUGAAGAAUGGUACUGGUCGAUCAAGACGAACUUGAAAGUUGUUGUCCUGGUAGACAUUUCUGAACCAGUAGUGUACUAGCUACAUAAGUAUUUGGUAUUAUGUAAUAAUCUGUUUGGUCGGGACUCAUAAUGAUUUCUCUUGCUUCAGGGGUAUUAAUAUUAACCUUGCUAUCUUCAUCUGUGUUGAUGCAAAUGAAAAAGAAUGGAAAAACAAAAAAAUUGCAUCAAACCUGUUGUACCAAGAUCCAUUAAUCUGCUUUCAUCUCUUACGCAACAAUUUAACAGCACUUUCACACUGUUUGAAAGAUUAUCAUAAAUUCGAGUUUUCCUCGGCAGCACCAAAUCCAAAUAUACAAUCCGUCAAUCCCACACAUUCCAGUCUCAGCUUCAGCUCCCAGGCUAGCAUUAAUAACAGUUGGGGAUUUGAGUGAACGUGCCUUGGUCCUGCCUUCAAAUGUGUAACAUUAACAGUUGGAUAUGUCGACAAAAAAAUUGUUCCUCACACAGCGGAAUAAAUCCGACAGUUCUUUUCAUCCAGCAAUUUAAAGCUUAACAGACAGUCAUUAUUUCAGCAAUAUGUCUAGCAAAUAUGUAGGGCACUUGACACCAUACUUCCAACACAAGUAGUAAAAGGAGAGACCAUUGUUUCGAAUGCUCGGAAAUUUGAACUGGGUUUUUUCAGCGUGCCCCUGACUUUUGUACACAAACAGCUGAAGAAAAGCAGAAGUCGGAUUCUGGAAAAAAGAAGCACUUAUCUAUGCUAAUAUAUUAAAAAUGUCAUCUGUGUUUCUUAUGUUUGUGCAACAACCUGACAGAAAGGGAUGUAGGUGAAACCAGGGGCGUAAAAUGAAUCGGGACUAAAAUCUACUAAAAUGAUAAUUAUGUACUAUAUUUGGUCUGUUUUAAUAUACAUGUAAAAGGGGACGAAGUAGUUGGUUAUAGUUGCGAAUCCUAUAAAUGAAUGCGCGAUCAGGAUGUGUCACUAAGCACCUCCAACGCCGGGUAAGGGUGAGUAGUCUACUUCUGCUUCCUCUGUUUUUUGUAUUUGACGUUUUAAAUUUUGGCACACAAUUUUAAGUGUUUUGACCGUAUAGUUGAAAAUAUUAAUUUUAAUUUUUUUUUGAAUAAAAAUAUAUAAUCAAAAUUUUAAUUUAGAAAAAAGAUCAAUCAAAAAUAAUAUUUUUUACUAUUCGAUCAACCCACUUAACAAUAACAAUUAAAAGACUUUAGUGACGUUAUCUGACCAAGGGUCAUGGAAACUUCGACAUCGGAAUCUUGCGAGGCUACUAUUCUAAAGCACGCAUAAUCAUUGUAUCCAUUUUCCUCUAACACUGACAAAAAAUCUAUUUGAACAAAUGAAAUACAAACAACUCAGUGGAAUGCUAACUGAGUAAAGUUUCACUUCAUUUCCAAAUCUCAACAAUUUCACCAUCAAAUAUAAUGACUUCUGCUGUCCAAUACCACCAGCCUUUGAGAAUUUGGCACAGCUUCAAUUCCAUACCAGGUUAGUCAUCUUUGGAAAUUACACGUCUUAGACCUGUCAAACAUAAAUUUCAAUCUCCAAACUGGUCCGAUUUAUCUUCCAUGCUCUUUGUUGAGAACCGGUCCAUCUAAAACCUUAAGAUGUCAGAGGAAACUCAAAAUGGAUCUUCUACUAUAUUUUAACAUUUCUGAGUACAUUCAAUUAUAAGGUCACUUGUGCAUCGCUGUUCACACACUUAGACCCUGUUUGUGUGGGCUUUAAGUCCGGGCUCAAGCUAUUUCGACUUCAUCACUUCCAAGGACUUAUACCAACAACCUUCUCAAAGAGUUGCCAGUUAAGAUAUCUAAACAAGUGUGACAAUCAGUUAGAAGGACUAUUGCCCCGAUCUUUGUCAAACUGUAAGCACUUAAAAAUUCUUGACAUCGGGAACAAUAAAAUGGGCGGUACAUUCCCUUCAUGGCUAUUUAAUCUCGGAGAGCUAGAAGUCCAAGUCUUGCGAUCAAAUAGACUGUACGGUCCUGUAAGUGGAAGGAGCACAUCACAUCCAUUCCCCAAGUUGCGGAUUCUAGAUCUCUCCAACAAACAAUUCACGGGCUAUUUGCCAAUUCUAAACUUUAAGAAUAUGAAACCAGCUGCUGAUGAUAACGCGUAUAGUUAUAAAAAUAAGUCACAAGGACUAAUUAAUUACAUCUAUGAAGCAUCUAUCUCCUUAAAUGUGAAAGGAACAGAGUAUGAAGUGAAGAACAUUCUUCAUAUUUACACAGCCAUUGAUCUAUCGUGCAACAAAUUUCACGGAGAAGUUCCAAAGAGAGCUUAAAUGGCUUGCAUUGCUCAAUCUAUCUCAUAAUAGUCUUGCCGGACAUAUGUUCUGAAUUAUUAUUAUGCUUUCAUCAAUAUUUUCAAACAUUUCUCAAUAUGUAUUUUCAAAGAAUUCUCAAGCCCUGGAACAUUUGGACCGGUUCUUUCGAAGCUAAGAUGCCCAGGUUAUCAUGGCCAUGCACAAAAAUGAAUAAAUUAUUCCAAGUCUUCCAUGACUCAUUCCAAGUCUUCGGAGGAGACCCUGAGCACAAAGAUGCUCAGGGUCUCCCCAAGCCUUCCAGGACUCAUUCCAAGUCUUCGGAGCACGGCCUCGCCUCGCUCUUUCAAAGAUGUGAUAGUAGCUCGAGAGUGAUAUAAAUUAUUUUCCCGACACUAAAAAUAAAUAAUCAGAUCAAAUUAAUCAAUAAUAAAUUAAAGAUGAAAUCCAAAUUAAUCUUAAAUUUUGAUAAUAUAUAAAAAUUAUAAUUAUAAAUUAUAUACCAAAUCAGAAUUGAAUUAAUUCCUUGGCACUAAAAUUGAUAAAGAAAGUAUAAUAAUUUAAAUUUAAUUGAUGAAAAGUCAAAGUCUUCUAAUAAAUCCAUCGAAGAGCACUAAUUCCAUCUGCAGUGAUUUGGAAGAACAGGUCUCUUGCCACUCCAAUUCCUAAGAAAAUUUAGCCCAUAAAUAGAAGUGUGCCUUGCGCUAUGAGAUGUACAAUGUGACAGGAAACAUGUUGCACUUCCCAAAGCCUAAUUAUCACCUCAUUGUGCUAGUUUUCUUUCUCAUAUUGCUUUCAUCUACCCUCACAACAGUAUCUACGACAAGAGAAGGAGAAGCUCUGUUAAAAUGGAAGAACAGUCUACCACCAUCCUCUUCCCUAAAUUCUUGGUCACCCGUCAAUCUCAAUAAUUUGUGUAACUGGACUGGCAUUAUCUGUAACUCUGCAGGUUCAGUCUCAGAAAUAAACCUUUCACUAAAACAACUUAGUGGAACGCUUGCCAAUUUCAGUUUCACUUCAUUUCCAAAUCUUAAUAGUCUUGACAUUAGUGGCAACAACUUUACAGGUCCAAUACUACCUGCCAUUGAAAAGUUCACGCAGCUUCAGCAUCUUGAUUUUAGCUUUAACAAGCUCAAUGGUAUCAUUCCAAACCAAAUUUGGCAUCUUCAGAGAUUGCGCACCUUAGACCUGUCAGUUAAUUACUUGGAAGCUUCAGACUGGUCUAGUUCUUUCUCCAUGCCUUUUCUGACCAACCUCGACCUUAGUUUCAAUAAAAUUGGGGCAAGAUUCCCAGGCGUUACAUCCAAUUCUUGUAACCUAACAUGUCAAUUGUUGCCUGAGUCAUUAGUUAACAAUCUGCAUAAUCUGGAAGUCCUUUCUCUUCAUCACAAUUCUCUCGACGGGCCAUUUCCACCAAGCAUAUUCAAGCUUUCCAAAUUAAGAUAUCUCUCCCUAUCAAGUAAUCAUUUUUCAGGUUCUAUUCCGGAUGAUAAGGGAUGCUUGGUGAUCUUGAAUCCCUUUAUCUGGGUCACAAUUCUUUUGAGGGGCCCUUCCCACCAAAUAUUUUCGGUUUUUCCAAAUUAAUAAAUCUGUCUUUAUCAGGGAAUAGCUUUUCAGGUUCUGUUCCAGAUGAUAUAAGGAUGCUUAGUGAUCUUGAAUACCUUGAUCUUAGUCGGAAUUUUUUUGAGGGGCCUUUUCCACAAAAAAUAUUCAAGCUUUCCAAAUUAAAAGUUCUUGACCUAUCAAGAAACAAUUUUUCAGGUUCUAUUUCAGAUGAUAUACGGAUGCUUCAUAGUCUUGAGUUGCUCCAUCUUGAGUACAACUCUUUUCAGGGACCCUUUCCACCAAAUAUAUUGAAGCUUCCGAAUUUAAGAGUACUUGACCUAGCAGACAAUGACUUUUCAGGUUCUAUUCCCAGUGAUAUAAACAUGCUUCAUGAUCUGAAAAUACUUUCAUUGUUUUCUAAUUCAUUUGAAGGAACUAUUCCUUCUUCUAUAAGUCUACUCAAGGAGCUACGAUACCUUCACCUCGGGUCUAAUCAUCUCAAUUCCACUAUUCCUUCUGAGCUGGGGCUCUUGGCAAACCUUGACCGAUUAUAUCUUGAUUCCAAUAAUCUUACUGGCAAUAUCCCUCAUAUCUGAACAUGUACAACAAUUACUUUGACGGAGUGUUGCCUCAAUCUUUUGCCAACUGCAAGCAGUUAAAAGUUCUUGAUAUAGGAAACAACAAAAUAAGUGGUACAUUUCCCUCAUGGCUAUUUACUCUUGCAGAGCUAGAACUCCUUGUCUUGCGGUCCAAUAGACUUUAUGGUACAGUAAGUUUAAGAAGCACAACAGAUCCCUUUCCCAAGUUGCGCAUCAUGGAUCUCUCAAACAAUGACUUCACAGGCUAUUUGCCAAUUCAAUAUUUCAAAAAUAUGAAGCCGGUUGAUAAGGGGUAUGAUUAUCACAAUUUCACAGCACCAUUUUAUUACUACUAUCAAGCAUCUAUCUCGUUAACUGUGAAAGGGACCGAGUACCAAGUGAGUAAAAUUCUUCAUAUUUACACAGCCGUUGAUCUGUCAUGCAAUAAAUUUCAAGGAGAAGUCCCAAAGGUCAUUGGAGAACUUAAAGGGCUGGCAUUGCUCAAUUUAUCUCAUAAUAGUCUUACUGGACCUAUCCCAUCACAGCUCGGAAAUAUGAAAGCACUCCAAUCUCUGGAUUUGUCUUCAAAUCAAUUCACAGGGGCUAUCCCAUACCCGUUAAUUGGUUUGACAUUUCUAGAGGUCCUGAACCUCUCAUAUAACCAUCUCACCGGAGAAAUUCCCCAAAAAGGACAACUGAGCACGUUCAGUAAUGAUUCUUACCUAGGUAAUCUUGCCUUGUGUGGAUCUCCUUUAACAGAGAAAUGUGCACACGAAGAGUCACCACCACAAGAAGUCGGAUAUGAUGAAGAUGGUGCAGAUAAUAAAUUCCAAUGGAAAGUAGUCCUAAUGGGAUAUGUUAUCGGAUUAGUAUGUGGAUUGUCUUCAGGGUACAUUUUUCUCACAACUGGAAAGCCUUGGUGGUUUUUGAGAUACAUCGAACAACUGCAUAGCAAAAGUUGAUCAGAAGAUUCACGUAGAGUACUGUUUGAUUAAGAUGAGCAAGUUGAAAAGAAUGUUUACUAGACCAGUGGUAUGUCGGGAACAUUAAUGUGUGGUGUCAUAUAAUAUUUGAAAUGCUAAUGUCAGUGCUAGUUCUAGUUCGGGUCUGAUACUGAUUUACUCGUCUCAGAGAUACAUAUUUGUGUUCAAUGUUAAUACAAAACGGAAAAAACAUACUACACAUUAAAUCAACUUUGUAUCAAGUCGAGUUUUGGAGAUGCCAUGAUCAAAAGAAAAACACGGUGAAUGAUAUUUAUUAAGAACACGACUUGAACUAUAAGUGCAUGAAAAUCGUCUUUCAAAGUAUGGCAGGGGUGUGAAUCGUGCACACCAUGGAUAGUCACUUGAAAGCUAACCAUUCUGAGGUUCGUGGAAGCUGAUUUCAUACUCUUGAAAGCUAUCUUUAGGACGUCGAAACUUUAAUUUGUGUUGCAUAACAUUUCAUUAUGCAAGACAGAUGGUUUCAGGGAAACUAUACUGGAGAGCAAGUACCAAACAGUAAGGUAUACUUUGGAUGAUGAAAUUCCUCCCUGAUUUUUACAUCAUUUCUAGUUUUAAACGUGACAGAACAUUCGGGCGAAUGUUCUGGUCAAUUUUUUCAUGGUUGGGCCAAAAGAAUUAUAGUACAAAUGGGUGAGAAAGUUACAUUUUAGAGAUCGCUUCUCAUUAUUUAUAAUGACGAUCAAUUUUAUUUGAUUACUUUUAAUUUUAUCUUUUAUACUUAUUAAAAACACAGAAGAUCGUGUAAACAAAAUUAAUACAAAACGUACUUAUUCAUAGGAAAUGAUUUACCUCACUUAACUGCGCUUAAUUAUUUGAAAGGAAAGAAUACAACACAAAAUUAAAUAUAUAAAGAUCUGUUAUUUGUUAUUUGGAAAUGAGGAAUUUUUUUAACAUAAUCAUUGAUAACAUAUUUUUCCAACUUAUUUAUAUCUGCCAGAAUUAAAUAAAAUACGCCUCAAUAGGUUAUCAUUCUUAAUGUCAAAUUGCAAAAAUAUAUAUAUUUUUAUUUAUGUCAUAUUCUUAGAAAAAAAUUAAUAACAAGAUAAUAAUCCCUAGCUUUAAAGGGAGGAAAACAAGUGUAAAAUAAAUAAAGUAAUUUAACUUUCACUUAUAUUAUUAAGAUAAAAGUAAGCGGAAAUAAAUAUAAAUUCAACAUAUUUAACUUACCCUUCAGAAUCCAUAAGUUUGGAACAAGUAGAUUGAGCACAAGACGAAGGCCACACAUGCGCAUCAUCUGAUGCAGCUAUGGUGCCUUUACAGUUGCUCAUACAUAUAGUGAAACAAUAAGGAUCAACUCCUCCAUUGUGCGUACACAUUUUCAUACAAGCUAUAAAGCAUGGUGAUAGAGUCUUUGCAAUCUCAUCAUGACCAGCACAUCCGAUCAUGAUAAACUCUAGCAGGAUCAUCCAAGUAAUAAUUUUCUUAAUGAUAUUAAUUAUCAUUGUGAAUAGUUGUAUUGAGUUAUGCAUGUGUGUGUAUAUAUAUGCAAUGGAUUUUGUGGUUGAGAAUAUCUGUUAGAUUUUGUAUAUCCAUAACAAUUAUUAAAAUUUGAACAAUAAUAUCUAUUAUUGGUUGUGAUCGACUAUUGUAGUAGUCCAAAAAAUCUAUAUUACAUUUAAAAAGAUUAUACAUGAAAUACAAAAGCUUUUUAUUAGGACUGUUGUUAAAAAUUGCUAUGUUGUACGAAAAAAUGCUGAUAAAAAAUGUGUUACAGAAAAAAUGCUGAUAAAAAAUGUGUUACAGAAAAAAUGCUGAUAAAAAAAAUGUUGUAGAAAUCAGAUAUGACAGCUUCCCACAAAAGCUAAAAAAACAGUUUUUUUCCAUAAUAAUAUGGGAGGAGAAAAACUGUUUGUAGAAUUAUUGAACAAUUUUUCACAUAUUUUUCGAUAAAAAGCUGUUGUUAUUGUCUUCAGUAAUGCCAAACAGUGCCGAAAUCAUUUUGAAAUCAUUUUGCAGGUAGUUAAUCUCACUUCCAUAUAAUAUAGUACUCCUAUAUAUUAUCGAAAAAACAUGAAAUGAUGCAAAGCUCAUACUAUUGACAACAGGUAAACUCCUUGCAAUACUUUGAGCUGCAAAAUCCAUCAAAUUUUUUGAUUUAUCAACGUAACUGUUUGACAGAGUACUUCCAAGCUAAGCAUCAAAAGUCACUACCUUACGAAAUAUAUCUCACCCUACCUUCUCUGCUUAUAAGCUGUUUUGAGUACUUUUACCAAGCAUAUUUUCCAUUAAGCGUGAAAGGCACAGAAUAAUUAAGGAUCACCUAUCCCAUCAGUGCCGGGGAAUAUGGAACCAUCUCAUCAAUUAACUAGUUUAACAUUUCUCGCGGUCUUGAACCUCUCAGAAAACCAUCUUAUACUAAUGUGCCGACUUCCUUUGACGAAGAAAUGGUGAUGCUGAUGCUAAUGAUAAUGAACUUAACUGGGGAGUGAUCCUUAUGGGAUACGGAUGUGGAUUGAUAUGCGGAUUUUCUUUGGGGUUUAUGUUUUGUGGUUUGUGAGAUACAUUGAAGUACUGCAGCUGGAGUUGAUCAUUAUAAAGAACAUAGGCAAGUUAAUCGCUUAUUGAAAUUAGUAAUUGUCAAAAGUAAAAUGUUGAAAUUACUUUUUUCGAUUGAAAUCAUCGAAAAAAAGUCUCUGUCGAAAUUGAUCUGCCAAAAUUAUGUUUAAUAUCUACGGCCAGGAUUAUCUGUCGAAUAUAUUUCCCGACAAUUUUAAAAGACAAAUUUUUCGCCUCUCAGCUGUGAGCGGGAACAGAUAUCUUCGACAGAAUUCCAUUGAAAUUAGCUAAUUUCAACAUAAAUUUUCUAUCGAAAUUACUUGAGUUCUUUGUAGCUUGUUUUCACAAAUACGCUGAUAGCCUUUGGGGACGGGUAUAUUGUUUUCACAAAGCCCUGGUGGUAUGUGAGAUGCUUCGAAGGACUGCAACUGAAGUCGAUAAGAACAUGCAGAAAGAAAACCGAUCCAUCUUGAUGAACUUGAAAAAUGUUGUCAUAUGGUGAUAUAUACUCCCCUGGCCCCAGUCUCUUGAAAAAAACUUGGCUGAUUUUUUUUUUUUCAGUAUCUAUCCCUAAUAAUUGCAGCAAAUUAAAAAAUAUAGUUAUAUCUUUUUAGCAAUGGUGCAAUCUGGAAAGCUUUCUCAUCAUCUUCUUCUUUUCUUUAUCUCAUUACUCUCAUCUAACUUGACGAUCCUAUCUGCAACAUUUCGCCAAGGAGAAGCUCGUGUGGAAUGGAAGAACAGCCUAUCCCCGAAUUCGUUUCUUGGUUCACUAAUUAAUCUCACUUAUCUUUGAAAUUAAGUGGACUGGCAUUGUAUGCAACUCUGCAGGUUCAGUCAGUCAGAUUAAUCUUCAAGAACUCACAGGAACACUUGCUAACCUCGGUUUCUUUUCGUUUUCAAAUCUCACCAAUCUCAACAUUACACAUAACAACUUCACUGGUCCAAUACCACCCGAGAUUGGAAAUUUAACAGAUGUUCAGUACCUCGACUUUAGCUAUAAUAAUCUCAAUGGUACCAUUCCAUACCAGGUCAGCCAUCUUCAGAGGUCGGUCGUCUUCGGCCUCUAAUUUAAUCACUUGAAAGCUCUAAGCUUGUCCAAUUUUUCCCCCAUGCCUAUACUGGUUGGUCGCGGUCUUGGUGGUAAUAAGCUGGCGUCAAUUUUUCCAGAAUUCAUAUCUAAUUGCUAUAACAUGAUUAACCUUGAUCUUUCAUUUAACAUGUUAACUGGUAAUCCCUUCAACAACUUGCGAAUCUUGGAUCUCUCGGACAAUGAAUUCACUGGUUACUUGCCAAUCCAAUAUUUUAAUAAUAUGAAACCAGUUGAUACUGUGAUUGAUUAUUACAACCUCUGUUCUAAAAGUCGGUGAUUAAUCACGAUUAAUUAAUCACUGAUUAAUCUAUGUUCCGUAGCUCGCCAAACUGAUUAAAUAUCCGAUUAUUCUAAUUAAUCCCCGAUUAAUCACCGAUCAAUGUAAUUAAUCUCCAAUUAAUCUUUAUUCCGAAACUUCACCGAUUAAACUCGAUUCCCACUUUUUACAACACUGAUUACAACAUAACAGGGAAUCAUGAUUAUCAAGCAUCUGUCUUGUUAACAUUGAAACAAAGAGAGCAUGAAGUGAAAGGAAUCCUUUAUAUUUACGAUGUCAACAGCCCUACUGUCAAAAUUCCUUUCAAGUCGGGGCUUUUUACGAUUAUUUGGUAAUUCAGUGUUGAACUCCGCUCAACUUAUAAUUAGAUAAUCGAACUCAAAAAUCUUGCAAUCAACAAAUAAAUUAUUGAAAACUUGCAAUUGAAUAAUGGCCGUCAAGUCACUUAACAAUACUAACCGAAAACGAACGUGACGGGCUGAUGUGUUUAAAAAAAUGCAUGAUGACUAUAUACGUGAUGUUUACGACCCUGACUAAUAUAUCCAACAAAUAAUACAUUCAACCUGAUCUAAUAAUGUAAUACAUCUACUUAAAUAUAUUUUCAUGCCAAAUAUUUAUAGAUUUGUUUUUACAAAAAUGAUUAGAGACUUUUGCAUAUAUAAAAAUUGAGAAUUAUUGCUUGACUAGACAAAAAUAGGUGAGUUGUGAUUAUAAUAAAUAUUUAUUUCUACGAUGUAGUUUUUAUUAGUUAUAUAUAAAAAAAAUCUUGCUCUAUUUUGAUACUAGUGCAAUGAUUACUUCAAUUUAUUUUUUAUACGAGUUAGUAAGAUAUAUGACUAACUCAUCUUGCACUCGUAUUAAUUGUCUUAUAUAAUAUUAAUAACAAAAAUAUGAGGCGGUGCUUAGUCAGAUGAUUUUAGUUGUUAAAAUAUUUUUUUGUUAUUUAUAGAUAGUGAAACUUGUCUCAUAUUUUAUCUAUUUUGUUUCGUUUCUUGAGAUUUCCAAAUAUUUAUUAGGACAUUGUACCAUGGUGUAUUUCAAGAUAUUAUUGUUAUUUAGAUAAUUAGUCAUAUUCAAUGAAUUUUGAGGACAAAAUUUAAAUAAGAGGAGAACAAUGUCAUAUCUCACGUAUUAGCAGUUUUAAUUAUUUUAUAUUUUUAUUUUAAAGAUAAGAUAAAGUUUAUUUAUUUAAUUGUUUUUAUCUUAAAAGCGAUUUUGAGUUGUUUGAGUUAGAUAUAUACUCCUACUGUGGUUCAACUAGUUUUGCCGUAAGUGAAUAAUUUCCGGUCAAUAUUUUGAAAUUUGUUGUUAUCUUCUAAUUAAGAUAAUUAAGGGGUUAAAUAGCUUUUGAAAAAUGUGAAAAAAAUCAAAAAAAUUGGGAAACCAAAAGUGGCAAGCUUUUUUUUUUUUGUUCUUUUUAAAUUUUCUAAAAUCUGGGGAAAAAAGAACUUGCCACCUAAUUUUUUCCAAAUUUUUUCAAAUUCUUUUCAGAUUUUUGAAUUUUUUCCCCAAUUUUUCCUCACUUUUUUCUGAUUUUUUUUGAAUUUAUUAAGAUUUUUUUUGUUUUUUCUGCUUAUUCUGAAUUUUUUAAGAUUUAUUCGCAUUUUUUUCAUAUUUUUAAAAAAUAUUUUUGAAUUUUCCGUUAAGUAAUUAAUGGAACUGACGGAGAGUGAUGCUUUUGAAAGUUUUUAAUUACUUGAUAAUGCGUUUGAAAAUUUUUUCAACAACAUGACCCAGUUGCAAGUUUCCGGCGAGGUUAGUGAUGAAUUAGUUAUUUAACUCUUAAUAAAAAUCUAUCUAAACAAUAUUAUAAAUAUAAUGUUAUGGGUUCGAUGAGUCGUGUAAAACAUGGAAGAAGUUUAGGUGGGGUAAAAAGAGCCUAGCUGUGUGAUUUCCAUUCUGUUAUACGUGAUAUACUGUAGUUGAUCAUCUCCUUUGUCCGCUUCAUCCUGUGCAACCUUAACCUUUAAGGAAAAACUUAUGAGAUUCUCUACUGCAUCUAAAUUCUUGUGUGAAGAAUGUGAAGAAAAAUGUUAGUCUCAGAUUAUUUUUCCUAAAAUGCUUGCAUGUUACAUUUUAUAUGUAUGUCCUGACUUUAAGUAUAAUUUAGCAUUUUUAUUUAGUAUUGUGUAAAAAUAAUAUAUUUUAUUCAGUCUUAUUAAAAAUAUAAUCAUGUUAUACUGUAAAAGUAUUUGUGAAUUUCUUUGUUACAUAUGUGUUUAAAUUAUUUUAUUUAUAUAUGUUUUACAAUUUUUUACAAAUAUAUAAGUUGAGUAUUGCAUAGGAAUAUAAUUACACGUUAGCAAAUAUGAUUAUGUGUAAACUGUUCUGCGUGCAUGUAUAUUGCUGCUAAGUUUUAAACUUCUUACUAACCGGAAUAAUUUUGACAGAUGUGUGGAACUUGAUUAAUUUAGUUGCACUAUAAGAGAAAGCGUUUUUGUCAAUAAAAAUUGUUAAGGAAAUUAGUCCGUUGGUAGUUCUCAACGGAUUUGUAACAAUUUGACUGGUCAAUGUUCUGUCAACCAAUUAGUAAUGAAAUACCCACACUUAUUUACCAACGAGAUGUUCUAUUAGGAAAUAUAGCCACACAAUGGAAUAGUAACAAAAGACCAAGGAAUGAGCAACAUACUAGCAACGAAAGUAUCUGUUAUUAAAUAUUCCCUUGAUAAAUACUAGACUUUUUAGCACUUUGGUGCAGUGGCGGAGCCAGCCAUAAACUUUAAUGGGGGCCAAAAAUAACUUUUUAAGACAUCAUAAAAGAUGAUAGUUUAUAAUCAAGCAUCUCCCAUUAUAUUUUGAAGUAUACUUUUAAUAAGAUUAAUAGUUUGAAAAACUCUUUCAACAUUGUCUGUUGCAACAUCAAAAUUAACUUACAUUAGUUAUAUGAAUUCAAAUAUCCAUAUCAAAUUUCGAGAUAUCGAAGAAAAGAAUAGAAAACGUGCAUGUUCUACUUUUUGAAUAGAAAGAAAAUAAAGGAAUAAUAGUGAACAACCAAGAAGGCAAGAAGUAAUCGAUGAUAACCAUAAAGCCCAGAAGAGGUGGAUGAUAGAAUGUCGUCCCAGCUAAUGUAUGUCUAUAUAUUAAUAUUAAAAACUAUAAAAUCUCUAGUGGGGUCCAGUGCCCCCACAUGCCUCUACAUGCCUCCACCACUGCUUUGGUGGCUUGUACUAUUUCAAAUUUGCACGUUAGUGGCCCACCUUUAAAAGUCAUCAAUUGUGUUGCUGAACUUAUUUUUUUUUAACACAUUAGGGGCUCUGCAUCAUAUCCGUUAAAUCGAAGUAACGGCGUCAAAUGAUCAAUACAUAUCUCCUCCUCCUCUUAUUUCCCUCCAAAUUAAAAACGAAACGGCUACCCCCUUUUCCGAAGCAAGAACGACGACGAAUUCCUGCUUACAGAGAUGAGUUGGUUCCGGCGUCUUAAAGAGGAUGCUGAUGUGUAUCAGCCUCGACAGUGCCCCGAUUACUGUGGUAAGCUCUUCAACUUUUCUUCUUUGUAGCAUAUGAAAUGAGUUUAAUUGACCAUUAUUUCAGUGUUUGUUGUUGUUAGUGGCUAGUUGUUUAGUAUUAUGGACCUGCAAUUGCUUUAUACUAUUAAAAUGGAAGAUUCUGCUUGUGGGUUUUUAAAAAUUAGGGCUUUUACAUAGUCCAAGAUUCGGUCAUUAUAAAAUCAAUUUAUGCCUGUUUUAGUAUAAUGCUUGUUGUUAGUGGCUAUUUGUUAAGUAUAGUGUUGUUUAUUGUAAAUAAAACUGUUGCUUUGCACUCUACAUUUGCAGAACCUGGUGAUUUUACCCUAAAAAUAUAUCAUGGGGCCGAUUGGGUAGAUAACCCUAGGGCAUAUGUGGGAGGUACAGUAGAUUUCUUUGACUUCUGUAAUGCUGAUCAGAUCAGCAUAAUUGAGAUAUAUAGUAUGUUGAAAGAGGUUGAUGAGUUUGGGUUUCACCAACUGUGGUAUAAGCUACCUGGCACUACAUUCGAUAGAGCUUUUGUACUAAAUAAUGAUGAGGAGCUAAUGACCAUGUGUGAGCUUAUAUCUGAUGUGGAUAAGUAUAUGGAGAUUUAUGUCACCACUAUGGCACAUCUAAGUACAGUGCCCUAUAGAGAUUUAGAGGUUGAAUUUGUUGAACCAACUCCUAAAGAAGCACCUGAAAAGAACAAUCCAUCACCUGAAAAGAUCAAUCCAGCACCUGAAAAGAUCAAUCCAGCACCUGCAAAGAUGUAUCCAGCACCUGCAAAGAGCAUUCCAACUGUGGGAAAUGAUGAUGAUCAGGAAGAGUUUGAGUUUGAUUUUGACAAUUGAUAGAAUAUAUUUUUGUAUAUAUUCUAUAUGAUUUUAUUCCCAUAUUUAAUUAUAUUUUGCACUGAUUUGGAUAUUUAUUUAAUAUAUUUUCAUGUUUUAUUGUAGGGAAUAAAGAAUUCCAAGUUGAGAAGGAUUUGAAGAUAAAUUAGCUAUUUUGGAGUUAAAUUCUAAAGAAAUUCGGAUUUAUUGGGUUUUACCCGAUUUCUGCACUGUUUGAGCCAUAUCUUGAGUUCCGGAUGUCGGAAUUGGACGUUCUUACAGCUCACGCGAAGCCCUUGAUAUUUCCUUUAAUUUAGAAGUGGCCCAGCAAGAAAAGUCCAACUGGAAAAGCCCGAAAACUGGACAGAACAGAAAGCUACGAAUUUUGAGACUAAAUCCUACUUGGUUUUGGAGUUUUAUUCAUAUAUUAGUUUUAAAUAUUAAAAGAGGUAUAUUAUUAGAGAUAGGAUUAGUUUUUAUCAUUGUACAAUAUUAGAGUAGGUUAGGGUUAGAGAGAAACUUAGAGGAGAGGCCAUUACUCUUUUUUGGAUGACAACAAUGAAGGUUUAUAAAGGUUUUCUUCUAUAGUUUUCUUCUCUUUACUUGUUAGUUUAAUUAUGUCUUUUAAUUAUUCUAGUUGUUUAAUUAGUAUCGAGUAGUGUGUUCUAGGGUUUAAGGGGAAGCCAUGUUUGCGUUAUGAUGUUGGCAUGAUUUAACAGUGAUUUGAUUGAUUGGUUAAUUCUAAUUGAUAUGUUUUAAUAUUGAUUUAUGUAAUCGGCCGAUAUCAUGAAUUGAUUCUAUGCGAAUAGGAGUAUGAUCGAGAGAUAUACGACUAGAGGCACACAUACAAUUAGCAGAAUUGAAUUUGAGUGCGAGAGCAUCAUUGAAUUUCUGAAAGCGUUAAUACUCGAGAGAGAUUAACAUUGCUUUAAUUAUCUGAUUAAUUGGAUUACUAAAAGUGAUUAUUUGUGUAAGCAUGUUUCGAGAGUGUUGAUACUUGAGAGAGAUUAACAAACUCUAGUUUCAUGACCGCUUUAAUUGCUUUAGCUUAGAGCCAGUCAUUGUCUAAGCAUGGUGGACCUGAUUGCCCUGGAUUUUUAACAUAUUAUUUUAGUGUCUAUUUAGUUAGUGUUAAUAUAAUAAUGUUUAUUUAGUUAAAAAUAUUUCUUUCGAUCAUCGUUGAUUUGGGAACAAUUGAAUGUAACUUAAUAAAAUUGAUAGCAUCUGUCUCCUCGAGGAUACGACCCGCAUUUGCCAGUCUACACUACAAUAGACACCGUGCGCUUGCGGUAGUUAUAAUUUAACACAUCAAGUUUUUGGCGCCGCUGCCGGGGAGACGGCUAGUUUCUAUUAGUUUUGUUUGGUUAUCUAGAUUGUUUCCUUUGCCUCGUUGGAACCCUUGUUCCAAUUGAGGCGGAUUUUACUCUGUUUUCUUGGCUGUGUUGUGUUUUUCAGGUUUACAAUGGACGGAGUUGAUAACUUUGCACGUCUAUCUUCCCUGAUCGAGGCAUAUACUCGUGAAAAUGCCUCAUUGAAUGCUACAGAGCCCACUACACGUCCACUGAGUAUCAACGAGAUGUCACAAGCUGCCCCGAAGACUUAUAACUUCUGUCAAGUUUGUGGUGUUCAGGGUCACUAUGGUUAUGAAUGUUCUUACAAUGUAUUUAAUUCUCAGAAUGCUCAGUUGGGACAUGUGAAUGAUUAUCAAGAAAGAUAUGAGUACAAUCACUAUUCUAAUUCUUGUGAUCAACAAUGGAUGGGUCAACCAGAUUUCUCUUACAUGGACAAUGAAUUUCAAAAUUUCUCAUAUCAUGAUCAACAACAAUUUCAGCAACAUCGUUAUGAAGAACCACCACUACAGCAAUAUGAUCAGUUUGAGCAGGAAUAUCAUCAACCUCAAUAUGAGCAACCUCAGUUUCAGCAGUAUCACUAUUCUCCACUUCAACAAGAGCUACAGGUUCCUUUAACCAAUGUAGAUGUGCCAUCGUAUCAGACGAAUGAGGUAUGUGAUAUGUUGAUAUAUAUGACCAAGAGUUUUGAGGAUGGUAUCAUGAACUUCCAGAAAUGCAUUGAUGAGAGUACCAUGAUGAUUAAAGAAUUAAAAGCUGAACAACUGAUGAUGGAAGGUCAAAUUGCACAAUUGUCUAGUUCUUCUUCUACAUGUCAAACCGAAUCCUCUCCACCUCCAUGUCUUCAAGUUGAAGAUGACAUAAAUACUAUCAUUCUUGCAAGUGAUAAAGACAGUGAUAGUUUUUCGAUCUGUGAUGAUGAUGCGCCUAUUGGUAAAGGGGAGGAUCAUGUCAUUGCCAAUGAAAUUGAUGAUGUUGUUGAUGUUGUGGACCAUGUGCGUGAUGAUGAGCUAAGUGAAGAAAGCAAUAUCGAGUUGGUAGUAGUUUCUCCUCCGCCUUGUGUGCUUAAAUUACCAUUCUUGAAAGGAAUCAACUUAAUCAAGGUGGAUCAACAAUUUGAUAUGAAAAACUUUGCUUUUACUCGAACCUCAGCUCCAAUAUUUGAGAGCACAUGUUUUAAAGUUGAUGUGAUGAUUGUCCAAGAUGAGAUUUCUCAGAAUAUUUCCUAUGAUCCAUUUCAAAAGGCUCUUACACCUCAAGUCUUGGAAGAAGGUGUUUGCAAUAUUGACUUUUUAUUCAUUGAAGCAAGAAGAAGCCAAGAGAUUCAACUAGCUCCUGCGAAAGUGAGGAGUUCUGAAAAACCACCACCGGAGCCUCCACCUCAUGUGAAUAUCAAGGGAGUUCAAUCUUUUGAUGGAUGUGAAUUCUAUCGUUGCUUUAUCAUAAAGUUCUCCAAAUCUAUGAAAUAUAUUGAUCAGUUGUUAUAUCUUGAUGCGACAAUUAAUUUUAUUAAUGCUUGUUUGGAGACUUUCUGCAGGAUAAAGACAACAUUUGAUGUUAAGGAUUUUAUUUUUGGUGGUGAGAUCAUGUUUGAGAAAGCGGAAACUCCGCCUUUUACAUAUUCUUUUUGGAGGUAAAAAGUCAAGCUAAUGACUCUAAAAGAGCGCUACUUGGGAGGCAACCCAAGGUCUCUAUUAGUUUAUUUAUAUAAUAUAUUUUUGUAUUUUUUUAGGAGCUUAAAAUUUUUAUUUUCAUUUUUUUUACUCCCAUAAGAUGCCUUGAUGAAUUUGUGUGAAGUGUUUUCAGAUAUUAUAUCCAAUCACUCAUGCGGCUCCUUUUUAAAGUUCNNNNNNNNNNNNNNNNNNNNNNNNNNNNNNNNNNNNNNNNNNNNNNNNNNNNNNNNNNNNNNNNNNNNNNNNNNNNNNNNNNNNNNNNNNNNNNNNNNNNNNNNNNNNNNNNNNNNNNNNNNNNNNNNNNNNNNNNNNNNNNNNNNNNNNNNNNNNNNNNNNNNNNNNNNNNNNNNNNNNNNNNNNNNNNNNNNNNNNNNNNNNNNNNNNNNNNNNNNNNNNNNNNNNNNNNNNNNNNNNNNNNNNNNNNNNNNNNNNNNNCAUAUCUUCUGUNCUUUUAGUAAACAGUAGAAGAAGAGCUGUGGUGCUACGAUGUCUAGCUGCGGCUCCGGAGCUUCUGCCAAGCACAAUUUGUUCGCGCUAGUUUUUCACAAUCUACUUGAUAACUUGAAGCAGAGCUCCUAACUCCCAAGAUCAUCUGUUCCCUGUUCUGCUACAUGGAGUCCACGCACCCAGCCCAUUCAAGUCCAGAAGCCCAUGCACGGAGCCUGUUCUCAAUUCAGCCCAUGCUCCAAGCCCAAGACCACACCACCUGGGCCCAGUACAGGGGGUGCAUCUCAGCAACAGAGGCCCAGCCCACCAGUUGAUCCUCGAAGUCCAGCUGCUUCAGUCCAGUAAAAGUCUGCGUGUGUAUGCCUACAAAAAAGAACUGUUGCUGGUAGGAAUCGAAGACGGGUCAAUUACAAAGCAGAUCUCAGGAGCCACCUACCAACCACUGGGCCAACUGAUUCUUUUGUUGAGGAAACGCAUCCAGUUUAACAAAAACUUGAGAAGUCAAGAGCCAAUUCAACACUCAACAGCAUUUCAGGGGAGUAUUCCUUUUAACCACUAUUGUGUAAUUAUAUUAUUAUAUUUAUAUAUUUCUAUCAUAUUUGUUCAUUGAGGACAAUGAACCACUUUAGUGUGGGGAUGGUUUCUCAAUGAUAAAAAAUUAUAUAUCAUAAAAUUCAAAAAAAUAGAAAAAUUAAAAAAAAAUUGUAUAUUGCCAUGUCUUAAAUUAGGAAAUUCAUGUUAGUUGCAUUAUAUUAGAGCUAGUUACUUAAUUUUGUAUGCCAUUUUUUAGUAGAUUUUUUUCUUCUUCUUUCUUUUAGGUUACAUAAUUCAUGAAAGUAUAUAAUACCGAGUUAAUUUCUCAUGAUGAGUUUAUUUGCAUAAUUAUUUGGCUAGUAGUCUUGAUCAUAUGUGAUGUCUUGCAUGCUUAGAAAUUGCUUGUGCGGAAAUUUUAAAUACACUAUAAAAUGCUCUAGAGACAAGACUGAGACUAACUUAAUUCUUGAGUUUUAUCUAUGAGUUGAGUGUAGAAUUUUGACUAUUCCCUUUUAAGCUUAGAGUAUGUAAAUCUUAAGUUUAGGGGAGUUUUAGGAUGUAUAUGCCUUUCUAGAAAAAUGAAAAAAAAAAUAGAAUAUUGCAAAUAAAGUAUCGAGUACUCCUUUGAGAUCAACGGGUGGUAAUAUUUGAAAGGGACGAUCCAUGUACUUGUGCUGGUAUUAAGUGCAAUUGUACUAGAAAUAAAUUUUCUUGGUGACUUUUCACAACCCUUGGUUACUGGAGAAUUACUUGACUUAAAAAAAAUAGAGAAAAAAAAUGAGCUAGCAAAGUCUUAUGGUGGUCGUAACUCACUUACCAUGAGAAGCUUCCCAACCUUUGACUGAGCAUGAAAAAAAAAAGUAGAAAAUAUAAGAGAGGCAUAGAAAUUCCUUUGCGACCCUGAGCUGUAGUUGACUCUAAUGUAACGAAGCGUUUAAGCAUUAUUCUGAUAAACGACUCAUGGUUAAGACUCUGUUGAACUUUGUUGGUGUCUGUUUUGUUUCAUUAGAGAGCAUGUUGAACACACACGAUUCACUCCGUACUUGCAGCGGAAAAGUUGCAUGACUAAUGUGUGAGAUAGAUGAAUGCCUUGAAUGUUGCUUAUUCUGAAGAUUAUUUGUUAACGAGGUUGAUGCUUUCAUGAUUGUAUUAUAUGCAUUUUCAUUUAGAUUGCAUUCAUAGUAGUUGCAUGUUUAAGACCGGUAGAAAAUAAUGAAUUUUGUGGGUAGAUUCGCUAUAAACCCUCACGAGACAAAACUCGUCCUACUAGGGCUGCCUAGAGGUUUAACGGCUUGUUGCAUGCGCUCAAUGCAAUCGUGUCAUCUACGAAAGUGGUGUUAGUUAGUUAGUUAGGAUAUUUUUAUUUCUUUUAUUUGCCCGAGGACGUGCAAAAGUUAAGUGUGGCGGAUGUUUGAUAGGGUAUAUAUUUACAUAUAUUCUAGAUGAUUUUAUUCUCAUAUUUAAUUGUAUUUUGCAUUGAAUUGGAUAUUUAUUUAAUAGAUUUUAAUGUUUUAUUGCAGGAAGCAAGGAGUUCCUAAACUUGGAGGAAAUUGGAAUAAAAAGCUUAAUUUGAAGAUUAAUUAGAAGGAAAUUCGGAUUUGUUGAAUUGCUUGCACUUGAAUCACUGUUUGGGCCAUAUCUUGAGUUCUAGAAAUCAGAAUUGGGUGAUCUUACAGCCCACGCGAAGCUUAGAGAAUUUUCUUUAAUUCAGAGAUGGUCCAAUAUCCAAAAUCCAACAGAAUCAGCCCAGGAAUAGGCAGAAAACAGAGCUACGAAUUUUCUUGAAGAAACCUAUUCUGUUUAGGAAACUGUUUUGUAUUUUCUUGUAAGUAUUAAAAUCAAAUAUAUUAGAGAGAGGGAUGGGUNNNNNNNNNNNNNNNNNNNNNNNNNNNNNNNNNNNNNNNNNNNNNNNNNNNNNNNNNNNNNNNNNNNNNNNNNNNNNNNNNNNNNNNNNNNNNNNNNNNNNNNNNNNNNNNNNNNNNNNNNNNNNNNNNNNNNNNNNNNNNNNNNNNNNNNNNNNNNNNNNNNNNNNNNNNNNNNNNNNNNNNNNNNNNNNNNNNNNNNNNNNNNNNNNNNNNNNNNNNNNNNNNNNNNNNNNNNNNNNNNNNNNNNNNNNNNNNNNNNNNNNNNNNNNNNNNNNNNNNNNNNNNNNNNNNNNNNNNNNNNNNNNNNNNNNNNNNNNNNNNNNNNNNNNNNNNNNNNNNNNNNNNNNNNNNNNNNNNNNNNNNNNNNNNNNNNNNNNNNNNNNNNNNNNNNNNNNNNNNNNNNNNNNNNNNNNNNNNNNNNNNNNNNNNNNNNNNNNNNNNNNNNNNNNNNNNNNNNNNNNNNNNNNNNNNNNNNNNNNNNNNNNNNNNNNNNNNNNNNNNNNNNNNNNNNNNNNNNNNNNNNNNNNNNNNNNNNNNNNNNNNNNNNNNNNNNNNNNNNNNNNNNNNNNNNNNNNNNNNNNNNNNNNNNNNNNNNNNNNNNNNNNNNNNNNNNNNNNNNNNNNNNNNNNNNNNNNNNNNNNNNNNNNNNNNNNNNNNNNNNNNNNNNNNNNNNNNNNNNNNNNNNNNNNNNNNNNNNNNNNNNNNNNNNNNNNNNNNNNNNNNNNNNNNNNNNNNNNNNNNNNNNNNNNNNNNNNNNNNNNNNNNNNNNNNNNNNNNNNNNNNNNNNNNNNNNNNNNNNNNNNNNNNNNNNNNNNNNNNNNNNNNNNNNNNNNNNNNNNNNNNNNNNNNNNNNNNNNNNNNNNNNNNNNNNNNNNNNNNNNNNNNNNNNNNNNNNNNNNNNNNNNNNNNNNNNNNNNNNNNNNNNNNNNNNNNNNNNNNNNNNNNNNNNNNNNNNNNNNNNNNNNNNNNNNNNNNNNNNNNNNNNNNNNNNNNNNNNNNNNNNNNNNNNNNNNNNNNNNNNNNNNNNNNNNNNNNNNNNNNNNNNNNNNNNNNNNNNNNNNNNNNNNNNNNNNNNNNNNNNNNNNNNNNNNNNNNNNNNNNNNNNNNNNNNNNNNNNNNNNNNNNNNNNNNNNNNNNNNNNNNNNNNNNNNNNNNNNNNNNNNNNNNNNNNNNNNNNNNNNNNNNNNNNNNNNNNNNNNNNNNNNNNNNNNNNNNNNNNNNNNNNNNNNNNNNNNNNNNNNNNNNNNNNNNNNNNNNNNNNNNNNNNNNNNNNNNNNNNNNNNNNNNNNNNNNNNNNNNNNNNNNNNNNNNNNNNNNNNNNNNNNNNNNNNNNNNNNNNNNNNNNNNNNNNNNNNNNNNNNNNNNNNNNNNNNNNNNNNNNNNNNNNNNNNNNNNNNNNNNNNNNNNNNNNNNNNNNNNNNNNNNNNNNNNNNNNNNNNNNNNNNNNNNNNNNNNNNNNNNNNNNNNNNNNNNNNNNNNNNNNNNNNNNNNNNNNNNNNNNNNNNNNNNNNNNNNNNNNNNNNNNNNNNNNNNNNNNNNNNNNNNNNNNNNNNNNNNNNNNNNNNNNNNNNNNNNNNNNNNNNNNNNNNNNNNNNNNNNNNNNNNNNNNNNNNNNNNNNNNNNNNNNNNNNNNNNNNNNNNNNNNNNNNNNNNNNNNNNNNNNNNNNNNNNNNNNNNNNNNNNNNNNNNNNNNNNNNNNNNNNNNNNNNNNNNNNNNNNNNNNNNNNNNNNNNNNNNNNNNNNNNNNNNNNNNNNNNNNNNNNNNNNNNNNNNNNNNNNNNNNNNNNNNNNNNNNNNNNNNNNNNNNNNNNNNNNNNNNNNNNNNNNNNNNNNNNNNNNNNNNNNNNNNNNNNNNNNNNNNNNNNNNNNNNNNNNNNNNNNNNNNNNNNNNNNNNNNNNNNNNNNNNNNNNNNNNNNNNNNNNNNNNNNNNNNNNNNNNNNNNNNNNNNNNNNNNNNNNNNNNNNNNNNNNNNNNNNNNNNNNNNNNNNNNNNNNNNNNNNNNNNNNNNNNNNNNNNNNNNNNNNNNNNNNNNNNNNNNNNNNNNNNNNNNNNNNNNNNNNNNNNNNNNNNNNNNNNNNNNNNNNNNNNNNNNNNNNNNNNNNNNNNNNNNNNNNNNNNNNNNNNNNNNNNNNNNNNNNNNNNNNNNNNNNNNNNNNNNNNNNNNNNNNNNNNNNNNNNNNNNNNNNNNNNNNNNNNNNNNNNNNNNNNNNNNNNNNNNNNNNNNNNNNNNNNNNNNNNNNNNNNNNNNNNNNNNNNNNNNNNNNNNNNNNNNNNNNNNNNNNNNNNNNNNNNNNNNNNNNNNNNNNNNNNNNNNNNNNNNNNNNNNNNNNNNNNNNNNNNNNNNNNNNNNNNNNNNNNNNNNNNNNNNNNNNNNNNNNNNNNNNNNNNNNNNNNNNNNNNNNNNNNNNNNNNNNNNNNNNNNNNNNNNNNNNNNNNNNNNNNNNNNNNNNNNNNNNNNNNNNNNNNNNNNNNNNNNNNNNNNNNNNNNNNNNNNNNNNNNNNNNNNNNNNNNNNNNNNNNNNNNNNNNNNNNNNNNNNNNNNNNNNNNNNNNNNNNNNNNNNNNNNNNNNNNNNNNNNNNNNNNNNNNNNNNNNNNNNNNNNNNNNNNNNNNNNNNNNNNNNNNNNNNNNNNNNNNNNNNAUGAUGUCAAAUUACUUAGUCUUUAAUGGUAUAUUUAUUAGAAUUAUGAAACUUAUUUUAAAAAAUUAUUUUGGACGAUCCAAACUGUAUGAAUGUUAUUUUAACAUGUUAAUAUUGAUUAAAAUUGUUUUUAAAAAAAAAUUAGUUGUAUUUUAUGUGUGAAUUUUUAGUCAAAUACGAUAAAAUAUUUAUUUAGCUUGUAAUGAAAUAUUAAAACCCUACUUCAAAAGAAACUUGUCUAAAACUACCUAUAAGUGUUAGAGAAUCAUCGAUUUAGUUAUCAAAUUAGUUAUCAUAAGGGUUUUACUCCGCUUUUCUCUGGUAUGAUGUUGAUUUUUGGGGUUUGAUUGGUCGAUUUUCAUGUUUUAUAAGUUAUGUGAGUUCGAUUUUGAUGUUUUUACAAUUAGGUUUAUGUAUGUUCUUAUACAGGUUUCAUGUUCAUGUUUUGAUUUGUUGAUUUCCUAUUUUUCAUAUUUUGUUGAUUAGUUAUUUGUGUGGGUUUUGAACUUUGAUGAGUGUGUAUGUAAUCUCCUGUUUUUUUUUCAUUUUUCUGGUUCGAACACUUCGAUUAGUAGCUGGAAAAACAGCUGAUGCGGCAGUAGCGGCUAGCGAGAUGGAUAACAAGAAAAGGAUGAUUUCGAGGUCAUCUCGUGCAAGUCUUCAGAUAUAGUUUUGUUCCUUUAUGUUUUUAAUUGACAUAAAUUUUCACAUUUGAUGAUUAUAUUAUGGGGGAUUCUGGGUAUACUUGUAUAUAAUCUAGCAAGUUAUUAUAAUUCUGGACGGGGGGCUUAUUGUGAAAUUAAAUUGAGGGAUAAGUUGUGUUAUUGGUUCUAGUGGAUUAAAUUUAUGUUGACACUUGAUAUAUGCAUUGAUGUCGUAAAAUAAGUUGCACAUCAAACUAUUUGGCUUGUUUAAGUUGUAUGGAGUAAGGCUGUACGCGGAUCGGAUCGGUUCGGUUGGAGGGUAAUAACCAAACCAAACCGCAACUUACGGUUUUCUAAAAUCUCAAACCGCGACCAUACUGUUGGUUAAAAAAACCCAACCAAAUCCAUCCACGUAAUUGCGGUUGGUUGCGGUUCAACCGCUAAAAUAGUUAUAACAAAGAAAAUAUAUAAGUUAUCGCUUAAAAUCUUGCAUAAAGUACAGGCUUUAACUCAAAAAUAUAUAAUUUAUCACUUAAAAUCUUGAAUAAAGUUAAUACAAUAAAUCUGAUUACAUAUUACAAAAGCAAACUAAUCCGGAAAUAUAUAACUUGAAGCAGAGCUUCAAGUUAAUGGUUAUUAAAAAUUUCAUCCGCGACCGCCCACAUUUUACGGUUAUCCAUAAUACACGGAUCGGUUGCAGGUGGUUGUUGCGGUUAAUGCGGUUGAGCGGAUUCAACGUACAGAGCCCUAUGAAGUAUGGUUGCCAAGCAUUGAUUGGUUGUACACGUAUAAACAAAAUGAUAUUUUAAUAUUUAAACAAAACAAUACAGUCAUAAACAGAUCGUGUCGGGCUGGACUGAUUGUGAUUUUCCUUUUUGGAACUCGUACUCGGCAUCUUCCAAGCGAAUGAUAUUUAGAAGUUUGUUGCUAGUAUACUCCAUGUCAUAAUAAGAGUUCUUUAGAUUUUUUAUAUGUAAUUCGAAGUAUAAAAAACAUAUUUUAACAUAUUAUUUUUAAAUUUUUUAUACAUAAAAAUAUAACAUCUAUAUUUUUAUUUAAAAAAAAAUUUGAAAUAUAAUAUAUGGAUGCAUGUCUUUUUUAUACGUGAAAUUACAUGUAAAAAAUUAAAAGACUCUUAUUUUGAGUAAGAGAGAAUAUGAUGUACCAUAAAGUCAUCGAUCUUUUGUUAUCAAAUAAAUGUGAUAUUUAAUUAUUUAAGAGCAAGUCCAAAAGUAUCUUAGUUAAAGUCCUAAAUAUAAUAUAAAAUAUUACGUUCCGGUGAUUUAGGAUAUAUUUUACUAACUUGGACUCCAACAAUGUGUCUUAUUCUCAUAAGAAGUUUAAUAUUUUAUUAUUAAAAACUCUCUUUCAUCAUUAAAGCAUAAUAUAAAAGUAGAGAGAGAAAAAAAGUGUUGAUAAGAAUUAAUAAUAAAAUAUGGGAUAGGGUAAGGAGAGAUGUGCCUCAAAAAUAGGGCUUGAGGAGGUUGUCCUAGUGAUAUAAGGGCAAGGAGAUCAACUUUUUACAUCAAAUGCCUUAAAUAACAAUUUAGGACAUAAUAUUGGGCAUCUGCUGGACUUGCUCUAAGUUGUUACUCCUUUAUUAGGUGUGGACACGGAGACGAAGAAGUAAAAGAUGAGUACAGUUAAAUGAAGAUGUGGUAAAAUAAUGUGACCCAUUUAUAUUUAAUAAUACAUUUGAAAUAGUGGAGGAAAGUAACGAGUGUAAUAACGUUUAUAUUAUUAUAGCAUAUAGAUAGCAGAAGAAAGCAAUGGGUAUAAAAGUGUAUUAUAUUAUUAAAAUUACUAUUUUUGAAAUGUUUAGAAAUAAUGGGGCAAUCAAAAAGAAAACUGUAUAAAAAUGGACGAGAGAAUACAAUUCAAGAAGUAAUAUAUCUCAAUUCAAACUAGGUAAUAUAUUUAUGAAUUAUAUUAAAAAAAAUUUGACAUUCAAAUAUAAAAAUUUAUUUUAUCAUCUUAACAAUGGAAUAUUCGAUUAUUAACUUUCGUAAAUAACAUUAAUUUUUCAUUAUAAUAUACUCUAAACUUUUAUUUUAUGUGCCUGUUUGUUUACAAGAAGCUGGAGUCCUACUUCUCUUGACUCGUUUGUGUAAAAACGUAAAAAGUGCUUUUAAAAAGUACUGAGAAGGAAAUGGAAGUAGAAAAUGCUAGUUUUUCUUUAUAAUAUCUAUUUCUUUUCUAGACACUUUAAUAAUUUAUAUAUAUUAAUUUAUUUCUCACUUAUACUCCAUUUUUUUAUAGAGAACUUCUUUUAAACUAAUCGGCUCCUAUAAUCAGUAGUUUCUCAAUUUUAACAGGAAUAAGAGCAUGUUUAUCUGAGCUUAAAGCCCGGGGUUUAUAUCAUCUCUGGCUUUAAGCUGAAAAAUGUAUGUUUGUGUAUUAAGUCGGAAGUCGGCUUAAAGUCGGAAAUAAGUCAAAAAUUGACCUAAAACCAGAAGUUAGUUUGAGAUACUUUUCUCGGUGACUAAUUUUUUUUUUAGCCAUUUUUUGAUAAAAAUUAUUCUUAAAUCACAAAUUACUCAUAAAUCACUUUUAUUAUUAUUAUUACUAUAUUUUUAAUAACUUAUAAGUUAUUAAUAAAUCAAAAUUAAUCAAACAAAUAUUUUAAGUUCUCAUAAGAGUUUAUGAGAUAAGUAACGUUAAGUCAUGAAUCAACUGAACGGGAUGUAAGUCUUCUUCUCCCCGAGUCAUCAGCAGACUUUUUCCAUGUCUUCUGAGCCCCCAUUGGCUCACAAUUGGCCCAAAAAAUAUUUGGUUAUGCAUUGCUAUUCACACACUUAGACAUCAAAAUUUAUCAUCCGACAGGCGACAGCUAACUGCACACUAUUUUUCCCACAAGCUGAAAAAUCAACGAUCAAUUAAUUUUUCUUAUCAAUUAAUAAAGUUAUGAUUUCACGUACACGGCAGGCAAAAUGCUAAUAAAUAGACGAGUGCAGUAUAGUAUGGGUUCAUGAUCACCUUGAGAUUUAAUUGAAAAAUAUUAUGGUGAUAUAGAUUAAAUUAAAUUAUAAUAUCUUGAAAAGUUAUAAAUAAUUUUAAUUACUAAUAAUAUUUAUUUGUACAUUUAAAUAUUUUUAUAAAAACACAAAAAUAGCAUUAUACUCAUUUAAGUUUCUCGUAUCCGCCUCUCUUCUUGGAGAUUGUGGAUUUGCGAUAUUUAUAUUGAUUAUUAUAGGAAAAUGUUAUUUCCAGAGCAAACAUUUUUAUUUCCGGAGCAAAUUCAAACAAAUUUUUCCAAAUUGUUCUGGAAAUUAAAAUAUUGAUAUGGAUAUAACAAUUCCCUUAUUAUAUCCUAUGUAUAUUACAUUAAUGCAAUUAACAUGGUUGAUUGUUUUAGUAUAUAAUCAUAUUACUGUGACCUUUUAGUAUAUAAUUAUAUUAUUUUUGUUAUAUUUUAUGCAUCUAGAAACAAUUUUUUUAUGAUAUUUAUUAUAUUAAUUAUAGUAAAAGAUAUAAUUUUGUUUAAAAAAUUGAAUAAAACUAAGAGGGAUAGCCUACGUCUCUCCGAGUCUUCGAGGACUCAUUCCAAGUCCGAGAGGACCACAGCCUCAACCUUUAAGAGAUGUGAAAGUAGCUUGAGAGUGAUAUAAAUUUAUUUUUGACAAUAAAAUUUAAUAAUCAAAUAAAUUAAAUUAAAUUAAACUAGUUUAUAAUCGAUUAAAAAUAUAUAAAUCAAAAUUAUUCCCGAAUUAUGAUAACAAUUAAAAUCAUUUUAAAAGUUGCAUAAAUCAAAUCCAAAUCGAACAAAUUCCCCUAACACUAAAAUGUAGUUGCUUUAUUGUAGAUAAAAACAGUAUAAUAAUAGUAUUGAUGAAAAAUCAAAUUCAUCAAAUAAGUUUAUAAAAAAUACAUGAUUUUAAUUUUAAAAAAAAAACAUGAUUUUAGUGUGUUGUAUUAGUAGUGUGUCCACGCAUUUAUAUAUUAAAAUCUAUCCUCUAAAAACUAUCGAUCUAUUUACACAACUAUUGAUCUGUCGUGCAACAAAUUCCAGGGCGAAGUUCCAAAGAGAGCUUAAAUGGCUUGCAUUGCUCAAUCUAUCUCAUAAUAGUCUUAACGACAUAUGUUUUGAAUUAUUAUUAUGAUUUCAACAAUAUUUUCAAACAUUUCUUAAUAUGUAUUUUCAAAGAAUUCUCAAGCACUUGAACAUUUGGACCGGUUCUUUCGAAGCCAGGCAAUGCACAAAAAUGUCCAAAAAUGAAUAAAUUAAGAGAGAGUAGCUCACCCUUUCAAAGCCUUCCAGGACUCAUUCCAAGUCUUCGGAGGACCACUGCCUCCCCCUUUCAAAGAUGUGAUAGUAGCUCGAGAGUGAUAUAAAUUAUUUUCCCGACAUUAAAAAUAAAAAAUCAGAUUAAAUUAAUCAAUAAUAACUUAAGGAUGAAAUCCAAAUUAAUCCUAAAUUUUGAUAAUAUAUAAAAAUUAUAAUUAUAAAUUAUAUAACCAAAUCAGAAUUGAAUUAACUUACUUGGCACUAGAAUUGCUAAAGACAGUAUAAUAAUUUAAUUGAUGAAAAGUCAAAGUCUUCUAAUAAAUCCAUAAAGAAUAUGAUAAUAUGAAAAUUAUAAUUGAAAAAUCAAAAUCAAUAGUGUAUUGGAAUAGUGUUCACACACUUAUAUAUCAAAAUUUGUGGUCCAAAAACUAUAGCACAAUAUCCUAAAUACAUCACAUUAAAUAAUAGCACAAAAAUAUUCAAUAAAUAAUUGAUUUCAUUCAUAAAUUUGUUAUUUUAAAAACUAAUAAUUUGGUUGAUGUUAACCUAUAUUUUAUAUAUAAUUUCGUCUUAUUUUAUUUUACUAGAAACAAUAUUUUUAUAAUAUUUAUUACAUUAAAUAUAUUAAAAGAUAUAAUUUUAUUAAAAAAAUUGAAUAAAAUUAAAAGGAUAAGUCUCGGCCUCUCCAAGUCUACAAGACUCAUUUCACUACAAGAAAAAUGCAUAAAAGCGACCACCUAAAUGCGUGAAUGAAAAAAUAAUUUUAGAAAAACGAAAAUAAUCAUUCGUGACAAGACUAGUUAAAAAUAAUUGUUUAAUUUUUUUGACCAUUAUGAGAAGACACUAUUAAGUCGUUAUUUUUUAUUUCUUCACAUAAUUAAAAUCAACACAUAUUAAGAUAUUUAUGAUUGAAUGGUGAAAAAAAUAAAUCAAAUAUCAUAGAUCACAAGACUAGUUAUUUAAAAUUUUUUAAUUAAUCUUUACUAUUAUAAAAAUAUAUAAAUAAAUAUUUAUUUUUAUUUCUCCACAUCACAAAAAUAAACUCAUGUUAACAUUUAUGUGUGACUCGUGAACUUUUUUAUAAAAAUCAUAAAAUAAUUAAUACUGGCAAAAGCGACCGGCUAUAAAAUGGUAGCUUUUGUUUUUAUAUUUUUUUACUUCUCUUAGGCGGGAAAAUUCCCGCUCAAACACAUGAAAGUUAAAAGCGACCGCUAGACUUAGCCGGUUGCUUUUAUAUUUAAAAGCCACCAAACAAAAGCGACCCCUCGUAAAAGCCACCAAACAAAAGCGACCGCCAAUAAAAGCUACCAAACACGGUCGCUUUUGUUUAUCAGUCAAAUCAAAUUUCUAUUUUGAGUAAAAGCCACCGCUUUCGGUGGCUUUUAUACUUGGUCGCUUUUGUUUGGUGGCUUUUAGUGUUUUUUCUUGUAGUGUUUCAAGUCCACCGAGGGCCUCAACCAUUGAGAGAUGUGAAAGUAGCUUGAGAGUGAUAUAAAUUAUUUUCAUGACAAUAUAAUUUAAUAUCCAAUAUAAAUUAAUUAAAUUAGUUAAUAAUGAAUCAAGACUAAUCAUGAAUUAUGAUAAUAAUUAAAUAAAUUAUAAAAUUAAAUUAUACAAAUAACACUAAACCUUAGUUACUUUAUUGGUAAAAUAAAUAUAAUAUAAUAAUUAAAUUGAUGAAAAAUCAAAAUCAUCUAAUAAAUUCACAAAAAAUAUAUGAUCAUUAGUAUAUUAUAUUAGUAUCCACACACUUAUAUUUCAAAAUCUAUCCUACAAAAUUAUCAUCUCUGUAAACUAGCCACAAAAAAUAAAAAUUUAAAGAUAUUAGAUAUUUAGUUAUUUUCAUUAUAUAAUUUUUCCACACUAAAUAACAAAAUAUCUUUAUCAAAUUAUUAUUUAUGAAUUAAAUAUUCAAGUUAUAAAUUGAAGUGUGCAGUAUGAUAUCAGAUUCACAUAACCCAGUUGAUCAGGAGAAACAUGGCCUACUCUGCAAAGCCUUCUCACCUUCUUCUCUUUGUUUUCUUUCUCUCAUCACUUGAAUGCAUUCUUGCAACAACACGAGAAGGAGAAGCUCUUGUGAAGUGGAAGAAUAGCCUAGCCCCUUCUUCUUUUCUCGACUCUUGGUCACUCACCAAUCUCGAUAAUCUUUGUAAUUGGACUGGCAUUACUUGUAACUCUGCAGGUUCAGUCUCUAAGAUUAACCUUUUUGAGAAACAACUUGAUGGAAUGUUGUCCGAGUUUGGUUUCACUUCAUUUCCAAAUCUCAACAAUCUCACCCUUGCAAACAACUUCUUCUCGGGUCCAAUACCGCCAGCCAUUGAGAAUUUAACACAGCUUCAAUAUCUUGAUUUGAGAAAUAAUUAUCUAGAUGGUCCCAUUCCGUUCCAGGUUAGCCAUCUUCAGAGCUUGCUCAUCUUAAACCUGUCACAGAAUGCAUUGCAAGCUCCAAAUUGGUCCCAUUUCUCUCCCAUGCCUUUCUUGCGCAUCCUCAACCUCAGUUACAAUCCUCUUGCGUCGAAAUUCCCAUAUUUUAUAUCCAAUUCUCAUAGCCUGACUCACCUUAGCCUUAAUUAUAACGAGUUUACUGGUGAUUUAGUACGUGAAUCAGUAUUUGCCAAUCUGCAUAAUCUUGAAGUCCUCAGUCUUGUUGGCAAUUCUUUUGAGGGGUCAUUUCCGCCAGAUAUAUUCAAGCUUUCCAAAUUAAAACGUCUUGCCCUGUCAAGUAACAAAUUUUCAGGUUCAAUUCCCAAUGACUUAAGGUUGCUUCAUGAUCUUGAAUCCCUGUAUUUAGGCAACAAUUCCUUUGAAGGACCGCUUCCACCAAAUAUAUUCAAGCUUUCAAAAUUAAAAAAUCUUGUUAUUUGGAGUAAUAAGUUUUCAGGUUCUGUUUCCAAUGAUAUAGGUUUGCUUUCUGAGCUUGAAACCCUCGAUCUUAACUCUAAUUUUUUUGAGGGGCCGCUUCCGCCAAAUGUAUUCAAGCUCUCCAAACUAAGGUUUCUUCACCUCUGGGGUAAUAACUUUUCAGGUUCUAUUUCCAAUAAUAUAGGUUUGCUUUCUGAGCUUGAAACCCUCGAUCUUAACUCUAAUUUUUUUGAGGGGCCGCUUCCGCCAAAUGUAUUCAAGCUCUCCAAACUAAAGUUUUUUGCCCUUCGUGAGAAUAACUUUUCAGGUUUUAUUUCUAAGGAUAUAGGUUUGCUUUCCCAACUUGAAAGCCUCUAUCUUGGCUCUAAUUUUUUUGAGGGGCCGCUUCCCCCACAUAUAUUUAGGCUCUCCAAAUUAAGAGAUCUGGACCUCUCAGACAAUAGAAAUUUAUUUGAAGGAAGUAUUCCUAUUGGACUGGGACUCUUGACUAAUUUCAGCUUCUUAGAUCUAAAUUCCAAUAAUCUCGGUGGCUAUAUUCCAUCUGACAUUGGAAACCUGAAGCUACUAGUAUAUCUUGAUCUCAGUUCUAAUCAAUUGACUGGACAGCUUUCAAAGAUCAUUUCUAAUCUCACAAAUCUUAUAAGUCUUGAUGUAAGUUAUAAUAGUUUUAGUGGAAAUAUUCAGAGUGACUUGUGGAACUUCCCUAAGGAAUAUAACAAUCAUCCAACUUUGGAAUACAUCGCUUUUAAGUGGGAACCAUUUUACAGGUAUAUUUUCUCUAUAUAUCUUUUCCUUUUCUCAUAUGUAACUAAGCUAGUAAUCUGAUUAUUGCUGUUUUACCAAAUUUUAACAAUCUUGACAGGUGAGCUUCCAACAACAAUUUGCAAUGUCACUUCCCUUUCAAUUCUUGAUUUGUCAAAUAAUGAAUUAAGUGGUGAACUUCCAAACUGUUUCGGGAAUCUUGCUGAUGGAUUGCUUUACAUUAAUCUUGCUAAUAAUCAGUUUCGAGGAACAAUACCAACUACUUUCUCCAGGAGUUGUCAGCUGACAUGCAUAUCUAAACAUGGAUAAUAAUGAGUUUGAAGGAUUGAUGCCCCCAUCUUUGGCGAACUGUAAGCACUUGAAAAUUCUUGAUAUAGGCAAUAAUAAAAUAGGUGGUACAUUUCCGUCAUGGCUUUAUGCACUUGGAGAGCUAGAAGUUCUUGUCUUGCGAUCAAAUAAACUCUAUGGUACAAUAAGUGGAAGGAGCACAGAAGAUCCCUUCCCCAAGUUGCGGAUUAUGGAUUUGUCCAACAAUCAAUUCACAGGCCAUUUGCCAAUUCAAUACUUUAAGAAUAUGAAAUCAACUGAUAAUUUGUAUCGUUUUCAGAAUGUGACAGCAGUUUUUACUAUCCAUUAUGAAGCAGCAGUCUCAUUAACUGUGAAGGGAACAGAGUAUGAAGUGACAAAUAACCUUCAUAUUUACACAGCUAUUGAUCUGUCGUGCAACAAAUUUCAGGGUGAAAUUCCAAAAGUUAUUGGAGAGCUUAGAUGGCUUGCAUUGCUCAACUUAUCGCAUAAUAGUCUGACAGGACAUAUCCCGUCAUUGCUGAGAAAUAUGAAAGAACUCCAAUCUUUAGAUUUGUCCUCAAAUCAACUGACAGGGGCUAUUCCACCUCAGUUAACUGCACUGACAUUUCUAGAAGUCUUAAACCUCUCGGGAAACCAUCUUAGUGGAGAGAUUCCUCAGAAAGGACAAUUCAGCACAUUCAACAAUGAUUCUUAUCUAGGAAACUCCGCAUUAUGUGGAUCACCAUUGAUGAAGAAAUGUGCAAACACAGCAUCACCUCCACAAGAAGUCGGAAAUGGUGAUGAAGAUGAUGCUGGAGAUGAAUUGACAUGGGAAGCAAUCGUGAUGGGAUAUGGAUGUGGACUGAUAUGUGGAUUGUCAUCUGCAUACAUUGUUCUCAAACUAGGAAAGCCUUGGUGGUUUGUGAGAUAUAUCGAAGUGCUGCAACUGAAGUUGAUGAAAAGAUAUGCAUGAAGAAUGGUACUGGCCAAUCAAGACCAACUUGAAAGUUGUUGGACAUUUCUGAACCAGUAGUGUACUAUUCUCUUUGUGGCUGCAUAAGUUUUUGGUAUUGGUGUAAUAUUUUGUUUGGUCUUGAAUCAUAAUGAUUUUUCUUUUUUCAGGGGUAUUAAUAUAAACCUUGGUAUUGUGUAAUAUUCUGUUUGAUCAAUGUUUAUAUCAGUAAUUAUAUGCUCCUCACUGCAUCAUGCAGCUCUCAUAAUAUUAUUAUUAUUAUUAUUAUUAUUAUUAUUAUUAUUAUUAUUAUUAUUAUUAUUAUUAUUAUUAUUAUUAUUAUUAUUAAUUGAUUACACACUCACACGUGGGGAGUCGACCUCCCGACCUCCAGCAAAGGGGUAAAAGAGCUCUCAUAUUAUCUUCAUAUGUGUAUUAUUUGGAUAUCAAAGUUGCAGGGACAUAUGGAUAUGUGUUAACAGGGACUGCUCGGUCUUGGACGGACUCUUUCCAAGUCCUCUGGGGUCCUAUCGAUUCAAAUUAGUCUAUUAUCUGCAUACUAGCUAAUUUGUCCAACUCGGGCUUCAAUAGUAAAGAUAAUAGGUGCGAGUUGAGUUUCUCAAAGUAUGAGUACAAUAUCGUUUUUUAAUGAUAGUUAGGGGGUGUGAUAUGCAAUUACCUCAAAAAUAUAUGAUCAUUAGUAUAUUAUAUUAGUAUCCACACACUUAUAUCUCAAAAUCUAUCCUCCAAAAUUAUCAUCUCUAUAGGCUAGCCACAUAAAAUAAAAAUUUAAAGAUAUUAGAUAUUUAGUUAUUUUCAUCAUAUAAUUUUUCCAUGCAAAAUAACAAAAUAUCUUUAUCAACUUAUUAUUUAUGAGUUAAAUAUUCAAGUUAUAUAAUUCGGGCAUGCUGGGUAUAAAUAGAAGUGUAACGCCUAAUUUCCGGGGUCUGGGAGUAGUUGGCGGGGUAUGAGAGAGCAGGCUAUUCAGAAGUCUUGGUCAUGAAAACUUCCAAGCUAACUUCGACAACGGAAUCUUCUGAGGCUACUAUUCUAAAGCACGCAUAAUCAUUGUAUUCAUAUUCCUCUCACACUGACAAAAAGUCUAUUUAAGCAAAUGAAAUACAAACAACUGAGUGGAAUGCUGACCGAAAAUCUUUUUGGCUGAGCUUAUGAGUUAUUAGUACAUGAUUAAUAUGAUAAGCUAAGCUGAGAGCAUAAGAUAUCGUUUGUAUAAUUUUGUGUUUAUUAAUGACUUAUAAAUUAUUAAAAAUAUAAUAAGAAAAAUAAAAAUGUUUUAUAACUAAUUUAUGUUUCAUGAGUAAUUUUUAUUAGAAAAAAGUUUUAAAAAAUUAUUUCACUGGAAAAAAACCUCCAACUAACUUUUGGCUCUAAAGUCAGUUUGUGACUUAUUUCUGACUUUAAAUCGGCUUCUCACUUUUACACAAACAAAAAUUUUUCAGCUUAAAGUUAAAAACAACUUUAAGCUCCGGUUUUAAACCUCGACAAACAUGCUCUGAGUUUGGUUUCACUUCAUUUACAAACCUCAACAAUUUCACCAUCAAACACAAUGACUUCUCCAAUCUCCGGUCAAGUACCACCAGCCAUUGAGAAUUUGGCACAACUUCAAUUCCAUACCAGGUUAGUCAUCUUCGGAGAUUACACGUCUUAGACCUGUCAAAUACAAAUUUCAAUCUCCAAACUGGUCCGACUUAUCUUCUAUGCUUUUUGUUGAGUCCGGCUCAUCUAAAGCCUUAAGAUGUUAGAAGAAGCCCCCAAUGAAUCUUAUAUAUGCUAUAUUUUAACAAUUCUGAGCACACUCAACCUUGGUAUUAAUAAUAUUGUGUCGAAAAUUCCAGAAUUUAUAUCUAAUUCUCAUAGCCUAACUUUCCUUGACCUUUCCAUAUAACAAAUUUACAGUUAAUCCUGUGCUUGAAUCAGUAUUUGCAACCAAAAUUAUGCAAUUAUAGUGCAGGUAGUCUUCCAGUUCUUCCUACUCUAUGCUAUAAUUUCAUUUGAUACCAAUAAUUUUACGCUCUACACUCCAGGAUGAGCUCGCAUAUUAUUGACAGCUAUAAUCCUUCCAACAAUUUGCGAUGCAAAGCAGGGGGGCGCCUGUAUUUUCAUAUGUCUAUAUUAUUGGAGAUUAAAGUUGUAUGGACAAUUGUGUUGAUAAUUUGCCCAAUGUUAACAGGGAUAGGUUGGCUUAAUUUGCCCAAUGUUAACAGGGAUAGGUUGGCUUAAUUUGCCCAAUGUUAACAGGGAGAUUAAAUGGCUUGCAUUGCUCAACGUAUAUCUCAUAAUAGUCUUACCGGACAUAUGUUAUGCAUUAUUAUUAUGCUUUCAUCACUAUUUUCAAACAUUUCUCAAUAUAUAUUUUCAAAGAAUUCUCAAGCACUUGAACAUUUGGACCGGUUCUUUCGAAGCCAAGAUGCCCAGGGUAUCAUGGCCAUGCACAAAAAUGAAUAAAUUAAGAGAGAUUGCUCAGGGUCUCCCCAAGCCUUUCAGGACUCAUUCCAAGUCUUCGAGGACCACUGCCUCACUCUUUCAAAGAUGUGAUAGUAGCUCGAGAGCGAUAUAAAUGAUUUUCCUGACACUAAAAAUAAAAAAAUCAGAUCAAAUUAAUCAAUAAUAAAUUAAAGAUGCAAUCCAAAUUAAUCCUAAAUUUUGAUGAUAUAUAAAAAUUAUAAUUAUAAAUUAUAUAACCAAAUCAGAAUUGAAUUAACUUACUUGGUACUAAAAUUGAUAAAAACAGUAUAAUAAUUUAAUUGAUGAAAAUUCAAAGUCUUCUAAUAAAUCCAUAAAAAAUUUGAUAAUCAAAAUAACGAAAAUUAUAAUUGAAAAAUCAAAAUCAAUAGUGUAUUGGAAUAUUGUUCACACACUUAUAUAUCAAAAUUUGUGGUCCAAAAACUAUAGCACAAUAUCCUAAAUACACCACAUUAAAUAAUAGUUCAAAAAUAUUCAAUAGAUAAUUGAUUUCAUUCAUAAUUUUGUUAUUUUAAAAACUAAUAAUUUGGUUGAUGUUAACCUAUAUUUUAAUAUAUAAUUAUAUUAUUUUCAUCUUAUUUUAUUUAACCAGAAACAAUAUUUUUAUAAUAUUUAUUACAUUAUUUAUAUUAAAAAAUAUAAUUUCAUUAAAAAAAUUGAAUAAAAUUAAGAGGAUAACUCUAUGCCUCUCCAAGUCUACAAGACUCAUUUCAAGUCUACCUCGGACCACUACCUCAACCAUUCAGAGAUGUGAAAGUAGUUUGAGAGUGACAUAAAUUAUUUUCGUGACAAUAAAAUUUAAUAUCUAAUAUAAAUUAAUUAAAUUAGAUAAUAAUAAAUCAAAACUAAUUAUGAAUUAUGAUAAUAAUUAAAUAAAUUAUAAUUAAAUUAUAUAAAUCAACUCCAAAUGAUACAAAUAACACUAAACCUUGGUUACUUUGUUGGUAAAUAAAUAUAAUAUAAUAAUCAAAUUGAUGAGAAAUGAAAAUCAUCUAAUAAAUUCACAAAAAAUAUAUGAUCAUUAGUAUAUUAUAUUAGUAUCCACACACUUAUAUUUCAAAAUCUAUCCUCCAAACUUAUCAUCUCCGUAAACUAGCCACAUAAAAUAUAAAUUUAAAGAUAUUAGAUAUUUAGUUAUUUUCAUUAUAUAAUUUUUCCACACUAAACAACAAAAUAUUUUUAUCAAAAUUAUUAUUUAUGAGUUAAAUAUUCAAGUUAUAAUUCCAGCAUGCAGCGUAUAAAUAGAAGUGUGCAGUAUGAUAUCAGAUUCAUAACCCAGUUGAUCAGAAGAAACAUGGCCUACUCUGCAAAGCCUUCUCACCUUCUUCUCUUUGUUUUCUUUCUCUCAUCACUUGAAUCCAUUCUUGCAACAACACGAGAGGGAGAAGCUCUUGUGAAGUGGAAGAAUAGCCUAGCCCCUUCUUCUUUUCUCGACUCUUGGUCACUCACCAAUCUCGAAAAUCUUUGUAACUGGACUGGCAUUACUUGUAACUCUGCAGGUUCAGUCUCUGAGAUUAACCUUUUUGAGAAACAACUUAAUGGAAUGCUGUCCGAGUUCGGUUUCACUUCAUUUCCAAAUCUCAACAAUCUCACCCUCGCAUACAACUUCUUCUCGGGUCCAAUACCACCAGCCAUUGAGAAUUUAACACAGCUUCAAUAUCUUGAUUUAAGCAUGAAUAGUCUUAAUGGUCCCAUUCCGUUCCAGGUUAGCCAUCUUCAGAGUUUGCUCAUAUUAAACCUGUCACAGAAUGCAUUGCAAGCUCCAAAUUGGUCCCAUUUCUCUCCCAUGCCUGUUUUGCGCUUCCUCAAGCUCAGUAGAAAUCCUCUUGUGUCGAAAUUCCCAAAUUUUAUAUCCAAUUCUCAUAGCCUGACUUAUCUCAACCUUUCACAUAACAAGUUUAGUGGUGAUCUUGUACGUGAAUCAGUAUUUACCAAUCUGCAUCAUCUUGAAGUCCUCAGUCUUGUUGGCAACUCUUUUGAGGGGUCAUUUCCGCCAGAUAUAUUCAAGCUUUCCAAAUUAACACGUCUUGCCCUGUCAAGUAACAAAUUUUCAGGUUCAGUUCCCAACGACAUAAGGUUGCUUUGUGGUCUUGAAUACCUAUAUUUAGCUGACAAUUCCUUUGAAGGACCGCUUCCACCAGAUAUAUUCAAGCUUUCAAGAUUAAAACAUCUUGUUCUUUGGAGUAAUAAGUUUUCAGGUUCUGUUUCCAAUGAUAUAGGUUUGCUUUCUGAGCUUGAAGCCCUCAAUCUUGACUCUAAUUUUUUUGAGGGGCCGCUUCCCCUAAAUUUAUUCAAGCUCUCCAAACUAAAAUUUCUCACCCUGACAAGUAACAAAUUUUUAGGUUCAAUUCCCAAUGACAUAAGGUUACUUUGUGAUCUUGAAUACCUAUAUUUAGGCAACAAUUCCUUUGAAGGACCGCUUCCACCAAAUAUAUUCAAACUUUCAAAAUUAAAAGAUCUUGUUCUUUGGGGUAAUAAGUUUUCGGGUUCUGUUUCCAAUGAUAUAGGUUUGCUUUAUGAGCUUGAAACCCUCGAUCUUAACUCUAAUUUUUUUGAGGGGCCGCUUCCGCCAAAUUUAUUCAAGCUCUCCAAACUAAAGAUUCUUUCCCUUUAUAAGAAUAACUUUUCAGGUUUUAUUUCUAAGGAUAUAGGUUUGCUUUUCGAACUUGAAAGCCUCUAUCUUGGCUCUAAUUUUUUUGAGGGGCUGCUUCCCCCACAUGUAUUUAGGCUCUCCAAAUUAAGAGAUCUGGGUCUCUCAGACAAUAGAAAUUUAUUUGAAGGAAGUAUUCCUAUUGGACUGGGACUCUUGACUAACCUCAGGUACUUAGAUCUACAUUCCAAUAAUCUCGGUGGCUAUAUUCCAUCUGACAUUGGAAACCUGAAGCUACUAGUACUUCUUGAUCUCAAUUCUAACCAAUUGACUGGACCGCUUUUAAAGAUCGUUUCUAAUCUCACAAAUCUUAUGUUUCUUGAUGUAAGUGAUAAUAGUCUUAGUGGAAAUAUUCAGAGAGACUUGUGGAACUAUAACGAUCAUCCAACUUUGGAAUUCAUCAAUUUAAGUGGGAACCAUUUUACGGGUAUAGUUUUUCUCUAUAGAUCUUUCCUUUUGUCAUAUGUAACUAAGCUAGUAAUCUGAUUAAUUGCAGUUUUACCAAAGUUUCAACAAUCUUGACAGGUGAGCUUCCAACAACAAUUUGCAAUGUCACUUCCCUUUCGGUUCUUGAUUUGUCAAAUAAUGCAUUAAGUGGUGCACUUCCAAACUGUUUCGGGAAUCUUGCUGAUGGAUUGCUUUACAUUAAUCUUGCUAAUAAUCAGUUUCGAGGAACAAUACCAACUACUUUCUCCAGGAGUUGUCAGCUGACAUAUCUGAACAUGGAUGAUAAUCAGUUUGAAGGAUUGUUACCCCCAUCUUUAGCGAACUGUAAGCACUUGAGAAUCCUUGAUAUGGGCAACAAUAAAAUAGGUGAUACAUUUCCGUCAUGGCUUUAUGUACUUGGAGCGCUAGAAGUCCUUGUCUUGCGAUCAAAUAAACUCUAUGGUACAAUAAGGGCAAGGAGCAUAGAAGAUCCCUUCCCCAAGUUGCGGAUUGUGGAUCUGUCCAACAAUCAAUUCAUGGGCCAUUUGCCAAUUCAAUACUUUAAGAAUAUGAAAUCAAAUGAUAAUUUGUAUCGUUAUCUGAAUUCCACAGGAGAAAUAGAUAUCUCUUAUGAAGCAGCAGUCUCAUUAACUGUGAAGGGAACAGAGUAUGAAGUAGCAAAUAACCUUCAUAUUUACACAGCCAUUGAUCUGUCGUGCAACAAAUUUCAGGGAGAAAUUCCAAAGGUUGCCGGAGAGCUUAGAUGGCUUGCAUUGCUCAAUUUAUCUCAUAAUAGUCUAACAGGACCUAUCCCAUCAUUGCUGAGAAAUAUGAAAGAACUCCAAUCUUUAGAUUUGUCCUCAAAUCAACUGACAGGGGCUAUUCCACCUCAGUUAACUGCAUUGACAUUUCUAGAGGUCUUAAAUCUCUCGAACAACGAUCUCAGUGGAGAGAUUCCUCAGAAAGGACAGUUCAGCACAUUCAACAAUGAUUCUUAUCUAGGAAACUCCGCGUUAUGUGGAUCACCAUUGACGAAGAAAUGCGCAAACACAGCAUCACCUCCACAAGAAGUCAGAAAUGGUGAUGAAGAUGAUGCUGGUGAUGAAUGGACAUGGGAAGCAAUCGUGAUGGGAUAUGGAUGUGGACUGAUAUGUGGAUUGUCAUCUGCGUACAUUGUUCUCAAACUAGGAAGGCCUUGGUGGUUUGUGAGAUAUGUCGAAGUAUUGCAACUGAAGUUGAUGAAAAGAUAUGCUUGAAGAAUGGUAUUUGGUCUUGUACUAGCUGCAUAAGUAUUUGGCAUUGUGUAGUAUUCUGUUUGGUCUUGAAUUAUAAUGAUUUUUCUUGCUUCAGGGGUAUUAAUAUAAACCUUGCUAUCUUGCUCAGUGUUAAUGCAAAUUAAGAUGAAUGAAUAAACAAAAAAUAUGCAUCAAAUUAAGAAUUCAGAAAUGGUGAUACUCAUGCAGUGUCACCAACUCAAGAAUUCAGAAAUGGUGAUACUCAUGAAGAUGACGAUGCUGAUGAUGAACUUUGAUGUGGGACUUGGGUUGACCACUUGUUGGGCCGCACAACACCUGUUAAGCAUUAGUAUGACGUUGUCCGCUCUGGAUCGUGACCAAGCCCGCACGGAUUUGUUUUCGAGCUCCUCUCAAAAGGUCUAAAACUAAUGGAGUUGUUUGGCUGCUUAUAUUCAAGAUAAAUCUUUUUGAUGUGGGAUUUGGGUUGACACCCACACAACAAGACGUGAGGAAAUAUUGUUGUCUUGAGAUGACAUAUGUUCUGAAUUAUUAUUAUGCUUUCAACAAUAUUUUCAAACAUUUUUCAAUAUGUAUUUUUAAAGAAUUCUCAAGCACUCGUGACCCCUAUAAUUUUUUCUCAGGCAACGCCUAUAGUUUCAAAGAAUUCCCAGGCACUUAAACAUUUGGACCGGUUCUUUGGAAGCCAAGAUGCCCAGGUUAUCAUGGCCAUGCACAAAAUGCAGUACCAAAGAAAAAAAAUAAUAAAUUAAGAGAGAUUGCUCUGGGUCACCCCAAGCCUUCGAGGACUCAUUCCAAGCCUCGCCCUUUCAAAGAAGUGAUAGUAGCCGGAAAGUGAUAUAAAUUAUUCUCCGGACACUAAAACUAAAUAAUCAGAUCAAAUUAAUCAAUAAUAAAUUAAAGAUAUGAAAUCAAAAUUAAUCCUAAAUUUUGAUAAUAUACAAAAAUUAUAAUUAUAAAUUUUAUUAUCAAAUCAAGAUUAAAUUAACUUACAUGGCCGUUAAAAUUGAUAAACGCAAUAUAAUAGGGUUAAAAAUGGGGCGGGUUCGGGACGGGUACUUCAUUUCCCAGCCUCGUCCCAUAUAUAUUUUUCCUGCCCCGUCUCCGCCCCAUUCUCCACGAAGAUUUAUUUUUAAUCCCCAUUGCCGCCCGCCCCACCGGGGAUUGAAUAUAAUUUCGCCCCGCCCCGCUGCUAUAAUAUUACACUUUAAUUAAUUACCUUAAAAUUUAAUAAUCAGAAUUUAAUAAAAAUAUACGAGACAUGUAUAUUAAAAGCAAAAAACUAAAUAUAAUAGAAAUCAAAGAGACAUGUUAUACAUUGUAAAAUUAUAGUUUUAUGUAUUAUAUAAUAGAUAAUAUUAAAUAUAUUAUAUUAAAUAUAAUUAUUUAUUUUUAUUAAAUAUAUGCGGGGCGGGGUGGGGAAUCCCCGCGGGAAUUCAACAAAUACCAUGCUUGCCCCAUAUUUUAGCGGGGCAGAUAAUCAUUCUCCGUCACUACCCCAUUCCCCAUAGAGUAGUGCUAGAUGCACAAAAUUGGAUACAUAAUUUUACACAAAAUGACAUGGCAAUCUAGGUGGAGAGCUUUAAUUGGUAUUAUUAAUGCAUGUGCAGGGGCUCAUUCCAAUCACAAAUUGACACAUACUCAUUCUGUGAAUAUUUCUGUACUCAAUUCUGUGCAGGUAGCAUUUUUCUUCCCCAUAUUAGCGGGGCGCAUCGGCUCCAUUCGGGGCGGGUUCCCCAUUUUCCCCACCCAAUUUUUAACCCUACAAUAGUAAUCAAAUUGAUGAAAAGUCAAAGUCCUCUAAUAAAUCCAUAAAGAAUAUGAUAAUCAAAACUACAAAAAUUAUAAUUGAAAAAUCAAAAUCAUCCUAAUAAGUUCAUAGAAUAUAUAUGAUCAGUAGAGCAUUAGAAUAGUGUUCACACACUUAUAUGUCAAAAUUUGUGGUCCAAAGACUAUGACACAAUAUCCUAAAUACACCCCCAUUGAAUAGUAGUUCAAAAUAUUUAAUAUAUAAUUGUUUUCAUUCAUAAUUUUGUUAUUAUUUAAAAAAUAAUAAUUUAAUUGCUGUUAACCUUUAUUUUAAUAUAUAAUCAUAUCGUUUCCUUACAAUUUAAUUAUCUAGAAACAAUAUUUUUGUUAUAAUCAUUACAUUAAUUAUAUUAAAAAAUAUAAUUUUGUUAAAACAUUGAAUGAAAUUAAGAGUAUUAAUCUACGUCUCUCCAAGUCUACAGGACUCAUUCCAAGUCUGCGUGAGACCACUGCCACCACCUUUGAGAGAUGUGGAAGUGGAAGUAGCUUCAGAUUGACCUAAAUUAUUUCCUGACAAUAAAUUUAAUAUCCGAAAUAAAUUAAAUUAAACUAGUUUUUUGAAACAAUUAAAUUAAACUAGUUAAUAAUAAAUUAAGAAUAUAUAAAAUCAAAACUAAUCAUGAAUUAUGAUAAUAAUUAAAUAAAUUAUAAUUAAGCUAUAUAAAUCAACUCCAAAUGACACCAACAGCACCAAACCUUAGUUACUUUAAUAUUGGUAAAUAAAUAUAAUAUAAUAAUCAAUUGAUGAAAAAUCAAAUCAUCUAAUAAAUUCACAAAAAAUAUAUGAUCAUUAGUAUAUUAUAUUAGUAUCCACACACUUAUAUUUCAAAAUCUAUCCUCCAAAAUUAUCAUCUCGAUAAACUAGCCACAUAAAAUAAAAAUUUAAAGAUAUUAGAUAUUUAGUUAUUUUCAUUAUAUAAUUUUUCCACACUAAAUAACAAAAUAUUUUUAUCAAAUUAUUAUUUAUGAGUUAAAUAUUCAAGUUAUAAAUCCAGCAUGCAGCGUAUAAAUAGAAGUGUGCAGUAUGAUAUCAGAAUCAUAACCCAGUUGAUCAGGAGAAACAUGGCAUACUCUGCAAAGCCUUCUCACCUUCUUCUCUUUGUUUUCUUUCUCUCAUCACUUGAAUCCAUUCUAACAACACGAGAGGGAGAAGCUCUUGUGAAGUGGAAGAAUAGCCUAGCCCCGUCUUCUUUUCUCGACUCUUGGUCACUCACCAAUCUCGAUAAUCUUUGUAACUGGACUGGCAUUACUUGUAACUCUGCAGGUUCAGUUUCUGAGAUUAACCUCUGUGAGAAACAACUUGAUGGAAUGCUGUCCGAGUUCGGUUUCACUUCAUUUCCAAAUCUCAAGAAUCUCACCCUGGCAGACAACUUCUUCUCGGGUCCAAUACCACCAGCCAUUGAGAAUUUAACACAGCUUCAAUAUCUUGAUUUAAGCAUGAAUAGUCUUAAUGGUCCCAUUCCGUUCCAGGUUAGCCAUCUUCAGAGUUUGCUCAUAUUAAACCUGUCACAGAAUGCAUUGCAAGCUCCAAAUUGGUCCCAUUUCUCUCCCAUGCCUGUUUUGCGCUUCCUCAAGCUCAGUAGAAAUCCUCUUGUGUCGAAAUUCCCAAAUUUUAUAUCCAAUUCUCAUAGCCUGACUUAUCUCAACCUUUCACAUAACAAGUUUAGUGGUGAUCUUGUACGUGAAUCAGUAUUUAUACCAAUCUGCAUCAUCUUGAAGUCCUCAGUUUUUCACCGAAGAGUUGUGUGAGCCUAUUUUAGACAAUGGAUUCUCUUACAAUGGUAUAACCUCUGUAACAGUUGUGUCAUUUUUAAUGACACAACAUAUGUGCGUAUAAAAACCGUUGUCUAUUAGACACUACAGGACAAAAUUUACCUUUUUACAAUAAGACAAAAUUUACCUUUGACUGUUAUUGUUAAAAAAACAUACAUAAUAAACGUAAAAAAUUUUGAAUUUUUUUAUGUAUGAUUAAUAUUGUUAAUUCUCGAGAUCCGUACGGUCAGAUCAUCGAAAAAAAUAUUUAUAAAUUAAUACAGAGUUAAUCGUAUACAUAACAAAGAUUCUAUUGAGUACUUUCUAAAUUGUAACCAUAAAACAAAUACUAAUAUCCACAUCCGAACUACAAAAUUAUCUUCAUUGUACAAAUGAACAAUAUAUAUUUGCAUAUAUGCAUAAUAUAAAUAUAUGUUUUAAGAUAAACUGUGCAAAAAUUAGAAUUUAUCAAGGAAUAGAGAAUUUUUAACUUUUAAAAAGAAAAAUUAAUCAUAAAACAGUUUCAUUGCCAUAAAUAAUUAAUAAUUAAUUCAAUUGUAACCCCUAAAAUAAUUACUAAUUAAUAAUUAAUACAGUGCUAAUCGUAUAUAUAACAAAAAUUCUAUUAUGUACUUCCUAAAUUAUAACUUUAAACACAUACUAAUACUAUUAUAUAAUAUUUUUCAAUUAUUAAUAUUAUAAUAUAUAUUAUAAUACAACUAAUUCUUUUAAAUUUUCAAUUAAAUUUUAAUAUUCUAUAAUAUAUAGAUAUAUGAAUUUAAGUAAUAUAACUUUUAAUUAUAUUACACAUAUUUCUUCUUGUUUUUAAUAAAUUAUUUAAAUUAAGAUAAUAUUAAUUAUUUUCUUGACGCAAAAACAAUUUUAAUUAUUAAUUAAAGAAUUAAAAGGAAAAAAAAGUAGAUCUGCCCAAUGUACAGGUGAAAGUGAGAAGCGGCAAAGUUCCCCCCAAAACUAAAAACCACUGCCGAGUAAAAACCCCUAACCUGUACUCUCAAAAAACUUCUCACUCACAAACACUCUCCCUGGAUCUAUGUAUCUAUCAACACUCGGGGGGUUUGUUAUGUUUAAAUGGAAGCAAAACAAUGCUAUAGUCAUUUUCAGUAUCCAUGUGGUCCUCUUGCAUCUCGGUUUGCUCUGCUUUUCACAUGUUUGUGGCCAACAUGAAUCUUAUAUCUUGUUUAUGAGUUUAAUUUUGUUUAUUUGUAUUUGAGUGGCUUGAUUUUGUAUUUCUUCACUACUAAUUGUUAUUUUCUAAAUUAUCCAUGUGAUUAGGGCUCAUUUUUAGGGGAACUUUGAAUUAGGUCAUUAAAUUACAGUUUUGGUGAAUUGGGGCUUUCAUUGUAUAUAUUUGAUUACAUACAACUGUUAAUAUUUGAGCAGCCAAGGCUCAAGAGCUCAAAAGAUGACAUAUCGAUGGGGUGACAUGUAUGGCUAACAAUCGGAGUAAUUUGAAAGGAUUAUUUUUUCGUUGGGCUGACAGAGGUAUAUUGUUCUUGACACUGGUUUUUAACUUGCUGUCUUUAGUUUAGUUGUGAAUAAUGAGAUGGUUGGAUAUUCUAUUUCGUAUUGUUGUAUGUGGUCGUUAGCAGAAGCUCAUUAAGUCUGCUAUGGUUUAUAGAUUUUAUAACAUUGAUAAGUAUGGUUUGGGUGUCUAGGCUAGUUUUGUUUGUGUGUGUAAUGGAUGUGUUUUGAUUUUUCUGAUUUUUCUGAUUUUUCGAUCAUCUACUUCUUUUUUGUUGCGGGGUUGUUAUUUGUUUACUCUUGUUCCCUGCAAAGAAAUAAGUGUGGAUAGUUAUGCAUUGGAAUCAUAAGUAGCAAUUAAGUGUUAAUUUCCAAUUCAACGAGUUCAAUGCACGCCUGUCUUCAACUAGAUCCGUUUCUUAAUGAAUUUACAAGCAUGUUUGAGCACAAUACUGAGCAGGGUUGUGUGUAGGUCACUUUAUAUAUUUUAGUAUCAAGAGACGUAUUAUGUUGAUAUGUGCUGUAUAAAAUAUUUAAUUGAAGCUAGGUUUAUGUGUAACUGUUACUCAUCUGGCUAUGGAAUACAUUCCCAGAUUAAAAAAUUUGAUAAUGAUUGAUACUGUCUUGUCACUCCAUUAAACAUGACGUAACAUCUGUAUUCAACUUUGGACUUCAUUAAUUGGUGUUAGUCGUGCAAUAUGUUUAAAUUAAAAAAGUUAUGUUUCUUUUAUAUGUUCGAAUUUACUCCAAAUUGCAUGUGGGCGUUUCACUUCUUAUGAGCAGGCUGUGCUUUGGGAAGUUUAGGCAUGCUUUGAGAAUAGAUAUUUUAAUCAAACUGUGCACUUUAGAUAUAAAAAAUCUUGCUGUUCUGAUGGAUUGUAUGGUGUGGAACAAGAGCUGUGUUCCAAGUUAUGCUCAAGACUGUGGGUUUUUUUUGUUUUUAACACCCUUCCAUAACUUCUCCAUCUUAGUUAUUAAACUCUUUCAUUCUGUAUUCCUAACUAUACCAUUCUUUUUUCCACAUAAACCAAGCCAUAAUAAGAAACUGACUUUCUCAAGGAACAAAGGACUAUCACCACAUGGCAGGAUUGUGCAUAGGCGUGCAUAUGCUUGAGUAAGUACACUUUUGGACUUAUGUUGUGAAGUAUUAUUUUUACAAAUGUCAUCCUUCUGGUCAUAUGACAAAUCUUUUCCCUAUCAUUUCUGUAAUUUGUUUUAAAGGUUAGAGCAAGAGUGGAGAUGUCCCAAAUUGAUGCAGUUGCUUACAACAUUGGCAUGGCUUUGUGGAAAGUUUUUGGUGGAGCUUCUAGCACAAUAAAACAGAUAUAAUAGUUUAGUUUCCGAGCUACACCAUUUCCCGGCUCAUUUUGUCGGCUUCUAUCGACUCUAUACAGGCUCUUGCCAGUUGUGUGAAACAUUACAAGAUUUUACAUUUUUAUAUGUGGUUGUACGUUGAUACUAUAGUUGGUAAUGAAAAUUUUUGUUACUAAUUUAUGGCUUGUUAAUUAUAUUCUCCAGCAUAGUUUAAUUAGAUUAUGUAAAACCAUUGUCUGACAUAACUAAACACAAAAGGAAAAGAAAAAGAAAACAGUUGUCCCAAGACUUACAAACAACACAAUUUUAAAAAUAAAAUCGUUGUCUAAGACAUAUACAAAUAAGUAAAUAGUAGUAACAAACCAUUGUCUAAAUCAGUAUUAUUCAAGCAUUUUGAACAAAAACUGUUGUAGAAGAGCUUUCACACAAUUGUUUCAUUAUAUAAACUAUUGUUAUACGGAGCUUCACAGAAGUGACCACUGCUCUAAGCCCGUUGUACAAGGUAGUAAAACACGAGCCUCUAAAACGCAAACAAUCUUGUCUGAUACUCUUAUUAACAAGUAAAUAUAUCCACAAACUGUUGUGGAUAGUCCUAAUAACAACACAAAUUCCAAAUAUGACUGUUGUUAUAAAAUGUUUAUAACAACACUUUGUUAAACUAAUCUGUUGUUGUUUGUGGGUGUAACACAACACGCUGUUAAAUAUAAACCGUUGUGUUUCUUGAUCUCACACAACGGUACGUACCGUUGUCUGAGGCGCGUAUCAGACGGCAUCGCAAUAGACCACGGUUUUCUUGGGUAUCAGACAACGGGCAAAAACCGUUGUCUGAUGCUGUUUUUGUUGUAGUGACAAUUCCUUUGAAGGACCGCUUCCACCAGGUAUAUUCAAGCUUUCAAAAUUAAAACAUCUUUUUCUUUGGGGUAAUAAGUUUUCAGGUUCUGUUUCCAAUGAUAUAUGUUUGCUUUCUGAGCUUGAAAGCCUCGAUCUUAACUCUAAUUUUUUUGAGGGGCCGCUUCCGCCAAAUGUAUUCAAGCUCUCCAAAUUAAAGUUACUUUCCCUUCAGAAGAAUAACUUUUCAGGUUUUGUUUCCAAUGAUAUAGGUUUGCUUUCUGAGGUUGAAACUCUCGAUCUUCACUCUAAUUUUUUUGAGGGGCAGCUUCCGCCAAAUAUAUUCAAGCUCUCGAAACUAAGAUUUCUUGCCCUUUGGCAGAAUAACUUUUCAGGUUCUGUUUCCAAUGAUAUAGGUUUGCUUUCUAAGCUUGAAACCCUCGAACUUGACUCCAAUUUUUUUGAGGGGCCGCUUCCGCCAAAUAUAUUCAAGCUUUCCAAAUUAAGAGUUCUUUCCCUUGACAAUAAUAACUUUUCAGGUUGUGUUUCCAAUGAUAUAGGUUUGCUUUCUGAGCUUGAAACCCUCCGUCUUGGCUUCAAUUCUUUUGAAGGACCGGUUCCACCAAAUAUAUUCAAGUUUUCCAAAUUAACAGGUCUUGACCUCUCAGGCUAUAGAAAUUUAUUUGAAGGUAGUAUCCCUAUUGGACUGGGACUCUUGACUAACCUCAGCUACUUAGAUCUAAGUUCCAAUAAUCUCAGUGGCUAUAUUCCAUCUGAACUUGGAAACCUUAAGCUACUAGUAUUUCUUGAUCUCAGUUCUAACCAAUUGACUGGACCGCUUUUAAAGAUCGUUUCUAAUCUCACAAAUCUUAUAUAUCUCCAUGUACAAGAUAAUAGUCUUAGUGGGAAUAUUCGCAGUGACUUGUGGAAAAACUCUUUAUCCUUACGUUACAUUGAUCUUGAAAAUAAUUAUUUGUCUGGGAACAUUCCUAAGGAAUAUAACGAUCAUCCAACUUUGGAAUACAUCAAUUUAGGUGGGAACCAUUUUACAGGUAUAUUUUUCUCUAUAUAUCUUUUCCUUUUGUCAUAUGUAACUAAGCUAGUAAUCUGAUUGAUGCAGUUUUACCAAAGUUUCAACAAUCUUGACAGGUGAGCUUCCANNNNNNNNNNNNNNNNNNNNNNNNNNNNNNNNNNNNNNNNNNNNNNNNNNNNNNNNNNNNNNNNNNNNNNNNNNNNNNNNNNNNNNNNNNNNNNNNNNNNNNNNNNNNNNNNNNNNNNNNNNNNNNNNNNNNNNNNNNNNNNNNNNNNNNNNNNNNNNNNNNNNNNNNNNNNNNNNNNNNNNNNNNNNNNNNNNNNNNNNNNNNNNNNNNNNNNNNNNNNNNNNNNNNNNNNNNNNNNNNNNNNNNNNNNNNNNNNNNNNNNNNNNNNNNNNNNNNNNNNNNNNNNNNNNNNNNNNNNNNNNNNNNNNNNNNNNNNNNNNNNNNNNNNNNNNNNNNNNNNNNNNNNNNNNNNNNNNNNNNNNNNNNNNNNNNNNNNNNNNNNNNNNNNNNNNNNNNNNNNNNNNNNNNNNNNNNNNNNNNNNNNNNNNNNNNNNNNNNNNNNNNNNNNNNNNNNNNNNNNNNNNNNNNNNNNNNNNNNNNNNNNNNNNNNNNNNNNNNNNNNNNNNNNNNNNNNNNNNNNNNNNNNNNNNNNNNNNNNNNNNNNNNNNNNNNNNNNNNNNNNNNNNNNNNNNNNNNNNNNNNNNNNNNNNNNNNNNNNNNNNNNNNNNNNNNNNNNNNNNNNNNNNNNNNNNNNNNNNNNNNNNNNNNNNNNNNNNNNNNNNNNNNNNNNNNNNNNNNNNNNNNNNNNNNNNNNNNNNNNNNNNNNNNNNNNNNNNNNNNNNNNNNNNNNNNNNNNNNNNNNNNNNNNNNNNNNNNNNNNNNNNNNNNNNNNNNNNNNNNNNNNNNNNNNNNNNNNNNNNNNNNNNNNNNNNNNNNNNNNNNNNNNNNNNNNNNNNNNNNNNNNNNNNNNNNNNNNNNNNNNNNNNNNNNNNNNNNNNNNNNNNNNNNNNNNNNNNNNNNNNNNNNNNNNNNNNNNNNNNNNNNNNNNNNNNNNNNNNNNNNNNNNNNNNNNNNNNNNNNNNNNNNNNNNNNNNNNNNNNNNNNNNNNNNNNNNNNNNNNAAACCUGUCAGAGAAUGAACUGCAAGCUCCAAAUUGGUCCAAUUUUUCCCCCAUGCCUUUUUUGACCAUCCUCGACCUUUAUAAAAAUAAUCUUUUGUCAGAAUUUCCCGAAUUUAUAUCUAACUCGUGUAACCUUACGUACCUUGACCUCUCAUCCAACAAGUUUAGAGGGGAUCUUGCGCGAGAAUCAGUAUUAACCAAUCUAGGUGAUCUUGAAACCCUCUAUCUUAUUAGAAAUUCUUUCAAGGGGUCAUUUCCGUCAGAUUUAUUCAAGCUUUCUAAAUUAAAACGUCUUCACCUGUCGAGCAACAAAUUUUCAGGUUCAAUUCCUAAUGCCAUAAGGUUGCUUUGUGAUCUUGAAUUCCUAUAUUUAGGCAACAANNNNNNNNNNNNNNNNNNNNNNNNNNNNNNNNNNNNNNNNNNNNNNNNNNNNNNNNNNNNNNNNNNNNNNNNNNNNNNNNNNNNNNNNNNNNNNNNNNNNNNNNNNNNNNNNNNNNNNNNNNNNNNNNNNNNNNNNNNNNNNNNNNNNNNNNNNNNNNNNNNNNNNNNNNNNNNNNNNNNNNNNNNNNNNNNNNNNNNNNNNNNNNNNNNNNNNNNNNNNNNNNNNNNNNNNNNNNNNNNNNNNNNNNNNNNNNNNNNNNNNNNNNNNNNNNNNNNNNNNNNNNNNNNNNNNNNNNNNNNNNNNNNNNNNNNNNNNNNNNNNNNNNNNNNNNNNNNNNNNNNNNNNNNNNNNNNNNNNNNNNNNNNNNNNNNNNNNNNNNNNNNNNNNNNNNNNNNNNNNNNNNNNNNNNNNNNNNNNNNNNNNNNNNNNNNNNNNNNNNNNNNNNNNNNNNNNNNNNNNNNNNNNNNNNNNNNNNNNNNNNNNNNNNNNNNNNNNNNNNNNNNNNNNNNNNNNNNNNNNNNNNNNNNNNNNNNNNNNNNNNNNNNNNNNNNNNNNNNNNNNNNNNNNNNNNNNNNNNNNNNNNNNNNNNNNNNNNNNNNNNNNNNNNNNNNNNNNNNNNNNNNNNNNNNNNNNNNNNNNNNNNNNNNNNNNNNNNNNNNNNNNNNNNNNNNNNNNNNNNNNNNNNNNNNNNNNNNNNNNNNNNNNNNNNNNNNNNNNNNNNNNNNNNNNNNNNNNNNNNNNNNNNNNNNNNNNNNNNNNNNNNNNNNNNNNNNNNNNNNNNNNNNNNNNNNNNNNNNNNNNNNNNNNNNNNNNNNNNNNNNNNNNNNNNNNNNNNNNNNNNNNNNNNNNNNNNNNNNNNNNNNNNNNNNNNNNNNNNNNNNNNNNNNNNNNNNNNNNNNNNNNNNNNNNNNNNNNNNNNNNNNNNNNNNNNNNNNNNNNNNNNNNNNNNNNNNNNNNNNNNNNNNNNNNNNNNNNNNNNNNNNNNNNNNNNNNNNNNNNAAAACCAUUGAUAAGGAUGGUAAAUUCGACUCUAAAUCUUAUGAAGCUAUAUUCUUGGGUUAUUCUUUAACAAGUCGUGCUUAUAGAGUGUAUAAUCUUGCUAAACAUACUGUUGAAGAGUCUAUUGAUGUUUCAUUUCAAGAGUCUACUGAUGAUCUUGCAAGGGAUGAGGAAGAAUGUGCAGGUACAGGUACUAGCAGCAAGCUGACAGUGAAGGAAACUGGAAAUCAGCAAGCUGACAAGUCAACUGCCACAACUUCAGAAGGCAAUAAAGCUACUGAAUCCACUCCAUCUCUUGAAGAAACUUUGGAUAAGAUGUCUAAGCUCACAUUGGAUGAAUCCAGAGGUCAAACUUCAUCAGCAAGCCAAAAUGUUGUUGAUCAGACUCCUCCUAGGCAGACUACAAGGAAUGAAGAGGUCAUAGCUCAACAUAAUCUACCAAAAUCAACUAGAACAGUGAAGAAUCAUCCUCCUCAGUUGAUCAUUGGAGAUAAAUCAGCUGGAAUCAAGACAAGGAAAGCUCAAGCCAACAUUUGUGCUUAUGCUGCCUUCAUAGCUCAAGAGGAACCAAAGAAUGUUCAAGAAGCUUUACAAGAUGAAAAUUGGAUCAUGGCAAUGCAAGAAGAACUCAACCAAUUCGAAAGAUGUGAUGUUUGGGAACUUGUAGAUCCACCAGAGGAUGCUUCAAUUGUUGGAACCAAAUGGGUGUUCAAGAAUAAAGUUGAUGAAUUUGGUACUAUCACUCGGAACAAAGCUAGACUUGUUGCACAAGGAUACAAUCAGCAAGAAGGAAUUGAUUUUGAUCAAACAUAUGCUCCGGUUGCAAGAUUGGAAUCUAUUAGGAUGCUAUUAUCAUUUGCAUGCUACAAGAAGUUCAAGCUACAUCAAAUGGACGUCAAAAGUGCAUUCUUAAAUGGAUAUCUAAAGGAAGAAGUCUAUGUCAAGCAACCACCAGGAUUCGAGGAUGAAAAAUAUCCCAACCGUGUCUACAAGCUCAAGAAGGCACUAUAUGGAUUAAGGCAAGCACCUCGAUCAUGGUAUGAAAGGUUAAGUGAAUUUUUGAUCAAAAAUGGUUUCAUUAGAGGUAAAAUUGAUCCUACUUUGUUUACUAUCUUUAAAGGUCAAGAUAUAUUAGUUGUUCAAAUAUAUGUAGAUGAUAUUAUAUUUGGAUCUACUAAUGAUUCUUUGUGUAAGUGGUUUUCAAAGUGCAUGCAUAGUGAGUUUGACAUGAGCAUGAUGGGAGAGCUCAAUUAUUUCUUGGGGCUCCAAAUUAAGCAAACUCCAGAAGGAAUUUAUGUGCAUCAAUCCAAGUAUAUCAAGAAUCUACUCAAAAGAUUUGGAUAUGAGAAUAUCAAGGCGAAAUCAACACCAAUGAGCGUUGUCAGCAAGCUGACAGCAGAUGAAAAUGGUAAAGAUGUUGAUAUUCGAAUGUAUAGAGGUAUGAUUGGUAGUUUACUUUAUCUUACAGCCUCUAGACCUGAUAUUAUGUAUAGUGUUUGUGUUUGUGCUAGAUUUCAAGCAAAACCAAAGGAUUCUCACUUACAAGCUGUUAAAAGAAUAUUUAAAUAUUUAAGUGGAACCAUUACUUUGGGCUUAUUCUAUCCUAUCACAAAUGCUUUUGAUCUUGUUGGGUAUAGUGAUGCAGAUUAUGCAGGUAGUCAAACUGAUAGAAAAAGUACAAGUGGUGUUUGUGCAUUUUUGGGUCAAAGCUUAGUUUCUUGGUUAAGCAAGAAGCAAACUUCAGUUGCUCUAUCUACGGCUGAGGGGGAGUAUUUAGCAGCUGGUAGCUGUUGCUCUCAAAUGCUAUGGAUGAGACAACAAUUGAAGGACUUUGGAAUCAAAUGCAAGCAAACUCCUAUCUUUUGUGACAACACAAGUACAAUCAACAUUUCAGAAAAUCCAGUCAAUCAUUCAAGGACAAAGCAUAUUGAUGUUCGACAUCAUUUUCUGAGAGACAAUGUUGCAAAGGGUGCUGUCAAGCUGAUUUUUGUGGCUACAGCAGAUCAGCUAGCUGACAUCUUCACAAAACCUCUUCCUGAAGAACGAUAUGUCAUGCUGAGAAGGGAAUUGGGCAUGUGUGAUGUGCAGUCAGCAAGCUAAUAAGCUUGGUCCGGGUACUAUCAGCUUACUCUCAGUUAUUAUGACCAUUAUGUGCUGAUUUGGAUAAUUGUUGUGAUCUCGAUGACGAUGCUUGAUUUUCUACCCUUUUGAUGAUUAAGGGGGAGAAAAUUUAGGAACUUGGUUUGUGUUGUGAAUGUUGUGUUGUGAAUGUUAUAUUUGUUGUAUAGUUUAAUGUUAUAAGAUUGCUAUAUUCAGGGGGAGUAUUAUUACUUUUCCUAAAUAUAGUGUAAUCAUCAAAAAGGGGGAGAUUGAUACUCUCGAGAUUUUGAUGAUCACACUAACAGCAACUUGAUAACAUAAAACUGUACUCUGGUAGCUAGCUGAGAACGAGAUUAUAACUGUGCUAACAGCUAAUGUCUUUUGAAGUUAUCAUUGUUCUGUCAGCAAGCUUACAGGAAUAUUGACAGACUAUCAGCAAGCUCACAGCGUACUGACAGGAUGCUUAUCGGAUAAAGAUCAAGUCCUAUUUUCAAGGAGAUUUGUUAGGGAACGUUUUGUGAGGACUCUAAUACAUAUAUAUACAGUAUAUAAAUAUUAGAGCUCAUCUUUUAUCAAAGAGUUUUAUUCAAAAUCGUUUUCCUAAAAUAUAGGAGUUGAUUUCAAACCUUGUUUAUCCUUUUAGACUCCUACUUCUAUUCAAACUGUUUUGUUUUAUAAACAAACGUUUACUGAGUUGUUUCAAACGUCUUUAUGCUUUUACUCAGUAAAAAUACAUUGUUCAAACGUUCAUUAUUCAAGCAAAUUAAACGUGAGGUUGUUGGGCCAAGAACGUUGGAUAGUUUGUUGAGUUAUGACCGUUUGGAAUGAUGGUAUAUAAACUUGAGUGUGGUUUCCGUUUUGGUAGAGAACAAGAACACACUUCAAGCUUCUGAAAUACAACACACUUACAUUGCAAAAUCUUUACUUGAGCUCUAGUACUUAUAUUUGAUUAUAUAUCUAUAUUGAGUUCAUAGUUUCGGUUGUAUUACACUCAUACAUUGUAUUGUUCAAAGUGUAAAGGUUUGUUGCUGUGUAUCGAGCUUGUGAAACAAGGGAACAAGGGGACUAGUUAGCUAGAAGAGUAUACUUGGGAAGUAUAGGUCUUGGAGAGCUUUUGGUUCGUGGUUCAGGGGUUUCAGCAAGCUGAUAACAGGAACAAGGGAUAAAGGGAGUUAUAUUAUUGAAUCAUUGUAAUCGUUAACAUUAUUGAUUAAUAAUAUAAUCUCUUACCAGUUGGUAGGGGACCAGGACGUAGACCAUUAGGGUUAGGGGUCGAACCUGGCUAAAAUUCUCUGUGUUGCUAGCUUACUGAUUAUAUCUGUUUUGCAUUGCAUCUGCAUUGUUAGCUAGCUGACUGUUUACUCUGAAAUUAACAGCAAGCUGUCUGUGACAGUUUAACUAUUCGGUAACAAUUAAAAAUCGGUCAUAUUAGCCAUAACACCUAUUCACCCCCCUCUAGGUGUGUAAUUUCAGUUUCUUUUCGUUUUCAAAUCUCACCAAUCUCAUCAUUACACAUAACAACUUCACUGGUCCAAUACCACCCGAAAUUGGAAAUUUAACAGAUGUUCAGUACCUCGACUUUAGCUAUAGUAAUCUCAAUGGUACCAUUCCAUACCAGGUUAGCCAUCUUCAGAGGUCGGUCGUCUUAGGCCUCUCAUUUAAUCACUUGAAAGCUCCGAGCUUGUCCAAUUUUUCCCCCAUGCCUAUACUGGUUGGUCGCGGUCUUAGUGGUAAUAAGCUGGCAUCAAAAUUUCCAGAAUUGAUAUCUAAUUGCUAUAACAUGAUUAACCUUGAUCUUUCAUUUAACAUGUUAACUGGUAAACCUCUGUUCUAAAAGUCGGUGAUUAAUCACCGAUUAAUCCAUGUUUCCUAGCUCGCCAAACUGAUUAAAUAUCCGAUUAUUUUAAUUAAUGUCCGAUUAAUCACCGAUCAAUGCAAUUAAUCUACAAUUAAUCCUUAUUCUGGGACUUCACCGAUUAAGCUCGAUUCCCAUUUUUUACAACGACAUAACAGUGAAUCAUGAUUAUCAAGCAUCUGUCUUGUUAACAUUGAAACGAAGAGAGCAUGAAGUGAAAGGAAUCCUUUAUAUUUACGAUGUCAACAGCCCUACUGUCAAAAUUCCUUUCAAGUCGGGGCUUUUUACGAAUAAUUGGUAAUUCAGUGUUGAACUCCGCUCAACUUAUAAUUAGAUAAUCGAAAUCAAAAAUCUUGCAAUCAACAAAUAAAUUAUUAAGAACUUGCAAUUGAGUAAUGGCCGUCAAGUCACUUAACAAUACUAACCGGAAACUAACGUGACGGGCUGAUAUGUUUAAAAAAAUGCAUGAUGACUAUAUACUUGAUGUUUACGACCCUAACUAAAAUAUCCAACAAAUAAUACAUACAACCUGAUCUAAUAAUGUAAUACCUCUACUUAAGUAUAUUUUUAUGCCAAAUAUUUAUAGAUUUGUUUUUACAAAAAUGAUUAGAGACUUUGUAUAUACAAAAAUUGAGAAUUAUUGCUUGACUAGACGAAAAUAGGUGAGUUAUGAUUAUAAUAAAUAUUUAUUUCUACGAUGUAGUUUUUAUUAGUUAUAUAUAAAAAAAAUCUUGCUAUAUUUUGAUACUAGUGCAAUGAUUACUUCAAUUUAUUUUUUAUGAGAGUUACUAAGAUAUAUGACCAACUCAUCUUGCACUCGUAUUAAUUGUCUUAUAUAAUAAUAAUAAGAAAAAUAUGAGGCGGUGCUUAGUCAGAUGAUUUUAGUUGUUAAAAUAUUUUUUUGUUAUUUAUAGAUAGUGAAACAUGUCUAAUAUUUUAUCAAUUUUGUUUCGUUUCUUGAGAUUUCCAAAUAUUUAUUAGGACAUUGUACCAUGGUGUAUUUCAAGAUAUUAUUGUUAUUUAGAUAAUUAGUCAUAUUCAAUGAAUUUUGAGGACAAAAUUUAAAUAAGAGGAGAACAAUGUCAUAUCUCACAUAUUAGCAGUUUUAAUUAUUUUAUAUUUUUAUUUUAAAGAUAAGAUAAAGUUUAUUUAUUUAUUUGUUUUUAUCUUAAAAGCGAUUUUGAGUACUUUGUUUGAGUUAGAUAUAUACUUCUACUGUGGUUCAACUAGUUUUGCCGUCAGUGAAUAAUUUCCGGUCAAUAUUUUGAAAUUUGUUGUUAUCUUCUAAUUAAGAUAAGGGGUUAAAUAGCUUUUGAAAAAUGUGAAAAAAAUCAAAAAAAUUGGGAAACCAAAAGUGGCAAGCUUUUUUUUGUUCUUUUCAAAUUUUCUAAAAUCUGGGGAAAAAAGAACUUGCCACCUAAUUUUUUCCAAAUUUUUUCAAAUUCUUUUCAGAUGUUUGAAUUUUUUCCCAAUUUUUUCCUUUUUUUUUGAAUUUAUUAAGAUUUUUUUUGUUUUUUCUGCUUAUUCUGAAUUUUUUAAGAUUUAUUCGCAUUUUUUUUCAUAUUUUUAAAAAAUAUUUUUGAAAUUUCCGUUAAGUAAUUAAUGGAACUGACAGAGAGUGAUGCUUUUGAAAGUUUUUAAUUAUUUGAUGAUGCAUCUGAAAAUUUUUCAACAACAUGAUUCAGUUGCAAAUUUCCGGCGAGGUUAGUGAUAAAUUAGCUAUUUAACUCUUAAUAAAAUCUAUCUUAACAAUAUUAUAAAUAUUAUUGUUAUGGGUUCGAUGAGUCGUGUAAAACAUGGAAGAAGUUUAGGUGGGGUAAAAAGAGCCUAGCUGGGUGAUUUCCAUUCUGUUAUACGUGAUAUACUGUAGUUGAUCAUCUCCUUUGUCCGCUUCAUCCUGUGCAACCUUAACCUUUAAGGUAAAACUUAUGAGAUUCUCUGGAGCAUCUAAGGGGCCGUUUGGACAAACUUAAAAGAAGUGACUUCUUGCUUAAACUAGAGAAGUGGAGUAGAAGUGAGAAGUAAAUUAGUUAAUAAAGUGUUUGGAAAAAAAGCAGAAGCCAGAAGCAUCUUCGGCUUCUGUCAAACAAACAGGGCCUAAAUUUUUGUGUGAAAAAUGUUAGUCUCAAAUUAUUUUUCCUAAAAUGCUUACAUGUUACAUUUUAUAUGUAUGUCCUGUCUUUAAGUAUAAUUUAGCAUUUGUAUUUAGUAUUGUGUAAAAGUAAUUCAUUUUAUUCCGUCUUAUUAAAAAUAUAAUCAUGUUAUGCUGUAAAAGUAUUUGUGAAUUUCUUUGUUGCAUAUGUGUUUAAAUUAUUUUAUUUAUAUAUGUUUUACAAUUUUUACAAAUGUAUAGGUUGAGUAUUGCAUAAGAAUAUAAUUACACUCACAACUGUUAUGCGUGCAUGUAUAUUGCCGCUAAGUUUUAAACUUCUUACGAACCGGAAUAAUUUUGACAGAUGUGUGGAACUUGAUUAAUUUAGUUGCACUACAAGAGAAAGCGUUUUUACCAAUAGAAAUUGCUAAGGGAAAUUAGUCCGUCGGUAAUUUCCAACGAAUUUGUAACAAUUUGACUGGUCAAUGUUCUGCCAAUCAAUUCGCAACGAAAUACCCACGCUUAUUUACCAACGAGAUGUUCUGUUAGGAAAUAUAGCCACAUAAUGGAAUAAUAACAACAGCCCAAAGAAUGAGCAACAGACUAGCAACGAAAGCAUCUGUUACUACGUUCGUUGAUAUUCCGUUUAUAAAUACUAACAGUUCCGUUAGUAGUUAUUAGUUUUACAUUGGCAAUUGAUAUACACCAGAUGAGCACAUACACGGAUACAAUGCCAGUCUCUUAGUUGAAAUGUGUGUAAUGCUAAAGCCCAAUGAGCUUUAGUUGAUUAAAUUGAUUUGAGUUGUAGAAAAAAGCUAAUAAUAUAAUGGAUUUUGAUAUAUGUAUUGUAAAUAUUAAGUAAUUCUCUUGAAUUUAUAUAUGUAACAUAAUUGUUAAUUGGUUCAUCCUUGACUAGAAAUUUUAUAUUACAUUCUUAACUACAAAUUUUGUAUUUAAAAUUGUUUUAAAAAAUCAACUUUUAUUUGGCAUGUGGAUUUUGUAGUCAAAUGCGGUCAAUUUACUUAGCCUUUGAUCGAAUACCAACCUGAAACAUAAAAAUAUUUUUUAAUCAUUUAUUUUCGACGAUCCAACUAUAUUCUAUAAUUGUAAUGUGAUAAUAUUGAUUACAAAAUUUAAAAAAAAAAAUUAACCUUUUAUUUGGUAUGUGCAUUUUGUAGUCAAAUGCAAUUAAAUUACUUAGUCUUUAGUGAAAUCUUUACUCGAAACAUAAAACUUUUUCUUAAAAAAAAAUUGGACGAUCCAACCGUACAAAUGUUAUUGCAACGUGUUAAUAUUGGUUAAAAUAAAUUUUAAGAAAAUAUGUCUUUUAUUUGGUGUGUGGAUUUUGCGGUCAAAUAACUUAGCCUUUAAUUGAAUACUUACCCAAAACAUGAAACUAUUUUUUUUAAAUCAUUUCGGACGAUCCAACCGUACGGGUGUUAUUCUAACAUGAUAAUAUUGAUUAUUUUUUUUAAAGAAAAAAUAUAGCCUUUUAUUUGGUGUGUGGAUUUUGUAGUCAAAUGCAGUCAAAUUACUUAACCUUUAAUGAAAUGCUUACAUUAAACAUGAAAUUAUUUUUUUUAAAAUCAUUUGGAUGAUCCAAUCGUACGGAUGUUAUUAUGACAUGUUAAUUGAUUAAAAAAAAUAUUUAAAAAAUUGCUUUUUAUUUAGUGUGUGGAUUUUGUAGUUAAAUGCUACUUGGCCUUUAAUCGAAUACUUAACCGAAACAUGAAACUAUUUUUUUAAAAACCAUUUUGGACAAUCCAACCGUACGGAUGUUAUUGUAACAUGACAAUAUUGAUUGUUUUUUUAUAUAAUAACUUUUAUUUGGUGUGUGGAUUUGUAGUCAAAUUACUUAGCCUUUAAUCGAAUACUUACCUGAAACAUGAAACUAUUUCUUAGAAAAUUAUUUUAGAUGAUUCAACCAUACAGAUGCUAUUAUAACGUGAUAAUAUUGAUUAUUUUUUUUAAAAAAAUUAGUCUUUAAUUUGGUGUAUGAAUUUUAUAGUAAAAUGAUGUCAAAUUACUUAGUCUUUAAUGGUAUAUUUAUUAGAAUUAUGAAACUAAUUUUAAAAAUUUAGUUUGGACGAUCCAAACUGUAUGAAUGUUAUUUUAACAUGUUAAUAUUGAUUAAAAUUGUUUAAAAAAAUUUAGUGUUCUUUUAUGUGUGAAUUUUUAGUCAAAUAUGAUAAAAUAUUUAUUUAGCCUUUAAUGAAAUAUUAAAAAUCCCUACUUUAAAAGAAACUUGUCUAAAACUACCUAUACGCGUUAGAGAUUCAUCGAUUUAGUUAUCAAAUUAGUUAUAAUUAGGGUUUUACUCCGCUUUUCUCUGGUAUGAUGUUGAUUUUUGGGGUUCGAUUGGUCGACUUUCAUGUUUUAUAAGUUAUGUGAGUUCGAUUUUGAUGUUUUUACAAUUAGGUUUAUGUAUGUUUUUAUACGGGUUUUCAUGUUCAUGUUUUGAUUUGUUGAUUUCCUAUUUUUCCUAUUUGUUGAUUAGUUAUUUGUGUGGGUUUUGGAUUUUGAUGUGUGUGUAUGUAAUCUCCUGUAUUUUUUUUCAUUUUUUCUGGUUCGAACUCUUCGAUUAGUAGAUGAAAAAAACUGAUGCGGCAGUAGCGGCUAGCAAGGAGAUGGAUAACAAGAAAAGGACGAUUUUGAGGUCCUCUCGUGCAAGUCUUCAGGUAUAAUUUUGUUCCUUUAUGUUUUUAAUUAACAUAAAUUUUCACAUUUGCUGAUUAUAUUAUGGGGGAUUCUGGGUAUACUUGUAUAUAAUCUAGCAAGUAAUUAUAGUUCUGAAUGGGAAGCUUAUUGUGAAAUUAAAUUGAGGAAUAAGUUGUGUUAUUGGUUCUGGUGGAUUAAAUUUAUGUUAACACUUGAUAUAUGCAUUGAUGUCGUAAAAUAAGUUGUACAUCGAACUAUUUGGCUUGUUUAAGUUGUAUGGAGUAUGGUUGCCAAGCAUUGGUUGGUUGUACACGUAUAAACAAAAUGAUAUUUUAAUAUUUGAACAAAACAAUACAGAGCCCGUUUGGCUGAACUUGUAACUCAUAAAUUAACGUGAUUUAUGAUUUAACGUGACUUAUCUAAUAAGCUGAGAGUUUUAAAAUGUCUGUUUGGAUAAUUUUGACUUAUCAACGAUUUAUGGGUCAUUAAAAAUAUAAAAAUAAAAAUUAAAGUGUUUUAUGAGUAGGUUAUGAUUUAUGGAUAAUUUUUAUAUAAAAAAAAGUUCAAAAAAAUUAAGUUACUGGAAAAAUACCUCAAACUAAUUUCAGGCUUUAAGUCAGCUUCUGAUUUAUUAGUUUUUAAGUUUAAGCCGGCUUCUGACUUAUUAAAGCCAUCAGAAUAAUUUUAAACCGCAGCUCUAAGCUACGACAAACGGGCUCACAGUCAUAAACAGAUCGUGUCGGGCUGGACUGAUUGUGAUUUUCCUUUUUGGAACUCGUACUCGGCAUGUUCCACGCGAAUGAUAUUUAGAAGUAUACUCCAUGUCAUAAUAAGAGUUCUUUAAAUUUUUUAUAUGUAAUUUGAAGUAUAAAAAAAAUAUUUUAACAUAAUAUUUUUAAUUUUUUAUACAUAAAAAUAUAACAUCUAUAUUUUUAUUUAGAAAAAAAAAUUUGAAAAAUAAUAUAUAGAUGCAUGUUUUUUUUAUACGUGAAAUUACAUGUAAAAAUCAAAAGACUUUUAUUUUGAGUAAGAGAGAAUAUGAUGUACCAUAAAGUCAUCGAUUUUUUGUUAUCAAAUGAAUGUGAUAGUUAACUAUUUAAGAGCAAGUCCAAAAGUGUUCUAGUUCAUGCUCUAAAUAUAAUAUAAAAUAUUAUGUCCUAGUGAUUUGGGACAUAUUUUACUAACUUGGACUUCAACAAUGAGUCUUAAGGCUCAUUUGUUUUGAGCUUAACAUUGCUGAACGGAUUCCAGCUUACUGAUUAAUGCGAGUUCAGAUUGUUUGGCGACCAUAUUUUAUAAGCUUACCGAUUAAUGCGAGUUUAGAUUGUUUGACGAUCAUAUUUUAUAUUCUGAAUUGUUCAUAUACAGCUGAGCGGAUCAGUCUAAAGUGGGUGAAAGAAUCAUUCAGCGCCAUCCUUAUUAGCUUAUAAUACUGUAUGUCAACUUCAAUCUUAUAAAAAUAUAUUUUAUUUGUUUACUAUAUUUUAUAUAUAUGUUGAUUUUAUCCCAAGUUUUGUUCGUAUCAACUGAAAAUAAUAACUCUUUCAAAAAAUUAAAAAUAAUAUAAUAAUAAUCGAUAUAAUUUUUAACUUUAUAAUUAUUUUGAAUAAUAAUAUGUGAAUUUUUUUUAUAUGUCUAAAUAAGUUUUCAUCUUAUUAAAAAUCAAGUGAUAUAUAUUUUAUUCAAGUGAUAUAUAUUGUUUUAGUGAUAAAAAAGUUCACUAAAACAAUUUAUCAUAUUUAUAAUAUAUUAUUCAGAUAUUUCAAAUAUUAUUCAUCAAACAAUAUUAUUCAUUCAGAAUUCAGAUGAUUCAUCCGUUAAGAUCAUUCAGGUAUAUUAAUCAUUCAAUUCAGAUUUGCCAAAUGACCCCUUAUUCUCACACGAUGUUUAAUAUUUUAUUAUUAGAGAGAGAAAAGGAGUGUUGAUAAGAAUUAAUAACAAAAUAUGGACAGGGUAAGGAAAGAUGUACCUCAAAAAUAGGACUUGAGAAGGUUGUCCCAGUGAUAUAAGGCAUCACUAGGACAUUGUUGGAUCAAUUUUUUACAUCAAAUGCCUUAAAUAACAACUUAGGACGACAUAUAUGGAAAUUGUUGGACUUGCUCUAAGUUGUUACUCCUUCCAAGUAUAAAAGAUGAGUAAAGUUAAAUGAAGACGUGGUAAAAUAAUGUGACCUAUUUAUAUUUAAUAAUACAUUUGAAAUAGUGGAGGAAAGUAACAUGUGUAAUAACGUUUAUAUUAUUAUUGCAUAUAGAUAAGAAGAAAGCAAUGGGUAUAAAAGUGUAUUAUAUUAUUAAAAUUAUUAUUUUUAAAAUGUUUAGAAAUAAUGGGGCAUCCAAAAAGAAAACUGUAUAGAAAUGAAAAAGGAAAUACAAUUCAAAAAGUCAUAUAUCUAAAUUCAAACUAGGUAAUAUAUUUAUGAAUUAUAUUAAAAAAAAUAUUUGACAUUCAAAUAUAAAAAUUUAUUUUAUCAUCUCAACAAUGAAUAUUCGAUUAUUAACUUUCGUAAAUAACAUUAAUUUUUCAUUAUAAUAUACUCUAAACUUUUAUUUUAUGUGCCUGUUUGUUUACGAGAAGCUGGAAUUUACUUCUCUUGACUCGUUUGUGUAAAAAAGUAAAAGGUGCUUUUAAAAAGUACUGAGAACGAAAUGGAAGUAGAAAAUGCUAGCUUUUCUUUAUAAUAUCUAUUUCUUUUCCAGACAUUUUAAUAAUUUAUAAUUAUUAAUUUAUUUGUCAUUUCUACUUAUUUUUUUUAGAGAACUUUUUUUAAACUAACCGGCUCCUAUAACUAGUAAUUACUUCUAAAUCACAAAUUACUGAUAAAUCAUCACUUUUAUUAUUAUUAUUAUUAUUAUAUUUUUAAUAACUCAUAAAUUAUUAAUAAGUCAAAAUUAGUCAAACAGAUAUUUUUAAGUUGAGCUUAUGAGAUAACUAACGUUAAGUCUUCUGAGCCCCCAUUGGCUCACAAUUGGCCCAAAAAAUAUUUGGUUAUGCAUUGCUAUUCACACACUUAGACAUCAAAAUUUAUCAUCCGACAGCUAACUGCACACUAUUUUUCCCACAAGCUCAAAAAUCAACGAUCAAUUAAUUUUUUCUUAUCAAUUACUAAUAAAGUUAUGAUUUCACGUACACGGCAGGCAAAAUGCUAAUAAAUAGACGAGUGCAGUAUAGUAUGGGUUCAUGAUCCCCUUGAGAUUUAAUUGAAAAAUAUUAUGGUGAUAUAGAUUAAAUUAAAUUAUAAUAUUUUGAAAAGUUAUAAAUAAUUUUAAUUACUAAUAAUAUUUAUUUGUACAUUUAAAUAUUUUUAUAAAAACACAAUAAUAGCAUUAUACUCAUUUAAGUUUCUCGUAUCCGCCUCCUCUUCUUGGAGAUUGUGGAUUUGCGAUAUUUGUAUUGAUUAUUAUAGGAAAAUGUUAUUUUCAGAGCAAACAUUUUUAUUUCUGGAGCAAAUUCAAUUCCCACUUCCUUGUCCUUGUAGCUACAUAAAUCAUACAACUUCAAUACAAACUUUUCCAAAUUGUUCUGGAAAUUAAAAAAUUGAUAUGGAUAUAACAAUUCCCUUAUUAUAUCCUAUGUAUAUUACAUUAAUGCAAUUAACAUGGUUGGUUGUUUUAGUAUAUAAUUAUAUUAGUGUGGCCUUUUAGUAUAUAAUUAUAUUAUUUUUGUUAUAUUUUAUGCAUCUAGAAACAAUUUUUUUAUGAUAUUUAUUAUAUUAAUUAUAGUAAAAGAUAUAAUUUUGUUUAAAAAAUUGAAUAAAACUAAGAGGGAUAGCCUACGUCUCUCCGAGUCUUCGAGGACUCAUUCCAAGUCCGCAGAGGACCACCGCCUCAACCUUUAAGAGAUGUGAAAGUAGCUUGAGAGAGACAUAAAUUAAUGUUUGAUAAUAAAAUUUAAUAAUCAAAUAAAUUAAAUUAAAUUAAACUAGUUUAUAGUAAUCGAUUAAAAAUAUAUAAAUCAAAAUUAUUCCUGAAUUAUGAUAACAAUUAAAAUCAUAUUAAAAGUUGCAAAAAUCAAACCCAAAUCGAACAAAUUCCCCUAACACUAAAAUGUAGUUGCUUUAUUGUAGAUAAAAACAGUAUAAUAAUCGUAUUGAUGAAAAAUCAAAUUCAUCAAAUAAGUUUAUAAAAAAUACAUGAUUUUAGUGUGUUGUAUUAGUAGUGUGUCCACGCAUUUAUAUAUUAAAAUCUAUCCUCUAAAAACUAUCGAUCUAUUUACACAACUAUUGAUCUGUCGUGCAACAAAUUCCACGGAGAAGUUCCAAAGAGAGCUUAAAUGGCUUGCAUUGCUCAAUCUAUCUCAUAAUAGUCUUAACGACAUAUGUUCUGAAUUAUUAUUAUGCUUUCAACAAUAUUUUCAAACAUUUCUUAAUAUGUAUUUUCAAAGAAUUAAGAGAAUGCACAAAAAUUAAGAGAGAUUGCUCUGGGUCUCCCCAAGCCUUUCAGGACUCAUUCCAAGUCUUCCUAGGACCACUGCCUCACCCUUUCAAAGAUGUGAUAAUAGCUCGAGAGUAAUAUAAAUUAAUUUACGGACACUAAAAAUAAAAAAUCAGAUCAAAUUAAUCAAUAAUAAAUUAAGGAUGAAAUCCAAAUUAAUCCUAAAUUUUGAUAAUAUAUAAAUAUUAUAAUUAUAAAUUAUAUAACCAAAUCAGAAUUGAAUUAACUUACUUGGCACUAAAAUUGAUAAAGACAGAAUAAUAAUUUAAUCGAUGAAAAGUCAAAGUCUUCUAAUAAAUCCAUAAAAGAUAUGAUAAUCCAAAUAACACACUUAUAUAUCAAAAUUUAUGGUCCAAAAACUAUAGCAAAAUAUCCUAAAUACACCACAUUAAAUAAUAGUUCAAAAAUAUUCAAUAAACAAUUGUUUUCAUUCAUAAUUUUGUUAUUUUAAAAACUAAUAAUUUGGUUGAUGUUAACCUAUAUUUUAAUAUAUAAUUAUAUUAUUUUCAUCUUAUUUUAUUUAACCAGAAACAAUAUUUUUAUAAUAUUUAUUACUUUAUUUAUAUUAAAAUAUAUAAUUUCAUUAAAAAAAUUGAAUAAAAUUAAGAGAAUAACUCUAUGCCUCUCUAAGUCUACAAGACUCAUUUCAAGUCUACCGAGGACUACUACCUCAACCAUCGAGAGAUGUGAAAGUAUAGUUUGAGAGUGACAUAAAUUAUUUUCCUGACAAUAAAAUUUAAUAUCUAAUAUAAAUUAAUUAAAUUAGAUAAUAAUAAAUCAAAACUAAUUAUGAAUUAUGAUAAUAAUUAAAUAAAUUAUAAUUAAAUUAUAUAAAUCAACUCCAAAUGUACAAAUAACACUAAACCUUGGUUACUUUGUUGGUAAAUAAAUAUAAUAUAAUAAUCAAAUUGAUGAGAAAUCAAAAUCAUCUAAUAAAUUCACAAAAAAUAUAUAAUCAGUAUAUUAUAUUAGUAUCCACACACUUAUAUUUCAAAAUCUAUCCUCCGAACUUAUCAUCUCUGUAAACUACCCACAUAAAAUAAAAAUUUAAAGAUAUUAGAUAUUUAGUUAUUUUCAUUAUAUAUAAUUUUUCCACACUAAAUAACAAAAUAUCUUUAUCAAAUUAUUAUUUAUAAGUUUUUUGAAUAUCAGAUUCAUAACCCAGUUGAUCAGGAGAAACAUGGCCUACUCUGCAAAGCCUUCUCACCUUCUUCUCUUUGUUUUCUUUCUCUCAUCACUUGAAUCCAUUCUUGCAACAACACAAGAGGGAGAAGCUCUUGUGAAGUGGAAGAAUAGCCUAGCCCCUUCUUCUUUUCUCGACUCUUGGUCACUCACCAAUCUCGAAAAUCUUUGUAACUGGACUGGCAUUACUUGUAACUCUGCAGGUUCAGUCUCGGAGAUUAACCUUUGUGAGAAACAACUUGAUGGAAUGCUGUCCGAGUUUGGUUUCACUUCAUUUCCAAAUCUCAACAAUCUCAUCCUCGCAGAUAACUUCUUCUCGGGUCCCAUACCACCGGCCAUUGAGAAUUUAACACAGCUUCGAUUUCUUGAUUUAAGCUUUAAUUCUCUCCAUGGUCCCAUUCCGUUCCAGGUUAGCCAUCUUCAGAGCUUGCUCAUCUUAAACCUGUCACAGAAUGCAUUGCAAGCUCCAAAUUGGUCCCAUUUCUCUCCCAUGCCUUUCUUGCGCAUCCUCAACCUCAGUUACAAUCCUCUUGCGUCGAAAUUCCCAUAUUUUAUAUCCAAUUCUCAUAGCCUGACUCACCUUAGCCUUAAUUAUAACGAGUUUACUGGUGAUUUAGUACGUGAAUCAGUAUUUGCCAAUCUGCAUAAUCUUGAAGUGCUCAGUCUUGUUGGCAAUUCUUUUGAGGGGCCAUUUCCGCCGGAUGUAGUCCAGCUUUCCAAAUUAAAACGUCUCUUCCUGUCAGGUAACAAAUUUUCAGGUUCAAUUCCCAAUGACAUAAGGUUGCUUUGUGAUCUUGAAUACCUAUAUUUAGGCAACAAUUCCUUUGAAGGACCGCUUCCACCAAAUAUAUUCAAGCUUUCAAAAUUAAAAAAUCUUGUUAUUUGGAGUAAUAAGUUUUCAGGUUCUAUUUCCAAUGAUAUAGGUUUGCUUUCUGAGCUUGACACCCUCAAUCUUCGCUCUAAUUUUUUUAAGGGUCCGCUUCCGUCAAAUAUAUUCAAGCUUUCCAAAUUAACAAGUCUUGACCUCGCAGACAAUAGAAAUUUAUUUGAAGGAAGUAUUCCUAUUGGACUGGGACUCUUGACUAACCUCAGGUUCUUAGAUCUACAUUCCAGUAAUCUCAGUGGCUAUAUUCCAUCUGACAUUGGAAACCUGAAGCUACUAGUACUUCUUAAUCUCGGUUCUAAUAAAUUGACUGGACCGCUUUUAAAGAUCGUUUCUAAUCUCACAAAUCUUAUAUAUUUUGAUGUAAGUGAUAAUAGUCUUCGUGGAAAUAUUCAGAGUGACUUGUGGAUAUAUAACGAUCAUCCAACUUUGGAAUACAUCAAUUUAAGUGGGAACCAUUUUACGGGUAUAGUUUUUCUCUAUAGAUCUUUUCCUUUUGUCAUAUGUAACUAAGCUAGUAAUCUGGUUAUUGCAGUUUUACCAAAGUUUCAACAAUCUUGACAGGUGAGCUUCCAACAACAAUUUGCAAUGUCACUUCCCUUUCAAUUCUUGAUUUGUCAAAUAAUGAAUUAAGUGGUGCACUUCCAAACUGUUUCGGGAAUCUUGCUGAUGGAUUGCUUUACAUUAAUCUUGCUAAUAAUCAGUUUCGAGGAACAAUACCAACUACUUUCUCCAGGAGUUGUCAGCUGACAUAUCUAAACAUGGAUGAUAAUGAGUUUGAAGGAUUGUUGCCCCCAUCUUUGGCGAACUGUAAGCACUUGAAAAUUUUUGAUAUUGGCAAUAAUAAAAUAGGUGGUACAUUUCCGUCAUGGCUUUAUGCACUUGGAGAGCUAGAAGUCCUUGUCUUGCGAUCAAAUAAACUCUGUGGUACAAUAAGUGGAAGGAGCAUAGAAGAUCCCUUCCCCAAGUUGCGGAUUGUGGAUCUGUCCAACAACCACUUCACAGGCCAUUUGCCAAUUCAAUACUUUAAGAAUAUGAAAUCAACUGAUAAUUUGUAUAGUUAUCAGCUUUUCACAGCAGUUUUUUCUUUCCAUUAUGAAGCAGCAGUCUCAUUAAUUGUGAAGGGAACAGAGUAUGAAGUGGCAAAUAACCUUCAUAUUUACACAGCCAUUGAUCUGUCGUGCAACAAAUUUCAGGGAGAAAUUCCAAAGGUUACUGGAGAGCUUAGAUGGCUUGCAUUGCUCAACUUAUCUCAUAAUAGUCUAACAGGACCUAUCCCAUCAUUGCUGGGAAAUAUGAAAGAACUCCAAUCUUUAGAUUUGUCUUCAAAUCAACUGACAGGGGCCAUUCCACCUCAGCUAACUGCAUUGACAUUUCUAGAGGUCUUAAACCUCUCGGGAAACCAUCUUAGUGGAGAGAUUCCUCAGAAAGGACAGUUCAGCACAUUUAACAAUGAUUCUUAUCUAGGAAACUCCGCGUUAUGUGGAUCACCUUUGACGAAGAAAUGUGCAAACACAGCAUCACCUCCACAAGAAGUCGGAAAUGGUGAUGAAGANGAUUUGUCUUCAAAUCAACUGACAGGGGCCAUUCCACCUCAGCUAACUGCAUUGACAUUUCUAGAGGUCUUAAACCUCUCGGGAAACCAUCUUAGUGGAGAGAUUCCUCAGAAAGGACAGUUCAGCACAUUUAACAAUGAUUCUUAUCUAGGAAACUCCGCGUUAUGUGGAUCACCUUUGACGAAGAAAUGUGCAAACACAGCAUCACCUCCACAAGAAGUCGGAAAUGGUGAUGAAGAAGAUGGUGGUGAUGAAUUGACAUGGGAAGCAAUCGUGAUGGGAUAUGGAUGUGGACUGAUAUGUGGAUUGUCAUCGGCAUACAUUGUUCUCAAACUAGGAAAGCCUUGGUGGUUUGUGAGAUAUAUCGAAGUACUGCAACAGAAGUUGAUGAAAAGAUGCUUGAAGAAAGGUACUGGUCGAUCAAGACGAACUUGAAAGUUGUUGUCCAUGUGGACAUUUCUGAACCAGUAGUGUACUAGCUGCAUAAGUAUUUGGUAUUAUGUAAUAUUCUGUUUGGUGGGGAAUCAUAAUAAUUUUUCUUCCUGUAGGGGUAUUAAUAUUAACCUUGUUAUCUUGAUCAAUGUUAAUGCAAAUUAAAAUGAAUGAAAAAACAAAAAAUAUGCAUCAAAUCCACUCCUGCUGUACCAAGAUCCAUUAAUUUGCUUUGGUCUUUUACAUAACAAUUUAACAGCGCACUUCCCCACUGUUUGAAAGAAUUUAAUAAUAAACUCGAGUUUUCCAGGACUGCACCAAGUUCACAUAUUCAAUAUCACACAUUCCAGUCUCAGCUUCAGCUCCCAGGGUAGAAGAGAAGUUUUAUGUACAAUAACAGUUAAUUACCAUAGCUACUUUAGUCUUGGUUCAGUUUUUGCAGAGAUAAUUACCAGAUUUUGAAAUCCUUCAUGUGAGGAAACAAAUAUCGAGAGACAUUUCUGUUUACAAAUAUAGGUUUUCUAGACAUAAUUACAGGAACUUUUACCAUUAUACACUUUUAUAGUACUGGUUAAGAGUUUGUUGUUCAGCCUAGUGAAAGAAAUAAUUCCUCUGCUAUUUCAUUAACAUUGCUGGUAUAUAUACAAUGUACAACACACCCUUCAAGGCUAUAAUCAGGGAACCUAAAAUAUAUCCAAAACUAAUCAUAGAAACAGACUAACUAAUUACAAUAAAUCAUAUCCAGAAAUAUCUCCACAGAUGUCGCAUAGAUAUCUUUAACACACCCCCUCAGUCGAAGCGGGAGGUAAACGAACACUGAGACUGUCUCUGAAGUCUUCAAAAAGAACACGCGGAAGACCUUUUGUAAAAAUAUCUGCUACUUGAUAUCUGGAUGGCACAUGAAGAACCCGUACUUCACCUCGUGCAACUUUUUCCCGAACAAAGUGAAUAUCCAUCUCAAUGUGUUUAGUACGUUGGUGUUGUACUGGAUUACCCGAUAAAUAAAUAGCACUGACAUUGUCGCAAUACACCACAGUUGCCUUUGUAACUGGACAAUGCAAUUCCAACAACAGAUUUCGGAGCCAACAUGAUUCAGAGACCACAUUAGCUACACCCCUAUACUCGGCCUCUGCACUGGAUUUGGAAAGAGUCGGUUGUCGCUUAGAAGACCAGGAAAUCAAGUUGUCACCCAAAAACACACAAUACCCAGAUGUAGACCGCCUCGUGUCGGGGCACCCACCCCAGUCAGCGUCAGUAUAUGAAACAAGAGAGGACUGUGAAGAGGAAUAGAGAUGUAAACCAUAGUCCUGUGUUCCUUGAAUGUACCUAAUGAUUCUUUUAAGAGCUUGCAUAUGAGUAACCCGUGGAUCAUGCAUGUGCAGACAUACUUGUUGAACCGCAUAAGAAAUAUAUGGACGUGUGAAAGUCAGAUAUUAAAGUGCCCCAGCAAGACUCCGAUACAAUGAAGGAUUCUCAAACACAGAACCAACAGACGCACUAACCUUGGCCUUCGUAUCAACUGGUGUAGGUGAUGAUUUACAAGAGGACAUGCCAGCCCUCUCAAUUAUCUGUUGUGCAUAAUUCUUCUGUGACAGAAACAUGCCAGCCUUAUGACGAGUGACUGAUAUACCAAGAAAAGAACUCAAGGGGCCAAGAUCCUUCAUAGCAAAUUCUGAACUAAGAAGCUUUAUAAUCGAGACACGGAGAUCAUCAGACGACGCAGUGAGAAUUAUGUCAUCGACGUAAACCAGAAUAUAGGCCAUGUGAGAACCGUUGCGAUAAACGAAUAAUGAGGUGUCACAUUUGCUUCUAAUGAAACCAAUAGACAGAACAAAAUCAGCAAACUUCUCAGACCAAGUCCGGGGGGACUGCCUCAGGCCAUAAAUUGAUUUACGUAACAAACACACAUAAUCCGGAUGAGCACGAUCACGAUACCCCAAAGGUUGAUGCAUAUAUAUUGUUUCCUUUAAGUCACCAUGAAGGAAGGCAUUCUUUACAUCUAGCUGAUGAAUUGACCAGCCAUUCGAAAGAGAGAGAGAAAGCACUGUGCGGAUUGUAGCUGGUUUCACUACCGAGCUAAAAGUUUCGCCACAAUCAAUACCCACCAGCUGAGUUUUUCCAUUUCCGACAAGGCGAGCUUUAUGCCUCUGAAACACACCAUCCGAAUUUUCUUUAUGAGCAAAAACCCACAUAGACCGAAUAACAUUAACAUCAGGUGGACGGGGCACCAAAUCCCAUGUCUUAUUUUGAAUAAGUGCAUUAUACUCCUCAUCCAUGGCUAUUUUCCAAUUCGGGUCCCGAAGAGCAUCAACAGGGCUAUGUGGUAAAGGUGACCGAGGAGCUGUUGUGUUAUAUGCAUGAUCAGAAUAUCGCAUAUUUGGUUUAAAAAUACCUCGUUGGCUCCUGGUAACCAUUGGGUGCUGGUUUAUAGGAGUAGGGGAAGAUGUUGAUGUUUGUGGACUCGAGGAGGAAGAUGAACUCAAUGAGGAGGGAGAUGGCGACGUUGAUGAAAGUAAGGGAGAGGAGGAUUGGUUUGAGAGUACUGGACUCGGUGAAAGAGAAUGAGGAGAACUCCCAGGGGAAGGUGAGAAACUACCAUGUCGUGUCUCAUGUGUGUGAGUACUGUCUGGGUGAGCAGACACAGACACAGAAGGACUUUGAUUUUGCAGAUGAUACACUGAAUAAGGUGAUAAGCCAUCUGCUAAAAAAUCAUAGGUAGAAGUGGAUGAAUCAUGUAACUUAGCAAACGGAAACACAUGCUCGUCAAAUAACACAUGGCGACAAAUUAUAAUCUGUGCUGUGAUGAUAAAUCAUAACAUUUGUAACCACGGUGAUUAGCCGGAAACCCCAAGAAAACACAAGGUGUUGAACGAGAUUGCAAUUUAUUAAUUGUGGUAGAGGGAAUGAGAGGAUAGCACAAGCAACCAAAGACCCGAAUGUGAGAAAAUGAGGGAACCCGUUGAUAUAGGAUUUCAAGAGGUGAUAAAUUGCCUAAGACCUUGUUCGGAAGAACAUUUAGAAGAUAGGUGGCCAUUUGUAAUGCAUGAUUCCAAAAAGAUGAAGGAAGAGAUGCAUGAGCUAAGAGUGUUCGAGUGACAUUAUUAAUAGUUCGAAUUUUUCUUUCUGCUUUCCCAUUUUGAGAAGAAGUAUGAGGACAAGACAACCGAAAAGUCAUGCCAUUGUUCUUAAAAAAAUCCCAGAAAUGAUGAUUAGUAAAUUCCCUCCCAUUAUCGCAUUGCACAUUUUUAAUGGUACACUCGAAUUGGGUGAGAAUAUGAUUGUGAAACGCCACAAAUUUAUCAAAGACAUCAGAUUUCUUAGCAAUUGGAAAAGUCCAAAGAAAAUUGGAGAAAUCAUCUAAUAACACAAGAUAGUACUUAUGACCCAUAGUACUCAAAACCGGAGAUGUCCAAAGAUCACAAUGAAUUAUAUCAAAUGGCUUUAAAGUACUUGAACUAGACGAAACAAAUGGCAUCUUGAUAUGUUUUCCAAACACACAAGAUCGACAAAUGCUAGAAUGUGAAAGCUUAGAACAAUGAAUGCUUUUAUUGAGUCGAAGAGCAUCCAAAACUUGUGCACCGGGAUGGCCUAAACGAUCAUGCCAAAGAGAGGAAUUGAUGGCUGCAAAAGUAGAAUGAAGAGCUCGAUUGUUGAUAGAUUGUGUAAGAGGAUAAAGAUCGCCUUGGCUCUCACAUCUCAUUAUUAGCACUCACGUCUGUAAAUCCUUCACAGAAAACCCAAAAGGAUCAAAUUCCACCGUAACAGAAUUAUCAGUGGUAAAUUUGCGAACAGAAAUAAGGUUUUUAACAAUUUUGGGAGCGUGGAGGACAUUUUUAAGGGACAAAGGAAGGCCAGGAGAUGGUAAUGCAGUAUGACCAUAUCCUUGAAUUGAAAUAAUAUUGCCAUCACCCACAACAAUGCCAUUAUGAUGAGAAUUAUGUUGAUUGCUCAAAUUAACAUAGGACGAGAAAUUACCAUUUGAGGAUGUCAUAUGAGAUGUAGCACCAGUAUCCAUGUACCACGACGGAUCAGGUUGAUUGAGAGUCAUGGUAUGCAUUGCAGAUUCAAUAUCCGUUGGAACAAAAGAAGCUGACUGCCCAACCGUUGUUCCUGUGAAAGCCUGCUGUGGUCGAGGACCAAGAACUCCAGGCUGUGGUUGUUGAACUCCCGUGGAACGGGGCUGAGUCCAGCCCUGAGUUGGGAAUGGACAAGGGGGAGCGGACCAUCCCUGCAUCCAAGGUGGAGCAGCCAAGAUUGGAAAUAACCCGGUGCCCACUGUUGUGAACCCCAUUGCAUCCUAUUCUGUUGUUGUCCACCACCACGGCCUUGACCCAUACGACCCCCACCAGAACCACGACCUCCACCUGAACCAGAUCGUUUAUUAUUUUUCCUGUGGUUAUUAUGCUUAUUGCCACGGGGAGGUGCGGAUCCCUGAUUCGAGCCUGUGUCGUCAAAAUCCGUCUGUGAGGCAACCAACAUUGCAGAGUCAGACCCUGUGGCAGCUUCUUUUGCUAAAGCAGCCUCCUCUAAUGUUAACAUAGACCGGGCUUGAUAGAAUUGUGGGAGAGGGUCACUCUGUCGAAUUAAGGUCCCAACACCACGGUAUGCCCUUGGAAGGCCGGAAACCAGUUGAAUAACAAGUCUACUAUCCGAGAUUGGUGCACCAACAUUUUUCAGUUGAUCAGCAAGAGAUUUGAGACGCUGACAGUAAGCCGAAACAUUCGGAAAAUUCUCCAUUUUUGUACUGGAGAAUUCAGCCUCCAAAGUUACCACACGGGAAUUCUUGUUGUCCUGGAAUAUGUCACGCAACCUGUUCCAUGCCUCCAUAGCAGUGGCAUCUGGUUCAAUGAUCGUAUGUAAAAGAUCAUUGGAGAUAGUCGCAUAAAUCCAAGACAGAACCGUAGCAUCAAGCGUCGACCACAAUUCCUUUUCAUCCUCAGUAGAAAGAACCUUCUCUUUGCCUGUGGCAGGAGGAAUAAUAUGAGAAAGCACCUUAUGAGAACGUGCGGUAAUUUUGAAAAGCUCCGCCCAUGUCGAGUAUUGACCAUUCUCCAUCUCAAGAAUAAUGGGGAUAUGAUUGCGGAUAUUUGACACCGCAAGAGCUGGAUGAAAGGAGCUCUUGUUACCAGACAUUGGCUGCUGAUUAGUUGUAUCAGUCAUGAUAAUGAGAAAAGAAAAGAAGAUGAGUGCUUAGCGGAAGAAAAGAAAGAAAGAAAGAUCGUGGUAUUGCCUUAAGGCUCUGAUACCAUGAAAGAAAUAAUUCCUCUGCUAUUUCAUUAACAUUGCUGGUAUAUAUACAAUGUACAACACACCCUUCAAGGCUAUAAUCAGGGAACCUAAAAUAUAUCCAAAACUAAUCAUAGAAACAGACUAACUAAUUACAAUAAAUCAUAUCCAGAAAUAUCUCCACAGAUGUCGCAUAGAUAUCUUUAACACCUAGUCCUAAACUAAAAUUAUCAGUUCGAUGUGAAAUACGAAAUCAUAUUGCAGACGUCAUUCGUUGUUCCACCUAGUCCAAAACUACUCUAAAACUAUAUUGCUGGUAGUCUUUCAGUUCAUCCUACUGUAUGCAAUAGUUUCAUAUAUAGGUAACUCGGCCUUGUGUGGACUUCCUUUAACAAAAAAAUGUCUGCACUCAGUGUCACCACCACUGGAAGUCGAAAAUAGUGAUGAUGAAGAUGAUGCUCAUGGUGAACUUAAUUGGGAAGUAAUCCUGACGGGAUGUGGAUGUGGAUUGAUUUGCGGAUUGUCUUCUGGGUACAUUGUUUUCAAAAUAGAAAGGCCUUGGUGAUUUCUGCAAAGUGCUGCAACUUAAGUUGAUGUUACGAAGCACGAAAAAUAUUGUUCGACCAAGAUCAACAACUUGAAAAUGUGUUCUGAAUCUGUAUUAAUAUUAAAAUAUUAUAAUAUUAUUCAUUUAACACUAUCGUCCAAUCAAUUUAAUUGAUUAUCAUUUAAUCAAUAUAUUAGAUAAAUAUUAAUUGUCUUCCUUACCUCUAACCAAUGAUGAAAUUAAUAACCUCCCUAUAAAUCUAUUAAGACAGCUUUGAGUUGUCAAAGUCCUCAAACAUAUUAAACACUUUGAAAAAUUUGUUUCUGCAAGUCAAAAUUGCAAACAACACUUUGAAAACUUAGGUGCCGAAUAGUCCUUAUAUUGGAUUAAUCAGAUUUAAAUAUUUAAUGGCGCUAACAAAAUCUGUUGAAGUUAGCAGUUAUAAGGCAUAUAAUUAGAAAAAUGGCACAGUAUAUAAAGCCUCAUCAUCUUUUUCACUCUGUUUUAUUUCUCUCAUUACUUCCAUCCAUUCUUACAACACUAGCUGAAACAAGACGAGAGGGAGAAGCUCUUGUGAAAUGGAAGAAUAGCCUAGCCCCGUCUUCUUUUCUCGAUACUUGGUCACUAACCAAUCUCGAUGAUCUUUGCAACUGGACUGGCAUUACUUGUAACUCUGCAGGUUCAGUCUCUGAGAUUAACCUUAAACAAAAACAACUCAGUGGAACGAUUUCUGAGUUUGGUUUCACUUCAUUUCCAAAUCUCAACAAUCUGAACAUAGCACGAAACAACUUUUACGGUCCAAUACCACCAGCCAUUAAGAAUUUGACACAGCUUCAAUACCUUGAUUUAAGCUUUAAUCAUCUCAACGGUUCCAUCCCGUACCAGGUUAGCCAUCUUCAGAAAUUACAAAUCUUACACCUGUCGCAUAAUGAAUUGCAAGCUCCAAAUUGGUCCAAUUUCUCUUCCAUGCCUUUUUUGCGCAUCCUCGGCCUCGGCAGCAAUAAUCUGGAGUCAGAAUUCCCAGAAUUUAUAUCCAACUCUCAUGGCCUCACUUUCCUUGACCUUUCUUUUAACAAGUUUACAGGUGAUCUUGUGCAUGAAUCAAUUUUUACCGAUCUACGUAAUCUCGAAAACCUCCAUCUUGCUAAAAAUUACUUUGAGGGGCCGAUUCUACCUAGUAUAUUUAAGCUUUCCAAUUUAAAAAUUCUUGAACUAUCAGGUAAUAAAUUUUCUGGUUCUAUUUCCAACUAUAUAGGUUUGCUUUCGGAGCUUGAGACCCUCUAUCUUGACUUCAAUUUUUUUGAAGGACCAAUUCCACCAAAUAUAUUCAACCUUUCUAAACUAAAAAUUCUUGAACUAACAGGUAAUAACUUUUCAGGUCCUGUUUCUAAUGAUAUAAGUUUGCUUUCCGAGCUUGAAAACCUCAAUCUUGCCUUAAAUUCUUUUGAUGGGCCUUUUCCAUCAAAUAUGUUCAACCUAACCAUAUUGAGACAUCUAAAUCUCUAUGGCAAUAAAAAUUUAUUUAAAGGAAGUAUCCCACUGGAUAUCAAAAUAAGUCACAAGGACUAAUUAAUUACAUCUAUGAAGCAUCUAUCUCCUUAAAUGUGAAAGGAACAGAGUAUGAAGUGAAAAACAUUCUUCAUAUUUACACAACCAUUGAUCUGUCAUGCAACAAAUUUCAUGGACAUGUUCCAAAGAGAGCUUAAUUAAAUGGCUUGCAUUGCUCAAUCUAUCUCAUAAUAGUCUUAACAGACAUAUGUUCUGCAUUAUUAUUAUACUUUCAUCAAUAUUUUUAAACANAACAAAAACAACUCAGUGGAACGAUUUCUGAGUUUGGUUUCACUUCAUUUCCAAAUCUCAACAAUCUGAACAUAGCACGAAACAACUUUUACGGUCCAAUACCACCAGCCAUUAAGAAUUUGACACAGCUUCAAUACCUUGAUUUAAGCUUUAAUCAUCUCAACGGUUCCAUCCCGUACCAGGUUAGCCAUCUUCAGAAAUUACAAAUCUUACACCUGUCGCAUAAUGAAUUGCAAGCUCCAAAUUGGUCCAAUUUCUCUUCCAUGCCUUUUUUGCGCAUCCUCGGCCUCGGCAGCAAUAAUCUGGAGUCAGAAUUCCCAGAAUUUAUAUCCAACUCUCAUGGCCUCACUUUCCUUGACCUUUCUUUUAACAAGUUUACAGGUGAUCUUGUGCAUGAAUCAAUUUUUACCGAUCUACGUAAUCUCGAAAACCUCCAUCUUGCUAAAAAUUACUUUGAGGGGCCGAUUCUACCUAGUAUAUUUAAGCUUUCCAAUUUAAAAAUUCUUGAACUAUCAGGUAAUAAAUUUUCUGGUUCUAUUUCCAACUAUAUAGGUUUGCUUUCGGAGCUUGAGACCCUCUAUCUUGACUUCAAUUUUUUUGAAGGACCAAUUCCACCAAAUAUAUUCAACCUUUCUAAACUAAAAAUUCUUGAACUAACAGGUAAUAACUUUUCAGGUCCUGUUUCUAAUGAUAUAAGUUUGCUUUCCGAGCUUGAAAACCUCAAUCUUGCCUUAAAUUCUUUUGAUGGGCCUUUUCCAUCAAAUAUGUUCAACCUAACCAUAUUGAGACAUCUAAAUCUCUAUGGCAAUAAAAAUUUAUUUAAAGGAAGUAUCCCACUGGAUAUCAAAAUAAGUCACAAGGACUAAUUAAUUACAUCUAUGAAGCAUCUAUCUCCUUAAAUGUGAAAGGAACAGAGUAUGAAGUGAAAAACAUUCUUCAUAUUUACACAACCAUUGAUCUGUCAUGCAACAAAUUUCAUGGACAUGUUCCAAAGAGAGCUUAAUUAAAUGGCUUGCAUUGCUCAAUCUAUCUCAUAAUAGUCUUAACAGACAUAUGUUCUGCAUUAUUAUUAUACUUUCAUCAAUAUUUUUAAACAUUUCUCAAUAUGUAUUUUCAAAGAAUUCUCAAGCACUUGAACAUUUGGACCGGUUCUUUCGAAGCCAAGAUGCCCAGGUUAUAUCAUGGCCAUACACAAAAAUGCCCAAAAAUAAAUAAAUUAAGAGAGAUUGCUCUGGGUCUCCCCAAGCCUUCCAGGACUCAUUCCAAGUCUUCUGAGGACCACUGCCUCGCCCUUUCAAAGACGUGAUAGUAGCUCAAGAGUGAUAUAAAUUACUUUCCGGACACUAAAAAUAAAUAAUCCGAUCAAAUUAAUUAAUAAUAAAUUAAGGAUGAAAUCCAAAUUAGUCCUAAAUUUUGAUAAUAUAUAAAAAUUAUAAUUAUAAAUUAUAUAACCAAAUGAGAAUUGAAUUAACUUACUUGGUACUAAAAUUGAUAAAUACAGUAUAGUAAUUUAAUUGAUGAAAAGUCAAAGUCUUCUAAUAAAUCCAUAAAGAAUAUGAAAAUCAAAAUAACGAAAAUUAUAAUUGAAAAAUCAAAAUCAAUAGUGUAUUGGAAUAUUGUUCACACACUUAUAUAUCAAAAUUUGUGGUCCAAAAAUUAUAGCACAAUAUCCUAAAUACACCACAUUAAAUAAUAGUUCAAAAAUAUUCAAUAAAUAAUUGUUUUCAUUCAUAAUUUUGUUAUUUUAAAAACUAAUAAUUUGGUUGAUGUUAACCUAUAUUUUAAUAUAUAAUUAUAUUAUUUUCAUGUUAUUUUAUUUAACCAAAAACAAUAUUUUUAUAAUAUUUAUUACAUUAAUUAUAUUAAAAGAUAUAAUUUCAUUAAAAAAAUUGAAUAAAAUUAAGAGGAUAACUCUAUGCCUCUCCAAGUCUACAAGACUCAUUUCAAGUCUACCGAGGACCACUACCAUUGAGAGAUGUGAAAGUAGUUUGAGAGUGACAUAAAUUAUUUUCCUGACAAUAAAAUGUAAUAUCUAAUAUAAAUUAAUUAAAUUAGAUAAUAAUAAAUCAAAACUAAUCAUGAAUUAUGAUAAUAAUUAAAUAAAUUAUAAUUAAAUUAUAUAAAUCAACUCCAAAUGAUACAAAUAACACUAAACCUUAGUUACUUUAUUGGUAAAAUAAAUAUAAUAUAAUAAUUAAAUUGAUGAAAAAUCAAAAUCAUCUAAUAAAUUCACAAAAAAUAUAUGAUCAUUAGUAUAUUAUAUCAGUAUCCACACACUUAUAUUUCAAAAUCUAUCCUACAAAAUUAUCAUCUCUGUAAACUAGCCACAAAAAAUAAAAAUUUAAAGAUAUUAGAUAUUUAGUUAUUUUCAUUAUAUAAUUUUUCCACACUAAAUAACAAAAUAUCUUUAUCAAAUUAUUAUUUAUGAAUUAAAUAUUCAAGUUAUAAUUCCAGCAUGCAGCGUAUAAAUAGAAGUGUGCAGUAUGAUAUCAGAUUCAUAACCCAGUUGAGGAGAAACAUGGCACACUCUGUGAAGCCUUCUCACCUUCUUCUCUUUGUUUUCUUUCUCUCAUCACUUGAAUCCAUUCUUGCAACAACACGAGAGGGAGAAGCUCUUGUGAAAUGGAAGAAUAGCCUAGCCCCUUCUUCUUUUCUCGACUCUUGGUCCCUCACCAAUCUCGAUAAUCUUUGUAACUGGACUGCCAUUACUUGUAACUCUGCAGGUUCAGUCUCUAAGAUUAACCUUUUUGAGAAACAACUUAAUGGAAUGCUGUCCGAGUUCGGUUUCACUUCAUUUCCAAAUCUCAACUAUCUCACACUCGCAGACAACUUCUUCUCGGGUCCGAUACCACCAGCCAUUGAGAAUUUAACACAGCUUCAAUAUCUUGAUUUAAGCAUGAAUAGUCUUAAUGGUCCCAUUCCGUUCCAGGUUAGCCAUCUUCAGAGCUUGCUCAUCUUGAACCUGUCACAGAAUGCAUUGCAAGCUCCAAAUUGGUCCCAUUUCUCUCCCAUGCCUUUCUUGCGCAUCCUCGACCUUAGUUUUAAUAAUCUUGUGUCGAAAUUCCCAGAAUUUAUAUCCAAUUCUCAUAGCCUGACUCACCUUAACCUUUCAAAUAACAAGUUUACUGGUCAUCUUGUGCAUAAAUUUACCAAUCUACAAAAUCUUGAAACCCUCUACCUUCAGAUCAAUUCUUUUGAGGGGCCGUUUCCACCAGAUAUAGUCCAGCUUUCCAAAUUAAAACGACUCUCCCUGUCAUGUAACAAAUUUUCAGGUUCAAUUCCCAAUGACGUAAGGUUGC
This 107969-nucleotide long non-coding RNA is filed under the name Daucus carota (carrot). RNAcentral describes it as "long non-coding RNA (DCAR_LNC002600)". The record is from RNAcentral. Lineage: Eukaryota; Viridiplantae; Streptophyta; Magnoliopsida; Apiales; Apiaceae.